This 90673-nucleotide long non-coding RNA is filed under the name Panicum hallii. Its description in RNAcentral is "long non-coding RNA (PHAL_LNC000011)". The record is from RNAcentral. Lineage: Eukaryota; Viridiplantae; Streptophyta; Magnoliopsida; Poales; Poaceae.
CAGGAUGAAGUGGUUGCUGCUAGAGACCAUUGCUAUGUUCUAGGAGCUAUACAACAAGACGCAGUGAAGUACGUUACAGUUAGUGAUGGGUCUACGAGGGAUAGAGUGGUUCAGUGGUGCACGCUAAAUAUUUUUGGUAGUUGCUCGUGCAAACUAUUCGAAAAGAUUGGAAUUCCAUGUUGUCAUAUUAUUACGGCACUGCGAGGUGAAAAGAUAUAUGAACUACCUUCAUCUUAUAUUUUAAAGAGAUGGGAAACACGAUGCAAGAGGUAAAAGAGAUAUAAAACCUUCAUAUUAAUGUUGACUAUCUUUUUAUACAUCCUUACUUGACUAACUUUUUUAAAAAAUAUUACUUUAGAGAGAUUGUGCAUGAUGAUGAAGGCAACUUAUUGGAAGAGAAGCCCGAAGAUGCUGAUGAAGUGGAAAAAAGAAAAAACUUGUGGUUAUUCGAAACAAGAUAGAAGAUUCGAUUCAAAGAGCAAAGAGUUCAAAAGAAGCUAUGGAUUUCUUGGUUUCAAGUGUGCUGAACAUAAAUGAUUCUUUAGGACAAAUUGUACCUAGCAUGGUGCAACCUUCGCAACAAGAAUACGAGAAUUUUAUUGGUUGCGAAAUUCCAGAAGAAAUACAAAUACAUCCUCCAAAUGAUGUUCGAUCAAAGGGAAGGAGUAAAAGAACUAACAGGGCUAAAGAACUACCAAAGCAUCGCAAAGGAAAGAAUGCAAAGAAAGACAAGGACGCACCUAUAUAGAUUAUUUUGCUGCUGUUUCUAUGUGCAAACCAGCAUAAUAAUAUCUAACUUGUACUGAUAUUUAUUGUAUCAAUUACAGUGCUAUUUCUAUGUGCAAACGAGCAUAAUGAUAUCUAGCUUCUACUGAUAUUUAUUUUAUCAAUUACAGAGACUCAUAUGAGCUCAUUUGGUCUGCGCAGUUGUGUACUACUCAUACUGACCGAGUACAUGUUGCCGGAGCAAGAUCAAAAUCUUUGAGGCCAAAACAAGAUCAUUCUAAGCCUUUAUGCGGUUACUAAAUCACUCACACAUCAACACAAUCAAAGUGUUGUUUACAAUUCCACAAAUUUUACAUGGUAUAGUUUACAUUCUGAAUCUGAAACACCGAGGUUUAGUCUCUUCCGUUCUGUAAUACAGUUUCUUGAUGGUUGCACUGUCAUCGUAGAAGCGCUCAAGGUGGACAGAUUGCAAAAGCUUCAUCGUAAUGUCUAUUGGCUGGGUUCUGCGGAUUGACUCCUCGAUAGCUGCUGGCUGGGUUCGCCGCUGCAUCCAGGAGGACCGCUGGCACGCCAAAUGAGGAGCGUCGUCGCGUCUGAGGACGGCCGCCCACACUAUCGCAUGCGGGUCGCCGUCGGCUGGCCGAAGCACCGAUCCGAACCCUACUUAUUCGUCAUGGGAGCCAGCAGCUUCAGACUAGGUUGGAAGUGGUGCCGGUGUGGGCGGAGAUCGGCGGUGUGGGCGGCGGCCGAAGUGGUGGGCGGCCCUCGCCGUGGUGGGCGGCCACGGGCGGCGAGCGCGUUGUACGUGCCGCCCCUCUACUCUCCACCGUGCCGAUCGUGUUUCUUCUAUUUGGGGAAGAAGGGGGUGGCGGGGGGGGUUUCCAUAAAAUAUCCAGGAAGGACUUGGGGGAGGAGUGGGGGUUGGUGGGGGGCCUGUUUGCAAAAGGGGACGCUGAACGUUGGAUCGCAGAUCGGUAGCCCAUGUUCUGUUUGCCCAUGAGAGCACGGAGCUAGCGCAUCAGAUACGACGCCAGCUGGGAAUGGGAUGCGCGGCUGCGAUGCGAUCUCCCUGCCUGGCUGCUCUUCUCCAGGGAGCCGAGACACGUGCCCGUCUGCCACAGCACCCGCUCCCCACGCGCAACGCGUGACGCCGACACUGACACAUCCGUGAGUGGUUCCGUGCCGCCGGCGGAGCACGUGUGCGCGCGCAGCGGCCGACAGGCCACGCCGCCAGCCUGCGGCGCCUCUGGAACUCUGACGUUCUGAGUCGCAGCGCACGGCCUUGAACCUGAAUGGGCAAAAACCAGCGGCAGAUUCACGUUGGCGGCCGGCCGGCCUCGGCUUGGCGGGCGCAGUGAGAGCAAGUAUUAUGGCUGGCCGCGAGCCGGCUGAAUCACCGCUGGCGGAGAGAAAAUGUGGAGCAGGCGUCUCGCGAAACGGCGGCUUGAAGCGGGCGGAUUCGCGCGGGCUGCGCUUCCAUUCGCUGCUCUGCUGCUACGUUCCCUCCACAUUAUCUGCAUGUGCUACUGCAGAGCUAGAGCUAUCGAUGCUGCUGCUGCGUUAAUUGGAAGUCACGCUGGAGUUUAUUUGGCCAGCGAGCGGAGUCCACGUCAGCGUGAGCGGUCAUCACUGCCAGGCCAGGACGCCGAUCAGAAAGCUCAGGGCUGGUCUGGGACGGAGUUGCAUGAUUGCACGAGUCCAAACCUGUGUACUACGCAGGUUGGAAAAAUUCUGUCUAAAUUUUCCGAAUAAGAAUCCGCGCCCAACUCACGAUCGAACUUUUUUUCCGAGGUCUUUAAGUAGCUGAUGGGCUUCACUAAAUAAAGAAGAACACUCUAUACAUCAGUUUGAGUUGGAGGUCUCCUCCAUAACUGUUUUUUUUUCUUGGUUGGGAGUGCCAACCCCUGCUUCGUUCAGGUGCAAAAGACAGUCUAGCAGUAUGCUUAUGGAUUUUGGGUGUUUUCUUGUUCUUUUCUUGGGGGGGCCGUGAACAUUUUGCAGUUGCAGAGAGUGAUGUCUAAAUACUCUCUCUCCAUUUUAGCCAUCACUCUUCACAACAGUGCUUCAAGAUCCCAGAGUGAUGCAAGUUGAGGCUUCGGUACCAGGUCAAUAAAAAAACGUGAGAGUCUAAAAGCACUUGAUGGCGGUACAAAGAGAGCAAAUGCAACAAUUUAUUCUUAUAUAGGGUCCUAAGCUUGGUUCAGGUGCUUAGAUUUUACUUAUUCACCAUGUCCUAAUUAGCAAUUCUUUUGGGGUAAUAUUUGAAUAUUGUCAAAAUUUUACUCCUCCAACAAGUAUCUAAUUUUGAUUGAAGAUAAAUUGACAGCUCCAAAAUUAAUAAAACACAGGUUAAAUCGGUUAAGCACGUGUACGCUGGAUUUGUAUAUAUAUAUAUAUAUAUUUUUUGCAUUUUUCCCUCGAAAUAAAUAGGGCUCGAUCUUGCUUGCCACAUUCACACAGUUUCAAUUGCUCGCUCGCACGCGCAAACGCCGCCUCUUCCUCCUCCCAUCCUCCCCCCGACAUUCGCCGCACCCGUUUCCCCAGAUCCCAAGGAACGAACCAGCCCACACCUCUCGCCGCGGCAUUUCCUCGAACAUCCCGCGCGCGCGCGGGCGCCCCGCCGCCGCCGCCGCCCAUGGGCUCCCUCCCGGUUAACGCCUCGCCGGAAUUCGCCGCGCAGAGGCGCGCCACGGUGUCGGCGUCGGACCUGGCGCCGCUCUUCUCCACGCAGCGCCGGCACCUGGACCACUUCUUCGACCGCCUCGACAUGUCGCAGGCGGCGGCGUUCGCGCAGGCGCUGCUCGACGCGCCCGGGGCCGUCUUCUUCACGGGCGUCGGCAAGUCCGGCAUCGUGGCGCGGAAGAUCGCGCAGACGCUGGCGUCGCUGGGCUUCGCGCGGGCCGGCUUCCUGGCCCCCGUCGACGCGCUCCACGGCGACAUCGGCGCGCUCUUCCCCGGGGACGUGCUCGUGCUGCUCUCCAAGUCCGGCGCCUCCGACGAGCUGCUCGCGCUCGCGCCCUGCGCGCGCGCCAAGGGCGCCCACCUCAUCUCGCUCACCUCGGCGGCGUCGGGGGCCGACUGCCCGCUCGCCGCCGCCUGCGACCUCAACGUGCACCUGCCGCUGCAGGGGGAGGUAUGCCCCUUCGGCCUCGCGCCCGUCACCUCCACCGCCAUCCAGAUGGUGUUCGGGGACACCGUCGUCGCUGCCAUAAUGGAGGCGCGCCGACUCUCCAGGGACCAGUACGCCUCCAACCACCCCGCCGGCAAGAUUGGCAAGACCCUCAUCUUUAAGGUAACUACCUCUGACACAAUCACACAAACUAAAACAGGCUACCCACGCAUUACUUUGUUCAGAACGCACUUGCAAUGAUCUUGUGCUGCCACCCCCGUGGGAAACAUCAGAUCUCAAAUGCUUGUUACUACUAAGAUUCCCAAAUUGUUCCUUGGGAAAAAAAAUGGAGAUUCAUUACUAUUGCGUGUCGGUGGGAUUGGUUCUGUAGAUUUCCCUGUGAAAUGCUCUUUAUUAUUGGAUAGUUUUGUCACUAUCCACCGACAUUUUGUUUCUGUCUAUCGUUACCUGUCACCAUCUUUUCAUAUGGGACGAUAUUAUGCACAUGCCAUUUAAAACCUGUCUUUUUCAUUGUCGCAAGAAAAACAACAAGAAAAGGACUCAUCAUUUGCGUGCGUUGCCCAUUGUUUAAUAGUGACAGGUUUUAACAAAUUUCGUAGCGCUGAGUUAUAAGUAAGGCAGGUCUUUUAGACUAUGAAUGAGGUGUGUCUUUUAAACUAUAUGUUCUUAUGCAAACCGCAAACGUUCUGUAGGUUAAGGCGGGUCUGUGGGAUUGGUUCUGUAGAUUGCCCUGUUAUUAUGAAACCGACAUUUUUUUUCUGUCUAUCGUUGUCUGUCACCAUCUUCAUAUGGAACGAUCUUAUGCACAUACCAUUUAAAUCCUGUCUUUUUCAUUGUCGCAAGAAAAACAACAAAAAAAUGUCUCAUCAUUUGCGUGCAUUAUUGAUUGUUUAAUAGUGACAGUUUUUAACAAAUUUUGUAGCUCUGAGUUAUGAAUAAGGCGGGGUGUGUUCGUGACAUGACAUAUUUGAAUGAAAGUCUUGUACUCUUGUUAAUGUGGAAAGUAGUUACUGAAUGCGAAAACAAGGGUAUAUUUUGUUUCUUCAAAAUUACUACUAUCUGAUUUCUGUGGGUCUUGUUAUUGAUCCAGCAUGCUAUCAUUUUCUUUUCCUUUGGGUGAGGCAUAUCUUUUAUACUAUAUGUUCUUAUGCAAACACCCUGCAGGUUAAGGAUGUUAUGAAGAAACAGAAUGAACUUCCUCUGUGCAAGGAGGGAGAUAUGAUAAUGGACCAACUCACAGAGCUCACCAGUAAAGGUUGUGGGAGUCUGCUUGUGGUUGAUGAAGAGCAUCAUUUGAUUGGCACCUUCACUGAUGGCGAUCUCCGCCGUACAUUGAAGGCAAGCGGGCCAGCUAUUUUCAGUCUCACAGUUGGAGAGAUGUGCAACAGGUUUGCCAAUAUUACCUUGCUAUUGUUACUGGUCCUUUGUUAAUUAUUUCUUGUAAGUAUGAGGUGGUAGUUAUAUGACACUGAAAUCGUUCUAGUACAUCUGGGAUUUAGAGCCUGGCACCGCCCCUUUGGUUUGCUGUAAACUGAAUCGCUUGUUUUCCUGCCAGCUUAUCUUUUUUGGCCUAUUGUUUAGUCCAAUUUCUGAAAUUAUGUUGUUUUGUUAAACCAUUUAAUUUACAUGUAUUAACUUUACAGGUGCAAUACUAUGGAAAUAUAAUACUGGGCCAUAACAUCGAUGGCUGGCAUAAUUUAAAUGGCAGGAUAAAAUGUUGAAAAAAAAUGUAUUGCGAACAAUUAUGAAAUAGCUGAGUUCCCUAUAAAUUCAAUACAUUAUUAUAGUAAAUUAGACUCAGAACAUUAUGCUAAUGAACACUAUCAAAGAAGGAAAAUAAAUGUGCUGGUUACAAUAUCCACUUACUUAGUGUAGAUAAUGCUGACUUCCUUGUAUUUGUGAUGUCCUGUGUUCUGUUGCAUUUUAUCUUACAGGAAUCCAAGGACAAUCACCGCGGAUGCAAUGGCAGUCGAAGCCAUGGAGAAGAUGGAAUCACCUCCUUCACCUGUGCAGUUCUUGCCUGUUGUCGACGACAACAAUGUCGUGUGUGGGAUCAUUACACUGCACGGAUUGGUCUCUGCCGGAUUGUAGACUUCUGUGGUCAUCACCUUCUGCUGGAUUACAUGUUUUUUGUACCAGCUUACCGGGUUCUUAAUGAUUCAGUUUGUCUGCGUCUAUUUGGCUCUAGGCUGCCAAUUGCAUGUAUUCUUGCCGUUCAGUUUAAACCUGAACGCGUUUUGUUGCUACGGUAUCAUGUGUAGCUGUCAAUGUACCCUUAUGUAUAGUGUUUGGUAAGAGGAAUACGCUCCUCAAGGCGUUUUAUCGCAACAGUGUCACGUGUAGCCUAGACUGUCAGUUUAACCUUAUGUGUAGUUGGCUGCUUGUGUAUGUGUCGUACCCUGUUCUGUAAAUGAUUGUGAAUGUUGAGACAUUUCAAUGCUGUUGAGCAAGCAGAAGCUGUAGCCCCACAAACCUUAUUGAUCCUUUCAAUUCUUGUGUAGGGUUGACAGUGUUGGUGUUUAUCUAAAUUCUUUAUCUGUGGCAGACUGGUCUCACGCAUUUUGCCUGACUGCUCCGUGUCCAAAUGCAAGUAGUAUCAUCUGUUCUAGUCUUCUAAAUUACAGAUUGCAUCGUGCCGAUUGAUGAACACCAAGCACAGACAUCAUUUACAGGAAACCGUAGUGCUACCAGCUCAGUCGACUAGAAACAUGCACUUAGUAGCUGUUCUAGUCUUCUAAAUUACAGAUUGCAUCGUGCCGAUUGAUGAACACCAAGCACAGACAUCAUUUACAGGAAACCGUAGUGCUACCAGCUCAGUCGACUAGAAACAUGCACUUAGUAGGCAUGGUGAAGUUAUACAUGCACUGAACAAACACAAUGGUCCAUGCUCCAUCGGGCCUUCAAUCUCAAGUUCCAGAAAUCUAACGCAGACUGUUCUGAGUCGAUCAGGAGGGAGGUACAAUCAACGCACACCAAUGUUCCAAACUUUGCAGCAGCAACUUCGUAAUGAUGCCCAAAAUACUACAUCAUCUAGCUGCUACAAGGAAGCUUCACCUUUCCCAUUCAGAAUCCGGGUGUGGACGCUCCACCCGGGGCUUGCUGCUAGUUAGGGGAGCUGGAUGGUGCGUCAAGACCUGAUCCCAGCCCAUGAUGUGUGGCAACGCAAACUGCACGAAUACAAAGAAAGAGCAGUCAAAAGCAUGAAUAAACCAUAUGCAAUAUAUACAAUGAAUGAAGAGGAGAAUCAAUAAAUAACAGUGGCAUGUGUACUAGUUUUAAGAGCGUUCUGACUUGUGUGCACCAAAGUGAAGUUCGAGAUCUUAGAAAAUGUAUAUGCCUGAACACACUACCUAGUCAUGGGCUUCAUGCUUUCAUGGCACUACUGGUUGAGUAGGCAGGCAGAUGAUAAUAGACAUAAGCUAUCAUUUACAGGUGCAGAUAAGAAAAUGGAUCCAUGUAAACCGGCAUGCCCUUUCUUCAAUGAAGAGCUUUGACGGAAACAUGACACCAAAAUCUAUUGAUUCUUAGACGGAAACAUGACACCAAAAUCUAUUGAUUCUUAGUCAUUUAUUGGCAUGGCCUAGCUUAAUUGGACAGUGGCAUAAACAAACUUUUUAAUGGUUCAUAUAACUUUGAUAGAUUGCAAAUGCAAAUAUUGCAACUUACACUCAGUGCUGUGCGCAUCACUGCAAACUCAGCUUUUGUGAUAGGGACUGAAAGGCGAUCAGUAGUCUUCUGCAAGUUGUUCAGAACGGCUGCAAAAAAAUUGUCACACAUUUCCAAUUAGAACCGAUAAGUAGAGAAAGAAAGUUCUAACCAGAUACGCAAGGGUACAGAGCAAAUAAAAGAACAAUGAUGUCAUAACGUAAUGGUAAGUGGUAACUAGCCAUAGCAGGAAAUUCUGUCAAAAUGCUAGCUAUAGCAGGAAGCAUUUCCUUUUUCAUUUUAGGAAGCAGCUUCAACAGUGGCAAGCAAAACCCACAAAUCCCAACUUAAUAUUUGAUAAAUGGGUAGUGCCUCAAUAGUUUUCCUAAGCUUCUCAAACAUAAUUCCUUUUGGUUAAAGCUUUUAGGCUAUGCUCAAUAUAUAUGGCGAUAUCAGGUAUCUAACAUCACAGAAAUGGGCAGUUGAAAAAUGCAAUGUAAGAGUCACUUACUUAUAUUAACAAAGUAACCGCUAUCACUGCCAAGGGGAGUAAUCGACAGAGAUUUUUUCACCUGUCCUUCAUGACUUGAACACAAAAGGGUUGGUGUUAGAAGGCUAAUAUAAAAACACAGGUUACCUGUCUGAUCACGCAAUACUAUCACAAACCUUGAUUUCAUGGACGGAUCAUGGAAAAACUCACAGGAGUCAGCAGGCCCAAGACUUAUCAAGCUUCCAACUUCAGUAGGUGACAGAGCAAAAAGCUACAUAAUAGACGUUCCACGAUCAUAAAAUUAAGGCACAUGUGAUUGGAAUAAAGAGUAAUAAGUCUUCAUUAGAGUAGUUUUCUUCAACAGGAAAUUUAAUUUCACAAAACUAAUAAAGAAAAAUAAUCUUACCUGUUUCUUUGUAUAGUCAUACUUCCUUUGUCCAACAGCAGGAAAGAAUGUCAACAUUACUGAUCCAUUUCUGUUCAUCCGAGAUCCUCCAGACUAAUGAAACAAAGAAAUUAUGUUUUGAAGGAAGAACAAUGUAUGCCCAAAAAAACAAACAAGUAAAAGGAAACAUACUUCCAUUUUGCUGAAACUUGGCAGUAUAGGAUGAAUAGAAAGUGCAGCCUUUCCCUUGAAUACAGUAUAGCUUGCAAAUUUUUUACCAGACAGGUUCUCUGCACAAAGGGAUUAAGCAGGCAUCUUAUCAUGCAAGCAAUAUCGAUACUAGCACUCAGCAUGCAGAAGGCUGAUUUAUAACUAGUGACAAAGGUUUCACCAUCAAGAUUUCCUGCUGAAGUUGAGACAGCUUGUUGGAAUGUCAACGAACCACUCCAAAGAGGUUCUUUUAGAUCAAAACCUCUCCUGCGAAAGGAAAACAGGUUUUAAUAACUUACAAUAGUAACUUAGCUUCGCAUCUACCAAUAUAUUGAAGACAACAGUAGGCUCAAAUGUUGAAUUAAGUCAAGCAGGGAAAAGGGUUGCAGAAACAUACAGCAGCAAAGGAAUGGCUUGAAUAUGGCAUUAGGAUUCAGUGAUUUUGUUUUAAUUAAGAACUUUGCAUAAUGUUGACCACCGACCACAUCCAUUGAUACUUGAUAAAUUAAAAUGGGAACUACACGAACAUAUGAAAAGCAGAAGAAUAAUAGAAAUGAUCAUCCACAUACAAACAGCUAAUUUGCAGCAAGACUUUUGUUCUCAUGAUCACGCAACAACAUUAAUUUCGACCCUCAAUAUAUUCUUAAUAGUUUUAAGUUUGUUCAUAAUGAUUUCUCUGACAAGGUCCAUUCUUCAUCCAAUGCAUUAGGCACACAAAACAAAUGACACAUUAGCACUUCAGGCAAACUGAUUUACACAGGAGACAAGAUAUCUCAGCACUCAGGACAAUCACAUUCAGAAAACCAAAUAAUAUUGAUGUCUGUGUUAAGUAACAGUACAAUUAUAAAACGUAACUCCAGUUGCUAGUACUUAAGGUGCAAAUAAGUAAUGAGCCGCUAUACAUCGCUGCGCAAUGUCAUGAAGGAAAGUGCGGCUCAGGCUCAGCAUGGGGAGGAGAAAAUCCCUCUUUCCACAGCGAGAACUCCAUCUACUACAACAAACAUCAUUAGUGGAAGCGAGGACAAAAGGAAACGCACCUGUACAUAAACCCUACCCCUAAACCCCCCUAAAACCCCGGUCACUCUAACUACAACAGCAGGCACAGAACGCGCCCGGCCACACCUGAUCAACGAGCCCGCUGGCGCUGAGAACACCAAGCAUCACGCCCCGCAAUAACGCACCCGGAUACAGGAAUGGCACUGCGGCGGCGGCGGCGAGGGUCCGCUCCGGGAAGCGGGGGAUGGGGGGAGAGAAAGGGUUAGGGUUUCGGGUCGCGGCUCACCUGGAGGCGGGGGGGAGGAAGCGGGAGAGCCGCAGCAUCGUCUCGUCGCCUUGGUGGUCGCGGCGGCGGAGGGGAGCAGAGCGAGCGCCGGAGAAUGGGGGAGUGAGCGAGUUUCGUCUCACUGCGGCGGCAGGCCAAGGCGCGGCGUCUGUCUCGGGGACCGUGUAGCAGUGGCGACGUCUUUACGGGCCGAAACCUCAAGGUGGGCUGCCGUUGCCACUCUAAAGCCCAAAAACUAGCCUCUUAGUCUAAUGCUGGGAAAAAUUCUUUUUACCUUCUGAACUUUAGGAUUAAUCCGCAUUUUCUCCCUUAACAAUAAAACUAUUUACCUGAACUUCUUAAACUCACCAUGCCGGACACAUAUCUGUCUGGAUUCUCUUAGCGGUUUCUCUCAUUUUUUAUAUUUAUUUUAGCUGUAUCUUUCAAAUAUCAUAGUAAAUCAAAAAAAAUUAUAAAAUUGAAAAUACAAUUUUUUGGACUCCACAUUAGCAGAUCUAUGCAGUGAACAUAUUAUAUAAUAUAAUUUAAUAAAAAAAAUUAUUGUACUUUUAGAUAUAUAGUUUUCUAUAAUUAAUUCAUAACUACAGUUUUCGUGAUCCAAUUAUAGUUAAAUUUUUAUAAGGGGCUAAUCAUUAUAUUCUUGAGCUGUACUAAAAUUUUCAUAUUUAUUGAAUCAUGUACGCUUGAGCAACUAAAUUCCAAGCUAUAUCAGAGACUCUUCAGUUUCUCAAGCAUACAUGAUUCAAUGAGUAUGAAAUUUUUACUAUAGCUUAAACAUAUAAUUAUUAGCCCAUCAUAAAAAUUUCACCAUAAUUGGACCAUGGAACUGUAGCUAUGAAUUAAUUAUAGAAAAUUAUAUAUCUAAAAGUACAAUAAAUUUUUUUACUAAAUUAUAUCAUAUCAUAUGUUCACUGCAUGUAUUUACUGAUAUGUUCACUGCAUAUAUCUUCUCAUGUGGAGUCCAAUAAAAUUGAAUUUUCUAUUUUAUGAUUCUUUGUAAUUUGCUAUCAUUUUUUAAAGAUUCAGCCAUAAUAAACAUAAAAUAAAAGGAGAGAAACCAGGCAAAGAGAAACACGGAUUCGUCCCAAAAUUCAUGGAGGUAAAAGAAAACUUUUUUUUCUUAGUUCUGCAUAAUUAGACCCCAUUUGAACAUUUUAAAGAAUCAGCGCAUGUCGCCCGAACAAAGGCCAGUCAUAAUUAGACCCGAUGGGAACAAAGGCAAUAAUCCGUAGUCCAGUUCCUUUUCUUUUGCCCUGGCUCGAUAGAACGCUUGCUUACCCCUGGCAAUCUGAGCAGGACCACUGCUGCACCGCUCUUUCAAAAUCCUCGAGGGGAUCAUCGUGAAAUAAAAUGGAAAAAGAAAAAGGGCAAUUUCUUUUCAUGCCAGGCACCACAAUUUGGUUUAUUCGAGGGGAGAAAAUCGUUGGGCCACAGUACAUGUGAUGUGAGAGCUCGAUUUGUUCGUCAUUGAGACGCUCCAUCAGUCAUGGCCUCUUGCUCCCCUGAUUCUCAAUUGUGCGAGUCCGAUCCCUUGCAUUCCCCUUUCUUCUUCGAGGACAUCCGCAACUCCCAUUUGCUUGGACGAGACUAGGGCACGAUGGAUUUUACAGAUGGUCACACGCAUUAACAUUUGUUUGCGCAUCAUGCAUCACAAAAAUGGAGCAGGAGACUAGUUCACUAGACGGGGAGGAGAGAACGAAGGGGGCAAGUGGCUAGCUUAGUUGGAUUUCUUGGCUGGCGGGCCGCAGAAGGCCUCCCGGUUGGCGGCGCCGCCGCCGCGGACGAGGAAGUGCCCGAGCGACGGCGUGGUGGUCCCCGUCACCCGGUUCUCCUCGCACAGGAACUCCCGCCCGCACGCGCGCUCCACCUCCCGCUCGUAGUCGUGCACCAGCACCUCCGUCUCCGCGCCCUUGGUCCGCGCCAUCACCGCCGCCGAGUAGAUCGCCGACAUCCUCCCCGGCGACCCCUCCGUGAACCUUCACAUCAUAAUCAAUUAGCUUGUCAAUUGGCUUGCUUACCGAUCCAAGAAACUAUGGACGACGCACGCGACACGCGUGGCGCAUCGCUGGCUCGUACCCGCGCGGGCCGUCGACGAGGAUGAUGUCCCAGGCGACGUCGUAGAGCUGGUUGGGGAGGUCGUUGAUGGCGAGGCGGCACUCGGAGAAGAGCAGGUUCUGGACGGGGCGGCACUCGGCGGCGCGCGCGGCGCGGGCGGCGUCGAGGAGGUCGGGGAGCUCGCGCACCGCCGUGGCGUAGGCCACGUCGUAGGCCUCCAGCCCCGGGUGCUUGCCCUCCAGGUGCGCCACGUAGUAGGGGUUCUCGUCCAGGAACACGGUGCGCCCGCCGUGGUUCAGCGCCCGCCACAGCGGCGUCUCCGCGCCCAGCCCGAACACCAGCAUGUUGCACGGCGCGCGCCGCCGCAGCACCGACGCGAUCGCGCGCACGUCCGGCUCCGGCAUGCACCCCGACGAGUUCCCCGCCGCCGCCGCGUACUGCACCAGCGCGUCGAACACGUACAGCGGCAGGCCAGCCUCCGCGACGGCGGCGCCUCCUCCGCCGCCGCCGCCCGAAGCCGCGGCGGCGGUGACCGUGAACAGCGUCGCCUGGUACGCCGCCGCGGCCGAGGCGCGCGCCGUGGAGAACACGGUGAGGAGGGACACACAGGUGAACAGGGCCAGGAAGAUCACCAGCCACAGGCACCGGGACCAGCCAAGAAACGACAUGGGGGAUGUCGGCGCCACGGCGUUCGCCACCUUGUUCGAGGACGUGUGCACGACGAGCAGCCUCGGCCCGGCCAUUGCCUUCAUUUCUUCCUCCUCCUCUGGCUCUGUGUGCUUGUGUUGUGUCUGGAGUGAAGGCUAAUAAGGUUUAGUAGAUGAGGGUGGUGUGCGGAUGGAAUGUUCGCUCACACUGACAUUGAGAGAUCAGAGUUGGCAAGGAAGAAAGGAAUGGAGGUUGGGAUGGGAUUGGGGGUUGGGGUAGACAGCAGGCCAAAGCUAGCUGAAUUAAGCAAAGUUAAAUAAGCGUAUGUUGGAUUAGUAGUUGGCAUGUUUGGCAGGAAAGCAAGCUCGGUUAAAAAUUGCUUGAGGGUUGCAACCUGCAUGCUUUGCUUCAGAAUGGCUCAAAUUUGGGUAGGUUUUGAUGGCACUCUUUGAUUUUGACACCAAAUCUUUCUUAUAAAAUAGGCUAUACGAUGUCUUGUUUUAACCACUUUUUAGAAAUGAAAAUGUACACAAAGACCGCAUUGAAUGUGUACUUCUUUUUUUUGCCAGAUAUUCUGUUAAAUUAAAUGAAAAUAUUUUUAAGUUCCUACUAUUGAAAUUUCUGAGUACCAAAAAGGCCCAUUAAAAUGGGAAUGAGCUGAAUAUGGAUAUUCCCUGAACAACCUAGUCAUGAUACUUUCUUAGAAAGAGUGAGGAAUAUGGUUUUGGGUGUGAAACACACAAUGCCAAAUCUGCCAUUACCUGAUGAUAGAAGAGCAUCAUUAACUGCUCGAAAAGCUACAGAAGAUGACACCUGGUUUUAGGAGGACAACCAGCAGCUUUCUGGCCAUCACCAGUCACAUGAAACAACAGCAGCCAACACAGCAUAUCAGGUUUGGUGAGAAGAAAAUGUUGAUGAAAAGGAGACUGAAAAUUCCUCUGGCUGAUCGCAAGAUGCUAUCAGCAAACACUUGGAAUGUAAGCCACGGGCGUGCCAGGAGCUAAAGUCUUGCAGAUAGGAGGUGGCUGUCAGUCUGUAUCUCUCCGUUGCCUUCAAGUAAAGCCUUGGCAAAACCGGGCAUGAAACACGCAUUGCCCAACCCUUGUGCUGUCCAGAAGGACCAGAACAAUUUCAUAUCUACAGGAGGUAACUCGAAGUCACAACAUAAAGUUGUUCACGUCGGUGACAAUAUCAUAUGAGCAUGGGUUGAUCAUCCAGACAAAAGAUUAGUUGCUCAAGAGAUGCUAAAACAUAAAGUGAAAACGAACUUUAUAGGAAUAGCAGGCAGGGAUGGCAAUGCUCCAUCUCCUUUGCAUAUUUCUCAUAAAUACAACUGGUGCACCCAGUUUAACAUCUGCGGUGUCCAAGCCAACCGCAAGAAAAUUGUUUUGCCACAUUCAACUAUUGGAAUUUGAUGACCAAGCCAAACAUCUCAACAAUUUCCAAUUUCCAUCAGCAGAAAAGCACAAACACAAUACAGGGGAUUGAGAUGGAAACUUAUAGUUCAUAACAUUUGCCGUUAGGCGUUGGCAAUGCAUUAGCUUCAACGAACAGAAGAUGCAUCUCUGGCAUCCCUGCAGUAAAGAAGCGAUACUCGGAAGAGAACCAAGUUUUUACAAAAUCUCACGGGUAUCAUGAUCAUCGCCAGGUGUGACCAAAGAUAUAAUACAGCAAGAUGUCAGCAGGAUCAUGCAGUACCGCACCAGUAGGCCAAGUGCUCAUCCUUGCGAGAUGUGCUAUAGAGCCCACCACAUUUCAGGCAAAUGAAGCUGCUUCCAUCGGCAAAUGCAUCCAGGAUGAUCUGCUUCCUUCCACUCACGGAAAGAAUGCAGGUCUCAUCAGAAUUCAGCAUAUCGACAGGGUCUGACCCAGGUCCUUGUCGUGGGUUAGCAUUUGUUGACUGUGCCUCUGCUAUGGCACAUUGGGCAAGCAAAGAGGCAAGCUCAUCAACACUAGGACUGGCCUGCAAUCUCUGUGCGUAGAGUUCCCGCGCACGGUUCAUAGUCUGGAUGAGAGCUUGUUCACCACCUUGUGAUCUUAUGGCUAGGAGAACCUGCAUAAUUCCAUAAGUUCAGAAUCAAUAACACAUAGAAAUGAGCCUUCAUAAGUUCAGAAUCAAUAACACAUAGAAAUGAGCCUUCAUGAAACAAGAUAAAUGAGUUAGACAAGGUAAGAUUUGAAAGCUAAAUUAAGUACCACAUGACCCAUCAUAAUCAUCAUCAUGAAAAGCAACAGUAUCAAUAAGCCUUAUUGGGAUAUGUAAGAAUAUCAAAACAAACAUCUUCCAUAAAAUCAAAAAAGAAAUUAUGCAUUCAAAUACAAGCAGAAUGCUCGUGCCAAAUUGCCAGUGUUUGAUUCAUUGCCAGAAUGAGACCUACGAAGUUAUUAUGGGAUAUAAUUAUAUCACCACAAGCAUUGGAUCUCACAGGCGACGGCUAGGGGCAUAAUCUUAUAUCGCCAAACUCUUGUUCUGAAAAUCAGUUCCGCUUAAUACACGCAUAGCUAGGGUGCAGGCAGGAAGCACUAAUGACAUACUGCAGUGUCCCAAUUAGGAAGAUGCUCACAAAGGUUGAGCAUUUUCAUUUGACCCAUGUGAUACAUCAGGUAGGAUGCUAUAGAUGUCCAAUGCAAACAAGAUAUGGAAAUUCCAAGUUUCCAACACCGCUGAAUGACAAUACAUAUGUAGUGAGAUUUGGUUAGUCCAAUAUUGAAAUUAGCACCUUAAGACUUGAAUAGUUUUAUCAGGGUACCAAACACUAACUUAUCCGGUAUGACUUUCUUCCUGUUCAACUUUUUCCAUCUAGAUCUUCUAGUUUUACUAAUUCCCAGCUAUACAAGGUCUUGAUGGUCAUUUUCAACAGGCCAAAUCGUAAAUGGUUGACAUGGACUGGGAAAUAAACAUUAUCGAAUUCGAAUGUACUCUGCCCAUAUGAGUAGGGCGCCACCAGUUUUGCAAAUAAUAUACGUGCAUCAAAGCUGACAUUGGGUUUAGCUCAAACUCAAGCACAUGUAAGCAUUUUAUCUAAAACAAAAUGGUCUCAUGAGAUGGUAAUAAUUUGGUCAACAGAAACAUAACAUUAGCUGAACUUGAAAAAUUCACUACAUGACAGAAGCAACGCAUGUUCCUCAAGCUCAAUACAACCUGGCUGCUUGAGCUGAAAUUGCACAUCCCGACUUUGGGAAUACUCAGACAAAUCACAGUCUAGAACUCUCCAUCAUAAACAACAUUAAUAGUUUAACUACUUCUCCAGAUAAAAUGCGCACCAUACUGAAGGCUCGGAAGAAUCAUUAAAAUUCCACAGUACUUUCGAAAAGGAAGAUAAUCAAUCUCCAUGUUGAUAGAGGGGAAAAGGAAAAGUGGAUUUUGAUGACAUGCCACUACCCUAAAUCAAGUUUCAGAAAUACUGAACAUGAGACCAUACUUCAGUGAGGUACGGGAGUGACAAUGUCUCAUCCUAACUUUCAAGGGGUGUCAUAUCCUCAAAAGUCCGGAAAGUAAAUACAGAGUAUGCAUAGUGUAUGGAUAUAAUUAACUACAGUAAUUCAUAGGGUAAACACAAAGUGCAUAGUCGGAUAUUCUAUGGAUAGAAUUAACUACAGUAAUUCAUAUGGAAUUCAUAAACAUGAAAUUUUACAGUGGUGCGAGAGAAGGUAAGGCAACUUUCCGCUUCACACAGGAUCGAUUAAAUGUUACUCCUUUACAAAUUUCUCUUUUAGGUUUCGCCUCUACAUAGCUUAGCCUAGCACCAAGCAACAAUGACUAUAUGUAAAGCCAUACGGAUAGUCGGAUUACUGAUUAUAGUCACCACAUUUUUCCUGACAAUUCACUCUCUAGAUUGGAAGCAAAAUAGGGAAACAAACUCUAAUAGAAAUGACAUAGUGGAGAUGAAAAUUGUAUUGAAACUGACCAUUGGCCCUAACUAUCAAUGCAUACAAUACCAACAGAGCUAAGCAUUCGAUAAAUGCGGCCUAAUCAGCUGGUGUCAUCAAAUCAUCAGAAUCAACAGUAUAGCAAAGGAAUCUGAUAGAAUGAUAAGGAUCAUUUCGAUAGCUUUUCACUACACUGCAUAUGUUUGUCCAGAACAUAUGCAGUGUUUACUCACUGUUGUCCAGAAAACUCAUUUGUGAACCGAACAUUGAAACAGUGAGAGUUUUGUCUGUGAAGAACACAAACAAUCAGCAUACCGGAUGUACAGAUUCUGGAACCAAGCGUAUUUGGACGAAAUAUUUCGACAAGCAUAAAUUACAAGAGCUAAACAUGAAAUGGCUAAGGAGUGUUUAAGAUGUGUGCAUAAAUCCACUCUUUCUCUUCUUCCUCUUCUUGAAAACCAGAGGACUACUCCUUUUUGCUUGCCUAAGAAACAGGUAGACAGUAAACGAAGGGGAUAGCUGCAAAAGCAUCAAGGCACCCAAGCACCUAACCAGAAUCCUCUAGAACGAAUCAUACCUAACCAAUCCCAAACCCUAAGGCCUAGAACGGAUCGCACCUAAACCCCCUUUGCUCCCUCCGGGCAAAACCUCGGGCCGGAUGGCAACAUGGAGGGAACGACCCUAACCGAGAUCGAACUGGGGGAAGCCCACCGCGAAUCCGCGAUCGCCUAACCGAGCGAUCGCUCGCCCUCCGAUCCGAUGGGUAGCAUACAAGACGCGAACCCAGAGAAUUCCCCAUCCCGUCGCCUCGGGGACGGUGGGAACGAACGCCACACGCAGCACGCGAAAUGGGGGCGGAACGGAGGAGGGAAGGAGGAGAGAGGGCUCACCGCCUGCAGCGCGAGGGACGGUUUGCCCUCCUCGAGCAGCGCACGGGCGCGGGACAGCAUGCUCCACCCCUCUCCAGCCGCUGCCGGCGCCGGAGCCGGAACCGGAUGCUGGGCCGGGGCCUCGGGCGCGGGCUCCAUCUCGACGUCGGGCGGGUCCAUCGGCGGCGCCCUCGAUCUCGCUCGCCGUCUCUCGUGUGCUUUCGCCGCCGGGUGGGGAGCAGCUCGCUGAUGGCUGGCGACGGCUGCGGCUGCUGUGCCACGGCUCCAGAUGCUUCCAGGUGGGCUGUGGCGGCUUUUGUGUUCGUCUGGUCUUGGUCUAGUAGAGAAAGACGCACAGGAACGGAAACUGCCGCCCGUUUUCCUUUGCUUGAUAAUAAAUAAUUUUUUUAUAAAUUAGAAAAUAUUUUGACGUUUUGCGAGCACCAUCCGGGUAAAAGUUAGGGAAUCCCUUCGAAUUUCUUUGUAAAAAAUAAGAAAAAUGUUGGAAGUACUUAUUAUAAUAUUAAGACUUAACUACAAUUUUUCACGAUGAGUUUUUUUAUAUCGAAGUAGAUAUCCUCACUCGGAAGAGUUUGUUAGUAAUAUUAUGAAAAAUUCUUAAUAUAUUAUAUUGUUGGCAGUUUUUCUACACUUUCAAGAAAAAAACAGUAUAAAAUAGUAGUUUGUACCAUUAACAAGUCGAAAGCUUGUAUUAUGGCAUCACAUGAAUAGAAAUGUAACUAGAGUUACCACGGAUGGCACAUAAAAUAAAUAGAUGGCAGGAUUGACUACGAUAAAGGCAAGAGUCAUUAGAUCACAUAAAAAAUGCAAUUGAUUUUUGCACUAUGCAGCUGUAUCUUUGUACAAUCUCAUAAAAAACCACGCACCUAUUGAUGAAAUUAGUAGGGAUACUUCUUAGGAUUGAUAGAUAUCAUAAACAUUGUAAAAAUGGUCUACCAAAGAGUAAUCACUAACUAAAUGUACGAGCACGAUUAUGCCGAGUCGGAGAAUGGAGAUUCAAAUCUGAGGGGAUAUGUUUUACCACAAGAAACAUAAUACCUAAUUGGCUUUGAGAUAUUUAGCUAGAAACUGAUAUUUAUAACUAUAAUGUGUUAGGUUUUAGUUGAGAGUGCACAUCCUAUGCUUGUUUGCUAACAGUCUUUGUUGUACUGCAAGUAUAACUAAGUCGCACAAGCAUACAUAUGAAUUGUAUAAGCAUAUUUACCAAAAUUAUAAUUUAUCAUUUGUAAAUAGCUUUAUCACUUAAUCACGGCUAUAUUGCAAUUGGAGCUAUCUCUUUUUUUUAUUGACGCUUAAGGUUAGAAAUCAGUAGCUCGCCCUGUUUUUUAGAAUUUUUAUCUUUUCAACGGGACAUUAUUGCUUCAUAAACUCACUAACUUAUAACUUAUAAACAUAUAAAAGUUGUUAUUUCUUCCUGGCAUAAUAUUUUAUGUUCUAAUGAGUUAACCAUUGUUCAUGAAAUUUUCUAUAACUCGCAAUUUGCCCUCAUGAGCAAAAUAUAUCGCGGAGAAUUUUUUUCACCCAUCUUCAUUCUAAAAGUAAAAUUACUCACGGUUAGUAUAGUCUAUUUUAAGCACACAAAAUAAUGUGCACUAUAUCCGUAUAUUUAUUUUUAUUUUUGUGUAAAACAUCCAAAUAAUUCGAAAAGUACAGUUGUUUUGCUUGCAACGUCUGGUAGAGAAAAUCAGGCAAAACCCCGGAGGUUUUAGGUAGUAUUAAGCCCAAACAAAAAGCAGGCCUUUCUCGGCCCAUCUUUCCAUCUACACCCCUGCGCUCGACUGAUAGCCUGCCGCCGGCUCUGGUCCGCCACCGCUCGCCACGGUCGCGUACUCCACUCCGAGCAGGCUCGUCAGGGAACAGGAAAGCAAGUGCAGACUCCCACUCCCACUCCCGCGCGCCGCGGCCGGCGGCGGCGACGGGGCCGCUGCCAUGGCGGAGCUGCGGCACUCGACGGCGGCGCGCGCGUCCAACUCCCCCGCCAAGCGCGACUCCGACGCCUCCGCCGCGUCGUCCCCAUUCCUCGCCUCCCCCUCCGCCCGCGGCAGCCGCGGCGGCGACGGAGACGACGGCAAGGACACCCACCGCUCGUCCCCUCUCCUCUCGCACCAACACCACAAGCGCGUCCACCUGCUGACGUCCCCGUUCCGCUCCCUCCUCGCCCUCGAGGACCCCAGGUCCCCUGCCGCCUCGUCCUCCUACCGGAUCCUUCUUGCCCUCCUCGCGCUCCUGCUCGCCACCGGCAUCUUCUGCGCACCCUUGCUUUGGUCCCGCCUCGUGAGCUGCUGGCCCCCCUACCGAAUCUUCACAAUGCCAUUCAGUUUCGUCAGGAUUCUGACUUGCCACUGACAUUUUGUUGUUGUUGUUGUUGUUUCCUGUCUGGUCCUAGAACACGCCUUACUUGUGCCACAAGGAGGGGAUCACGCUUCAUUGCCCUGAGGUGAAGUGUGCUUAAUUGGCUAAUUGCUGCAGACGUUUUGGGACUCGUGCUUGCUUCAGGAACAUUUGGUCUGAAGAAUUUCUGCUUUGGGUGCAGACGAAGGAACCCCUCUCGCUAUGGGAGAAUCCACGUGCUGCCACAACAUCUUGGAAGCCCUGUGCAGAGCGACGUAGUGAUGAGCCCUCAGGUAAGUCCACCAUUCAUGUUGCUUGAAGACAACAAUAUACUCCCUCCGUCCAAAAAGAAUGCAACUCUUGCAUCUCGAGCAAGUAAUUUCAAAUUUCACCAAAUCUAUACAAAAUAGUAUUAGCAUUUAUAUUACAAAAUAAGUAUCAUUAGAUUAAUCAUUUAAUAUAUUUUAUACUAAAUCUAUUUGGAGACAUAAAUGUUAGUAAUUUUUUGUAUAAAUUUGGUCAAAUUUAAAACUGUUUGACUUCUUGGGGAGUGAGAGUUGCAUUCUUUUGGAGACAGAGGGAGUAACAUUUUUUUUAAAUAAAGGAAAAUCCCGGCCUUGAACAUUCACAUGUGAAUGUCUAUAGCCGAACGUUACAAGAGUUCUUAGACUCUAGACCUCAAACGAGGAUAAAAAAUAAGAAAGAAAACUCUAAAACAAAGAAAGAAAUCAAGAAGACUAAGCUUCAAUCCUUCACUUCGUCCACGUUCCAUCCUUGCAAAACCUUUACGCUGCACCAAACCAUCACAUCACUUGUCUUCUUAGAAACUCGAUGUUCGAACUGUCUGAUGCCACCGAGGUAACUAAGUCGGAUCGAAGGACCUCCAAGACGAUGCUCCAAGAAGAAAACGACAUCAAAGACGCCGUCGCCGCCUCAUCCAGCAAGCCAGAAUUGAGUUUUCACCCGGAGAUCCAUCAAAAUUUGUGUAGAUAGCGCAUCGGCAAUGCCUCCAAGAAGGAAAUCGGCGCAAGAAGCGUUGCCAUUGCCGGCCGGCGUGAGGCCGGACUGGGAUUUCUCCUUGCGCUCCCCGAAGCCACCUCCGCACGCCAGCGUCCACCAGGAGCACCUGCCACGGCCAGCCUUCGAGGCCGACUCUCCACCAACGGACUGUAGAUGCCAUUGCUGCCUUCCAAUCCCGCAGUCACUCCGGCAUCAUGGCCGAGCCUCCCCCCGGACAGGGUCCAGCAGGCACGCCGCCGCCGCGUAGCGGUCGCACGGCCGCCCCGUCAUGGUAGCGCCGGGAGGGAGUAACAUACAAUAUACAUUUCAUCCUUGCUUUAUACUGCACGCAAUCACUGAAGGUCAGUGACCUUGAUUGUGCAAAUUUUGACCUCUUGGUUGACUAGUGUACUGUGAUGCGGCAAGCAAUCUGAUAGGCCCGCUAAAACCUGAUUUCCCAAUUUUUCUAGAAAACACGCCAAUUUUUUGUCUGUAGUUCCAUGUUAGACGCCAGACUUAUGAGACAUAAAGGCCUUGUUGUUUGUAUAAAAAAUGUGCCUUCAAGCAUCAUCCACCAUUUGUUUCCCUUCAUGAUUGGGUCCUGAUGGCUGAUGAUAUCAUGUAUAUAUCAUGCAGAUGUCCCGUCUGAGAAGGAAACCUCUGGGUAUAUUUUUAUUCAUGCCGAAGGAGGACUAAACCAGCAACGCAUAGCUGUAUGUAUGCACUUAUGUUCUCCUCAGACUCCCUCUCAUAGCUGUUUGUGUUAGUUCUGAAUAUUUGUUUUGAUGUUGCAGUUUCUUUUGUAGUCUAAGCUGAAUUUUUCUGAUACCUAUUGAUGUCCUCAAACUUUGUUAUAUGAUAAUUUUAAAAAUAUGUUUCAAUGUAACUUUGUAACUCCUUUUGAUUGCUUGUGUUAGCGGUGACCUAGGAAAUCUUGUUUAGAAAAAUCCUGUUAAGCAGUGACCUAGGAAAUCUUGUUUAGAAAAAUCCUGUUGUUUAAUAUUAGAAUCCCUCUUAAGCAGAUCAUGCCUCUUUCUUGAGCAGUGUUUAUUAGUUUUCUAAAAUGCACAGAGUUUCAGCUACUUCUGUCAAAAGGUUUAAGUAGCAUCAGUGACCCAUCAGUUAAUUACCCAUAUUUGGUGUUUUUGGCUUCUGCAGAUAUGUAAUGCUGUUGCUAUUGCUAAGAUAAUGAGUGCAACACUUAUUUUGCCAGUUCUGAAGCAGGAUCAGAUAUGGAAAGACCAAACGUAAGUUCCGUUUCCUGUUCUAUUAUAUUUCACUGCUGUUAUUCAGGUGAUUGUUCUAUCAUAUAAAAUCUGGUCCAUAAAUCUAUAGAACUUCUAUCUUCUAGAAACUGAACAUAGCAUUCUACUAGAACACUAAAAAUGAACUUCUAUUCUUUCACCAAAGCUGCAACCUUGUCAGGGUUAUUGAAACUUGAAACUUACUUCUUGUUAGUUGUCAGAAGUCCAAGUGCUCGUGUUCCAAAAAUCUGUAAUCAAAAUACUUUUGCUAAGUAGCCAUUUUCUAGGUUAAAAUAUGCGGAGUAAUUAUCUGUGUAACAUACAUCUUUACUGAGUAUUAAUUUCUUAUAGAGGAUGAUUUGAUUUGCUAUGCUGUUACUUAAUUUUCAAAGUAUGUGCUUCUAAAUGUGACUGCCUCAUUUAUUAUGCUUCUCCUAUGAUUAUGGUACUGUCUUGUCACAAGAACAUCCUGAUUGUGGGCUGUAUUGGUGAAGCUGUGAUUACUGGAAAAAAUAUACGUGUAGUUGAUUAAUAAAAUAUCUACCAAACGUGCCAAAAUGUAUUUUUGACCUGAAAAUUUUGCAGCCAUUGAUAUAUAGAUCAAUAUAUAGUUGAUAAAUCAGCUAAGGAAACUCUUGAUCUGUGAUGUAAAUGCAUUCAAAUAGUAUACAGAUUAUAGAGACUAGGGCUCCAAGGCCCAAUCAUCUUUGACACAUUUGAAGUAGUUGUAGUGGUGAAAUUUGCAAGCAUGGAAGUUUGCAAUAUGAUGUAACAGUAGGUCUGAAGUUUCCUUGGUUCCAUAUUGCCACUGUACAGUGAAGUAGUCGCUAUGAGAUACACCACAUAUUCAUGAUUUCCUUAGAGCCCUUUACAUAUGUUGUGUUUUGCUUUUCUGAAAUAUUGCCUACAUUGUUGGGAACAUUUGCCUUUUCUACAGGAAAUUUGAAGAUAUCUUUGAUGUCGAUCAUUUUAUAAACUAUCUGAAGGAUGAUGUACGCAUUGUCCGAGACAUCCCAGACUGGUUCACAGAAAAAGAUGAGCUUUUCACCAGCAUAAAGUAGGUGCUACAUUUUGGUUUGAUCAUUGUCUUAACUACCUUAACUCAGAAAUUGAUCUUGCUAUAUGCAACCACUGUUGACAUGGAACUUUGUAUAUUUCUCACCUCUUUAAAUGCCGCUGUGCAUAUUUUCUUCUAAUACUGUAAUAUGAAUGUUUGAGACCAACCGACUUUAUUACAUUCGUAUUUUAUUCUAUUGCUCCCCCCCCCCCCCCCUCCUCUCUGUUGGACUUUUUUUUUCAUAAUAUGUAUUGAAUUAUGUGUCUAUAACAGGCGAACUGUGAAGAACGUUCCAAAAUAUGCAUCUGCCCAAUUUUAUAUUGAUAAUGUACUUCCAAGGAUCAAAGAGAAAAAGAUAAUGUCCAUUAAGCCAUUUGUCGACAGGUUGGGGUAGGUAAACAUUUGAAUGCAAUUAUUUUUGUAAUUCAUUCAGUUUUGUUAUUCCAUGAUGUCAGAAAGGUUGCUCUACAAUUUAUCAUAUUGGAAGAAUCUGAACCUAAUGUAAAGCUUCAAAUUUCAGGUACGAUAAUGUUCCGAUGGAGAUUAACCGGCUAAGAUGCAGAGUCAACUACCAUGCUCUAAAGUUCCUACCUCAUAUUGAAGAAAUGGCUGAUAAGCUUACGGCAAGGAUGAGGAACCGAACUGGCAGUGUAAAUCCAUACAUGUAAGCUAUAGUUAACUAUCUUCUAUCCAACCUAGCUGAAGUUUGGCAGUCUCACGUUUGUUUCACUAUCAAAUAUGGCACUUCUUUUGAAGGGCUCUUCAUCUGAGAUUUGAGAAAGGGAUGGUGGGCCUUUCUUUCUGUGAUUUUACUGGCACGCGGGAGGAGAAGGAAAUGAUGGCUGCUUACAGGCAGAAAGAAUGGCCAAGGCGCUACAAGGUCAGACAAACCCUGAGAAAUCUGUUGUGUUGAGUUUUUCUCUAAAACCUUGAGGACAUGAAGUCAUGAACCACACACUUUAUACCAUUUUAACAAAUUCCUAUUGUUUUGUGCUUGCAGAAUGGAUCCCAUCUAUGGCCGCUGGCGCUUCAGAAGAGAAAAGAAGGGCGUUGCCCUCUUGAGCCCGGUGAGAUUGCUGUGAUCCUGCGAGCACUGGGGUACACGAGUGGAACACAGAUAUACGUUGCGUCAGGGCAAGUGUAUGGCGGCAAGAACCGGAUGGCUCCCCUCAGGAACAUGUUCCCCAACUUGGUAAGCUCAAAUCCACAGCUCAGUUGAAAACACAAUUUUCCGCCGUACUCGAAAAAAGGACGGCAAAAGCAUUGCAUAAACUUUCUGUUUCCUUGAAGCCAUGAAACAAGAUGGCCAUUCUAUUCCACCAAGCUAAGACCAUCCAUACCAGCCAGCCAUGGUGAUGGUGACCUGCAUUGGCAUUGCUCAUCGCUGCAGGUGACGAAAGAGGAGCUGGCGAGCGCGGAGGAGAUGGCGCCGUUCCGGCGGCACGUGACGAGCCUGGCGGCGCUGGACUUCCUGGUGUGCCUGCGGUCGGACGUGUUCGUGAUGACGCACGGCGGCAACUUCGCCAAGCUCAUUAUCGGGGCGCGCCGCUACGCGGGGCACCGCCUCAAGUCGGUGAAGCCGGACAAGGGGCUCAUGUCCAAGUCCCUGGGCGACCCCGACAUGGGCUGGGCCUCCUUCGCCGAGGACGUCGUCGUCUCGCACCGCACGCGCACGGGCCUCCCGGAGCCCACCUUCCCCAGCUACGAUCUCUGGGAGAACCCGCUCACGCCCUGCAUGUGCAGGGCCUGACUCAGGACUGAGCCCCUGAGGUCCUGAACCAAACACCUUCUGGAGCCCUUCACCUACUAGAACUACUAGUCAGUUACAAUUCCCUGGCCAAGCAUUCUCUCAUCAGCAGCUAUGCUUCCAUUCCAUUAGCUCAGCAUUUGCAAUUUCUGCAUGUUUUGUGGCCUAAUCUGUAGUCUCACAUAGAUCGGUUCUUGCUGAAAAUAGUCCAAGAACUUGGACAGAUCAGUGAAAAGAUAAAGUAUCAGUUGAAACGCUCUCCAAAAUUCUCUUCGGAUUUGCCAAACAGAUCCACUAGACUAAUCUUGCCAGAGUGUUUCGGGCCAGAGUUUUGCGGAGACACGAGUACUCCGUAGUAAUACUAGAUUUGGCUGGCGACAUGAUGUGGACUACUAGAGAACUCAUCGGUGAACUCGCUGGUCGUGACGUUUCUUUCCACGCGGCAGCUCGGCAUGGCCAUGCAGCCUCUGUGCUCGACACGUCCUCCUGCCUCUCGAAGCACUCGAAAGUUAUUUAGAACUCGAUUGGGUACAGGGUUCUCGAACGAGCCUGGCUCGCUAAUCUCGCGCACAGGAGAGGCGAAGAGCCGCUACUACUACUAGCUAGAGUGGUCAGCAAUGGCGCAGCUGAGAGCACCCGCCGACGAGCAGCGGCAGCAGGAGGCGCUGCACAGCGAGAAGGACGACGUCGCCGGCGGCGGCGGCGGCAACGAGAGCAACAAGAAGGCGCGCGCGGGGCUCUGCGGCGUGCUCCGUGAGCGCAAGGUGGUGGACCUGGCGCGCGCCAAGCGCCGGCUGGUGGAGGUCCCCUACACUGCGACGCUGGCGCACACGGCCAACGCGCUCCUCGCGGCGCGCGUCUCCGCGGUCGCCGUGGCCGCGCCGCCGGGCCACUGGAUCGGCGCCGGCGGGUCCAUGAUCCUCGAGUCCGACCCGGCCACCGGCGCCGUCCGCAAGCACUACAUCGGCAUGGUCAACAUGCUCGACAUCCUCGCCCACAUCGCCGAGGCCAGCGACGAGGCCGAGGCCGACGACGAGGCGGUCGACCUCGACCGCCGGAUGGCCGUUCCGGUGUCCUCCGUCAUCGGCCACUCCCUCGAGGGCCUCACCCUCUGGACGCUCCAUCCAAACACCAGGUGCUUCCAUCUUGUAUUGGAUUGGAACAGGCACUCGUUUCUUCUUGGAUCGGAUUGCAACAAUUAUUAGAAUUCUUUUUUCGUUUCUUGUUGCAUCAGCGUGCUGGACUGCAUGGAGACGUUCAGCAAGGGGGUGCACCGGGCGCUGGUGCCGCUGGAGAGCUCGGCGGACAACGUGGUGGCGGUGGAGCUCGUGGAGUCCGCGCCGGGGUACCGGAUGCUCACCCAGAUGGACGUGGUGCGGUUCCUCAGGGCGCACGGCGCGGAGCUCAAGGGCGUGCUGUCGCGGACCGUGCGCGAGCUCGGCGCCGUGAACGAGGCCGUGUUCGCGUUAGCGAGCGGCGCCAGGGUGAUCGACGCCGUCAAAGCGAUGCGCGCGGCGUCGCUCACCGCCGUGCCCGUCGUGGACGCCGCCGUCGGCGAAGAGACACUGCAAGACGUAGACGCGCCUCUCGAUUAUUCCCAGACCGAGCUUCCAAUUCUCUGUGCUUAUACACGCGCUCGCUGCUGUGCGUUCUGCAGGGGGUGGGCAAGAAGGCGAUCGGGACGUUCUCGGCGACGGACCUGCGCGACUGCCCGGUGGCGCGGCUGCAGCCGUGGCUGGGAAUCAGCGUGACGGAGUUCAAGAGGAAGGUGGCCGAGUACCGGGCGAGCAACAAGCCCGUCGUCCCCGGCGCCGACGCCACGGACACCGGCGUCCCGGUCGCCGCCGACGCCGACACCCCAGCGGCGGCCGCCGUUGCCACCGAUGAAGAACGGAGCAACGAGCAGCCGCUGGUGACGUGCUUCCCGGAGAGCACCCUCGGCGAGGCGAUCGAGGCGGCGGCCACGAGGCACGUGCACCGGCUGUGGGCGGUGGACGGGGAGGGGCUGCUGCGCGGGGUCGUGUCGCUGACCGACGUCCUCCGGGCCGUGAGGGGGGCCGCGCUCGGCGAGGAUCGGGAGCUCCACAACAUCGUGUCGUCCUAGAAGUUGGCACUGAAGUGGUCGUCCAUCCAAAGUGUGAACAGCCAAAUAUAAUGUUGCUGACUUUUCCACUCGUGUUCGUCGGCAAGCUUGUGAUUUUGCCUUGUUCCUCUGUUCAACGGGUCCCCAGGCUUAGUUUGUGAGUAAAGGGUUAUUAACCCAGGGAGAAGGCCGGGAACCCGGCGGGGAAACGAGUUUCCAAACGAGCCUGCGGGGAAAGCGUGUGCCUCGUACGCCAUCCCGCGCGGCCGCGCCUCCCACUUUUCUCCCGCUGACAAACGGGGGCCACCCAACCGUCCCCACCCGCAGAUCGCCUUCCACCGCCGCCACUCCGGCUCGCCGCCGACCACCAAUCCCGCUAGCCGCUAUGGAUCCACGCCUCCGCAAGCUCGGGGCGUCGUCCAUGGCGGACGUGGAGCGCCACUUCGCUAGGUACGAUCCGACCACCACUCAGAUCGACGUUGACAGGAGCACGCGCCUGGUCGAUGCCGUGAAGAUGUACGAGCGGAUGCGAGCGGGUGUGAGAGGCGAGGACCGCAUCCAGGUCUUCAACCCGGAGCGAUUGCUCCGCAAGGUAGAAGCCGAAGAAGCCAUGCGCGGGGCGGUUGAGGAGAUGAACAGCUCCAUUGGCAAAGCGAACUUGAAGAUCCGUUCGGCGAAUGCUGGGAUUCGUUCGGCGAUUUGGGGCGAUUCGUGGGUUCAUGCUGGGAUGGUCUGAUUCCGUCGAUUUGCGAUUGGGUUUUGGGGACUGAGAUAUCAGGAUUCGUGGGUUCAUGCAGGACUUCUAAUUCGUGACUGUUCUGAUUGGUGCGGGGAUUCAGGAUUCUGACUGGGGAUUCUUCACUGUUCAUCUGCAGACACAGUUGGACAUUCCUAACCCUGAAGCUGAAGACGGUGUCCCUCCAGAAAGGGAGAUCUCCAAGAAGCAGAAGCUGAAUCUGCGGAAAGCCGACGCCGAAUCCCAAGUCACAUUUUGGAAGCUCAACCUGACAGUUCGAAUGCUGCGUUUUGUUGUUACCGAGUUCAGUGUCAGACAGGUAUAGAGUUCAGUUUCAGAUGGUAUAGAGUUCAGUUUUACUAUUUUAGAUCAGAAGACAUAGAAUUGUGAUUUUGCUUCCUAGCACAUAUUCUUAGGCUUCAUAAGCUUUUGUCAGCUUAUUUCAUUGUACUGCUUGUUGCAUGGAACACAUUCUGAUGCAGUUGAUAUCUGUGCUACACAAGUAUUUGCACAUGUCAGUUUUAUCCAUGCUGAGGUUUCUUGUAUGCUGAGGUUUUGCUUCUCUGAACCAUGAAUCAGUCACUUCUUCUUCAGCUUGAUGAACAUCAAGUAUAUUUACUAGAAUUAGCAUCACGGAUGUGAUGACUCUGUAUGGGUGUUGAAUUUCCUGUUGCCUUCUCUUGAAAUGUUUCAGAUCACUCUCUUGGUGCAGGAUAGCUUAACAGGUAUGCAAGUAUAACUCAUUAGUAACUAGUAAGUUGCAAUAUGUGGCUCUAAGCCUUUAGCCACACCGAGUACUAAACUGUGCAUUUUCUUUGUCAAGCCCAUGGUUAUCUGAGAAACCAAACCAGCUUUUCUGUUGUGUCCUUUGAUGCUUGGAUUUUAUUUUUAUUCCUGCAUAUGUAAAUGCAAUUCAUCAUUCAAGAAAUUACCGUGCAAUGGUACUUCAUUGUGAUCCUCGCAAUUGUUCUUCUUAGAGUUGGAAUCAGAUGACAUGCAUGGAUGUGGAAAUUGCGGUACAAAUUUGUGGUGGGAUUGAAUUCAUAAAUUUGCAUUGUUUUUGGAUUAGAUAUUACUGCUUAGGUACUGGGCAUGAUAAGCAAAUGUCGGGUUAUGCAGUUUAUGAGAUCCAGUUGAUACAGUAUAUUGCGUGAUUUUUAAGCUCAAUGGCAAUGGGUGGAAUUUGUCAGGGUUUGUGUUGGUUGUAGUUUAAAUGUUUAAUAUCUUAAACCAUUGAAAGUGCAGUUUAUUUUGUGAUCAAGGUUCUGAUAUAGCAGCUUGUUCUUUUUCUUGGACUAAUUCAAUAUGCAAGCAAUUUAAUUUCUCAAGUAAUGUAAUAUAUGCCCCCUGUGUGCUUGAUUCUCUGAACUGAUGAGCAUUCAAACAUUUUCUGAAUUAUUGAAUGGUUAUAGUGGUUGGAUACCAAUGUUGUUAGGAUGCAUCAUGCAUUUCAUUUUGAUUAAAGUAUCCCAUCUUAUUUUGGUGUACGUGAGAGGAUUUCAUCUCCUUGGUUCCGGUCGGAGAGAGACUGCCGGAGCAGGGAAGAGGGAGGCAGAUUGGAUGCCUUCUUUUUGAAAGAAUUGACCGGGGAGGUGGGCUGUGGCCUGUGGGCCAGCUGAAGGAGGGGGCUGCAUGCGGCAUCGUCCGGGCGAGCGUGUCAAUUGUCAAAGCAUUUUCGUUGGGAUAUUACAAUUGAGCACUACCAACACUUUAGUAUCGUUGACGCAGUUAUACACAUGCAAGGACCCUAGGCUACCGGAACCUGCUUGGUAACACAGGUUUGUCUCUUCCCAUAAUCUGCUGAGCUAGCGCGAUUAACCCACUAAUGGUGUCAUUAGUUCAUGAUUAACACACAUUAAAUAACAUUACAGAGUAAUAAGAUCGAUUCAAAAGAAUUGUUGCACGUAUUAACAUUAUGACGAUGGUUGUUCGCACGGAGUACAAGGGGGUGUCGUCCAAAAACUCCAAACUGAUCCUUGUGCUGAUCCAUUUCUCAUCCAGAUUCCAGUAUGAUAUUUUUUUUGUAGGAAUCAAGUACAAGAUUUGAGAACCGGACCAAUUUGGGGCCAUCCUUUGGUGGGUCCAUAUCGUCAGUUUGUUCAGGGUCAAAACAGUCAUUGCAAAUUCUUAAUAAACAGAGCUGAUUUUAAUUAGUGGCACACGAGAGAAGCGAAGUAUUUUCAUGGCACGUGAGGAAAGUGUAUAAAUCUCAGUGGCAUAUAAGGAUUUCACUCUUACAAAUAACAGGAAUAAGACUUUAUCCCAGUGAAAGUAAAAGGAUAGCCUAGAACAACGCUGAAGCUACAAUUGCACAUGUCAAAGUGAAGCUUGAAACUAGUCAACUCACGCAAAAGAAAAUGGUGGCUCCAAGCAGGUCCACAUUAGUCCAGGUCAAUCAAAGUGAAGCUUAUUCAUCUUCGGCCACCAUUGCAAGCCAAUCUGGGUCAAUUAGCUUGUAUGGCCAAACAUUUUCAACAUCCCUACGACGGACUUUUGUAACUUCAACAAUACCACGGUGAUCUUCUUUGAGAAGGUAUUUUCGUGCAACAUUAUAGCCAUCAACAAAACGAAGUCCAUCUUCUGUAUCCAAGUCAAGAGUUAUAGAAGCUACCAUCGGUCUCGGAUCUAUCUUCAUGGACUCAAGUAUUGUACAAACUCUGAGAAUAUGGAGUGCCAGCUCAAGCUGAUCUUUCUGACCAUAAAACCCCGUAAUAUCGACCAUCUUCAAAUGGGUGUGAGGGUGCCAAUGAAGGCUCCUUAGCUCACCGUGACACUUGUGAUACCGUUCAAGGUUACAGUCCAUCCACAUCUGCAAAAGAGAUGAAUAUGAAUUCUCUACAUGAGAGCACCGCCAUACACUUAAAUGUUCUUUCCAUAUCGCUGCGAAAUAUAUAACUUACAUGAACUUCCAGGUUUUCCAUCAAAGGAGCAACCUCCAGUAAGCAGGCUAGGUCAAGGACAUCAGUCCUCUUUUUUCUCAGGGAAACAAAAUUUAACUCCAAUCUCAGAUGUCUUAGACAGAGAAAAUUGAAAGGUUUGUUCGGCAAAGUUGCUCUCUAACAUAGAAAGUUGAUUGAAAAAUUAAGACAGAUUAAACUAAAAUAGGGAUGCACAUGAACAUUGUAAUCAAAACAAUUAUGUGCAGCUCAAACCUUUAGUUCUUGGCAAUUUGGUGAAGAUAUAUGCGAGAGAAGAUCGGAUAUCCGAUGAUUUGAUGGAUAGAUUUCUCAAAGUGCUAGGAGGUGCUUAAAUGAAUCAAUGGGCCUUCAUAUUCAAACGUUAUCAGGCCAACAUUUAACUCUAUAUCUUGAAGCAAGAUGCAAUGUCUGACUUGCAGAUGCUUAAGGUGACCUAAAGGAUGAGGUAUAUGUAGGCUAGUGAGCAUUCUACAACAAGAUAUUCCAAAGAACCCCAAAACGUUGCAGUUGGACAACAUAACUUUAAGUUCAUCACUAGUAAUAUUCACAUCUACUAGCUCAAGCUUUUUAAGGUUUAGAAAAGCAUUGAUUCUUGCUGGCUGCUUGAGAGAAACAGAACCAAGUUUUAUAGAUUGCAAGUGGGAACCACUAGUAGUAUCAAAAAACUGAAAAGGGAAGCUAUAUGGUUCCUUCCCAGGACGUUGAACUACAAAGUCAAAAAUAAGUUGUUUUGUCUUUGAUGCAAUAGCAAACUUCACCCAUCCAUCUAUGUGCUCUGUGUGUUCAUUGUGUAAUGGUGAAAAAUCGACUUCCAUUUUCUCAACCCCUAUGCCAGAGUGUUGCUUUAACACUGCAUCAACCCUCUGAAUAAAAAUGUAUUCACUUAUGGAGAAACGGGGAUCUCCUAGAUCCUUUUUUAUGAACCAAUGAUUUGAAAGAAAACUCCAUGUUUGUGCGUGAACACCAAACAUGUUUCCAAUGUUUCGAUAAUAUGCUUGUCCUCACACCCUCUCUUAUUGGUAAUCGUGAUAUGAUAGAAUGUAAAAUAUCCUGUAGCAGAGAAACAACAGUGUCACAAUUAAUUAAUCAUCUCUAUUUUAAAAACAGGAAAAAACACAUGGUAAAAGAAAUGCAUAGAAAGGAGAGUAGAUGUGUUCUAUAGUCUAAGCACGGUACAUCAUGUAGAGGUAGGAGGAGAGCCCAGUUAUGUAAUCAUAUUACUUGAGUCGUUUGAUAUUUCAUACCAUUGGUAAAUCGCUCAACUGAAGCCUUGGUCUCUUUUCUUUCACCAGUGGUCCAUUCUGUUUACCCUUUGAACUUCUCUUUCUCUUUGCCAUUCAACUGUAUCAACCACUUUCUGUAAGAAAGAUUUGCGCAAGAAUAAAUUAACUGGAACUGUUGCCUACUUGUUUGCUUAUGACUACCUGAUUCCAAACACAUUGUAAUUGUUUUUAAUGAAUUAAUUGAAGCAAGCCACAACAAAUGAUGAGAAUUGAGAAAUCUUAUUUAAAACGUUCCUCUACUCCUCUUUUGUACUAAUUUGUUUUAACACAAAACUAUAACAUAUCCAGUACAGUACACUAUGUGGCCUUUUUAUAUUUGUUACUAGAAAAAAGAGGGAAGCAAACAACUGGAGAAUUGUAGCCGUGGUAUUUAAUAACUUAGUUCUUAGUGCACGUACAAGACUACCGGAGCGCUAAAGUUUUAGCCACUGUCAUAAUAGUAGGGUGCCAGCAGCGUGGAAUUUGCAAGUCAAUGAUGCCUGUGUUGGGAACCAAUUAUCUCCCAAAUUAAUCAUAAGAAAUUCUCAGCAUUGAAACGGCAGAACUGAAAGCGGCGCCCAAGUCAGCUCGAGUUGGGGAUCAACUGCUGCUGCUCUGGAGUUCUAGAUCUGAAGAAUCUAAUUUUUAUUCGUAUAGAGGCCUAGUAGAGAGAUAAAAAGAAAAGUACCCGACUGGAAGUGGUGUCGGGUUGCGGCGGCGAACGGAAGAAGGGAUGCCGACCUGCACCCUGCUGCAGUCGGAAGGCGGCCCGACGACCGCGGGCUGCAAGCAGCAAGGUGCGUCGUGGCCAGGAGCCACCGUAUCGACGGCGUGGAGGUGGACGGAGGCGAAACCCUAGCCAGGGGCUGUACGGCGCGACGACCCGAGAGAGGACGCGGGUCAGUGAGGUUAGAAAGGAUCCGUCCGGCGAGCCCCCUCCUGCAUCAGCGUCCAACCAUGUUCAUGGGAUGAAAAACGAACCCGUUCGGCUAGGUUGAGCCGCCGCGAUCAGGAAAUAACCUAACCGAAAUACAGUAUGUCGCCGGCCCGGCCCGGUGAGGUGCCACGCGGCCUUCUCGCAGCUGACUUUCCUACGUGCCUCGUUGUGAUCCUACACGUACAGUCGCGCCGCGACCGAGGCUCGCCGGCACAUUAGAUGCCCGGGGGCUCGUCAGCAGCGGUGGCAGUAGUGUCAGCCAGGUACUCAGUCAGGUUGGUCGGCCAUUGAGUCCGGUUUGCCUUCGUAGGACGUCGUGCGCUGCAUUCCUUGCCAGAGCCGCUGGCUGCCCGGCUCCGCUCGGGCGGAGGCGGAGUGGGUCGUGGUGAGAGAGACUCGUGACUCCACGGCCGCCGGUCGCGUGAACGCGGGGUUGGGCGACUGCCACACAGCGCGCGCGAACCCAGCUCGGGCCACGACCCACGAGAGGCUCGCCGAGCCGGCGGCGGCGGCGGCGAGGCGGACGCGAGCGCUGCGUCCGCACGCCAAGCUGGCUCCGGUGGCCGCUGUCUGCCCAUCUGUGUCUGCCAGCGACGCGUGCGCGCGCCAGCGCGGAGACUGGACUGGAUAGAGCCCGAGCCGGAGUCGGAGAUGCGCACGCCCACGUCCGGGCCCGCUCCUUUAGACCGUUGCGCGCAGGUCUUUUCUUCUUGCACCCCCGCCCGUUUUUCCCCUUCUAGGCUUCCAGCAUCUUCCCCAUCUACCUUUCCAAUGGGGCAGACGGACGACCAGUCCAAGCGUGCUGCGCGCCUUCAGUAAGAAAUCCAUCCACUCCUGGGCCUUGCCCCGAAACAGCAAGAAAUUCACGGCCCGCUCAUCAUCUCAGCGAAUGGAGGUCGGCCCGUGUGUUUUCUCUCCGAUCCUUCUUCCUGCAGUGUCAGCUUCUUCCUUGCAAAAAAGAAAAAGCUUCUUCAACGACGUUCACAAAGCGCACUCAAUGGCUAGGACGUACACGCACGCGCACUCAAUGGCUGGCAACGGCUGUCCGGCGAGGAGAGCGCGUCGCUGACAUCGAAUCGAAGGCCGGCGCAUCAACUUCGUGUGGCGGUAUGCUGUGCGUUUGCUUGGAACGCGUUGCCAGGGGCGCUCCGGGCUGGCAAGUCCGGGCAUCCGGCCGCCCGGGAACAUGCCCAUGCCGGCCGUUCGUCCGGCGGCGCACCAACCUAAUGUGCCGCGCCCGCGGCGUCCCGUGAGGACGGACACCUCUCAAGUCUGAACUUCCAGGCCAGGUCUCCAUCAUCAGUUUAUCAACCGCCCCCGCUGGCUCCACUCACGCCAGUCCGGGCUGUCGCGCUGGGUCGCGUCGCGGCGCCGACGCCCCCAGCGUGGCCGGGACGAAACGGGACGGGUGCUCGUGCUGCCCCCGCGCGCCCCGGACUGCACGCGGAACGGGAACCCAUGCUGGUUCCGGUGGACCACCCCACUAGCCGAUGGAGAUGGCGAGGUGCCGAGGUGACCACCCGUCCACCCGUCGUCUGGCAGCGACGUGCAGUGCCUCCGGCCGGAGUCUGGACUGGAUAGAGAGCUAAAGCCAAGCCGAGAGCCCGGGACGCGCGCGCCCACGUCGUUUUCCUCCCUUUUCCUCCUCGUCCGGCUCAUCAUUUCCGGCCGCCACCGGGGUCGACCGUUGCGCACUUCCGUCGUCGCCUUUCCAGUUUCUGGAUUUCCCCCCUUCAGCUUCCAAAUCCAGCCGUAGCAGAGGAGGCGUGCAGCAGCCAGUAUCACUGACACCCCUGUGACCUGCACUGUGUUUUCCCUGCUCGUACAUCACGCUGUCAACUGUCAGACGGGCGACGUGAGGACAGAAAACCUGGACGCAUGAAUUUGGCAGGACGGUUGGGAGUUGGAAAAGCGAAAAUCCAUGCUUUUGCCUCUCUUUUUUGUGCAAAAAAAAAAAGAAAUAGGGAAUUCACGAGGUGCACGCAUGCUCGGCAGCGAGGUUCCUGCCUGCCGCCGCCGGCGAGUUCCUCUUCCUCCUGCCCGUCACUCGCUCACGCGCCCGGCGUGCGCGUCCGUCCUGACGCCGGUUGGUUAGGCGAUGGAGUACGGAGUACCUUGGAUCACUCAAAUCGCUCCUACCACCAGUACCACACGCACCUUCACCGUCGCCAGCGGAGAGCCUCAUCACGACCGGCGCCUCUCCCAACCAACCGUGCCGGCCGAUCACUGCACGCGCCCGGCCGCUCGAGUGCCACUGAAGCUGCUCCACCUCGCCGAUCGCAAUUAGCAGGAGCUUAAUCUCACUUCCAUUAAUUAGCACCUGCUCACAUGAGCACGCAGAGGACCUAACGCGUGUGCCUGAAUACUACUAAUCCAGACAUGAGCCACAGGUGCCGCAGCCUUGCAGGGCGCAGAUGGCAUCUGAAUGGUUGGAUUACGCUGUCGCGUGACCUGUCAGUAGCAGUGCUAUGUGACUGGACUGCACAGCGGAACCGGUUCCUCUGCAGUACUGCAGAUAAACUCGGCGCCACCGAGCUAGGAGGCUGUAUGUCAGUGGAACGAGUUCCUCUGCAGUCGUCUUCCAUUUUGAUGGAUAGGUUAACCGUGGAGCAGAUUCAGUCAGCGUUGUGUCGGGCCAUCAGCUGGUGGAGUGGAGAUGAGAUGGGGGCGCAGUACCUGUAAUCUUGAGCCGUAAUAAACUAUAGCCAGUGACAGCCUUAUUAAGGGCUAACAUGAGUGUGAUUAAGAUUCUCCACCUACGGGCGUCGCAUGUGAAAGUAGGAGCGGAGCACACCUCAAAGUGGGCAUCGCCGAUCGGGUAUGCGCUGCACAGAUUGUUGGCCUCAAGUUCUAUUAAUUGUGCGUGGGGCCCACAAUCUGGUGGUGAGUGCACUAGCACAUUGAAUGCUGUUUCUUUUCGUUUCUUUUCCCGGUUUUCACUUCAUGGGAAAGGCAAGGGAAAAGUGUGAAUUAAUUUCGGCAGAAAGGGAGACAGGUCAUGCAAGACAGAAGGUGCUCAUUAGUUCCUUAAUUGUUACAGCUAGAAAGAGUGCCAGUUUCCUAUUUUUCUGUAAUUGUUUUUUUUUCCAUUUAUCCUGGUCACGGUCCUAAAAGUAGCUUUUUUCUAGACGUGAUCCUACAAUUUUUUCGUAACAGCUCUGCGACGCUCCAGGGGAAAUAGGCUCACGAAGCAGUUUUGAUUCGAUUUUUGAAUGCUUAUGCUAGAAGAAAGGCAACAUCCCAAAUUGCUCAUCCACUCCAAUAAAAAAAAAAGAACUCAUGGGACACAAUGAUUUGCUGGAUUUGUUUUUCUGGUAUUUCUGAAGUUUUUUUUUUACAACCAACUCAACACUGAAGAUUUCGGCCUACACUCCUGCCCUCACAAUUCGCAUGGUAACUGAAUCACAAAUAGUGAUUAAAGAACUUUAUUUUCCUAAAGAAUUUACUACCGCCUCUUCUUCCCUCUGUAAAAACUAGGGCAAUAUUAAAACUUCAUUUUAUUUUUUCCUUUAUAGAAAAGCCCUUCAUUUUACCCCUGUUGCCCCUUCUCCUCGCAAGUUUUUUCCACUUGUUUCUUGGGCAACAGAGUGAGGUUAUGUUUGGAUGGGCUAAAAGUAAGAAUUAAAUAUCUACCCUAGUUAUAAUAAUAAACUAAAAAUAUACUAAUUAUAAAUUAAUUAGAGUUAAUGGAAUCUACACACUAAUUAACCACUAUUUGUGCAGAUUUGUUCAUAUUUAGUCCUACCCAAAUUUGAGGACUAAAAACUAACCAACCCUGAGAUCCAAACGGCCGAGACGAGGCCUCAUGGCCAUCUGGCUUCUCAUCACCAACAGCUCACAUUGAUUUCUUCCUUCUCCACUACCUCCACCUAGCCAUCUUCCCCACCCCACCAGGCUGCCGCCACCACCACCUCUCUCUCCCUUCCCCUUUCUUUUUCUCCUCCCUUUCUGAUGCUUUGACGCCACCGCUCGCAGCUUUGGCCGUCUCUGUCUGUCUCCCGUCAUCUCCUCCUCCUCCGCCACUAAUUAAAGCAGAGGCAGGAGUUGUGGGAGAGAACUGAAGAAGAGAACAGACUAGAAGCGGAGGCGAGGGGAAGGAGGGAGCGGGGCGAGAUGUUUGACAGCUUGCUCAACUCCAAGUUCUACAACAAAUGGUACAGAAAUCUUUCCUGCUGGUUCAGUUUGGCGCGUGAUUGACGGGCUUCAGGUCCGGUUGUUAGUUGUUACCCGAUGCUGGCAUGGCUGUUCUUGCGGACAGUCGAGUUCGAAAUCGAAUGAUUUGGGCUCUCUUCGUUCGACGAUUUGUUCAGCUUUUCGAUUUGCGCAAACGAAAGGAGGUCGAAUGUUUUGUUGCCAGCAGCCGCACUUGUUCGCUUGCUUGAAUAUCUGCGUCCAUCGUUCUUCAGUUGCUUGAUCUUUAUGAACUUUCCUGAACUUCCAGUCCCCCCCUCCCCCUCUUUUCCGCAGGAGGUUAUCAGGCCCUGUUCUUGAUUUGUGUUCUGCUCUCCUGUUGAUUGUUGGGGUUCCUACAUUCUCGAUUUGACCCGUAUUUGUUUGUUUUGUGCUAUUUCCCCCUAAUCGCUGGUUUUUUUAUUGAUUGAGCAGCAAGCAUGCAGUCAAGUGCACCCGGACUCGGCUGGAUCUGCUCCGGCGGAAGAAGCAAGCCAUGGUGAAGUUCCUCAAGAAGGACGUUGCUGACCUCCUCUUCAACGGCCUUGAAUCGCACGCCUUCGCACGGGUACUGUCUGCACUCUCAAGGCUUCGACCUGAAUAGUUCAGUGGUCUUGGAUGGAUUUAGCUUUGGUGCGAAUUUGACAAAACAGAAAUAUUUCUCGAAGUGCCGAUGCAGUUGAAAAUUAGUGCUUUGCACGGAGAAAUUUGUGAUGAAAUGCAGGAUCAUGUGAGGGUUCCUGUUGUGAUAUGUUCCUAAUUGCUGUUAUUUGUUUCCCCUGGACUACAGAUGGAAGGGCUGAUUGUUGAGAUGAAUCAAGCAUCUUGCUAUGAUAUGAUAGAGCAGUACUGUGAAUAUAUUGUGAAGCAGCUCAACAACCUGCAGAAAGAGAGGUAAUUGUCACCCUUGUCGCACUCAUCAGUGAUGCACCAAAUUCAUCCUGCUAACAUCUGUUUUACAUCGUUUGAUGUUAUGCACAUGUGCUCUGCAUUUGUUUCUGUUCUUGCUAGGAAGAAAAUUGGAAACAUUAUCAUUUCUUCCAACUUUAAUUGUAAUAUCUUGGAUUUCUAGUCUGCUGUAGCUGAUUAAGAUGGCUUAGACAUCAUCCCUUUUGAACAUUCAGUUAGACUAUGACAACUUUGGUCUAUGAAGUCCUAGCUUAUCUGGAUUGUUUGGUGAUAACUGCUUUACUGUAUAGCUAUUGUUCGAUUGCCUUGUUUAUUCAUACUCAAGGCAUGCCAUACUCCUGUUGUUAUGCAUGUGUCUCAUCAAGAUUGAAAAUUUUAAUACUGAAAGCUCAGUCAAGGUAGUUAAUCAUUGACUUGAUGUUUGCCUUUCUGGUUUAACAGUUUGCAUAGUAUUCCCAAGGUUAUAGAAGAUAUGAAAAUCUCAAAGCUACAUAUUCGCCAUCGUUCAUAGCUGGAAUUGAAACUAUUCUCUUUUGGUUGUGCUAUAUGAAUGAAGUGUGUGUCACUAUCAAAAGAUCUUGUUCUUUCAUCAUUAUUUAAGAUUACAAUAAGACUUUCUUCCUUCUCCAAUUUUCACUGAAUCUGUGAUGUCCUUCAACAGUGAAUGCCCUCAGGAAGCCUUGGAAGCUGUGUCUACUCUGAUAUUUUCUGCUGCUAGAUUUCCUGAUUUGCCUGAACUGUGUGACCUCAGACAUAUAUUCACGGAGAGAUAUGGGAGUUCGGUUGAGCCUUUUGUUAAUUCUGAGGUGCUUAAAAUUCUUUUUCUUUCUUAUGUGUGAGUUGAUCUCCAUCAUUUGGAACAUAUCAAUUAACUUAACCUUUGUGUUAACAGUUUGUCCAGAAGCUUCAGAAUAAAUCAUUUACUAAUGAAGAGAAGUUGCAAGUGAUGAAAUCCAUUGCUGAAGAAUUCUCCGUUCCAUUUGAUAGCAAGGCACUGGAAUGGAAGAUAACUUGUGGACCUCAAAAUAAGCAUGUAUGAUCUUAGUUAACUUCUUUGCAUUAUGUAAAUAUAUGCUCUCCUUUUUAUUAACUACUCAGCCUAUGGGGUCAUUCAAUUCUAUUUUUGACAUUCUUUUUUUCAUCAGGAUCUUCCGAAGAAGAGUUCAGUUAAACGGGAGGUAGAAGCAUCAGCACGAAAUGGACACAAGGUUGAUAGGCAUGCUGUGAAUGAAAGAAAAUCUAACCCUGUGGCUGAAAACUAUGGACAGAAGCAGGAAAUGAAGACAAAGCCCAAAGAUAUCCAUGUCAUUCCUGAUGGAAUUGGUCAGUUAGGUGAGAAAAGCAGGAAGAACUACUCAGAUAAACCUAGUGAAAAAAGGCACAUGGAUAAUUCUUUGCCUCCUUUGGACGUGAAAGAAAGGAAUGGCCAGAAAGAAAUGAAGAAAUAUGAGAAAAAGGAUGAUCACCUUCGAAGGGAACUAAGGAAUGCAGAGGAGUUGGACCUCAAUGGCUUAAAGAAACAGGAUGGUGGUUUAGUGAAACCUCCCAGUGGCACUGAGCAUAGUUGGGGACAUGCUGACUUAGGGCUUAAAACUCUGGGCCUAGAAAAACAUGAAAUUGAUUCAAGUUGCACCUUGAAUGGUAAAACAGUGAAUAAGGCUCCUCCUUAUUCUAAGCCCUACAGAGCAACAGGUGAGAUGUCCGCUGAAGGAAAUUCUAACAGUUUGUAUGAUAGACGAAAGCAUGAAGGAGAGUUUGGACAGUCGAUGCGAGAUAGGCAGCAUGUGCCAGAGAAGGCAGCCAGUAUGCGGCCUCCUUAUGUUAAGCCAAAAUUUGAAAAGCAUACUGGUGCUGAAGAAAUAGGCCACCCGAAGGGUGAACCGGUUUAUGAUCCUGUUUCCGUCAGAAGCAGGCAUGCAAAACCACCUGCACAUGCUGAUGAUUAUGCCAGAAUGGCUUAUGAGGAAAAGAUGGCAGACCAAGCACCUGAUGGCCGAAGAAGACAUUCAAGCAGGAGGAAUGGUGCCUAUGACGAUUAUGACCAGAAAGUUGGUCAUGUGCUACCCCUAGAAGUCAUGGGGGGCAAUGAUGAUAUCAACAAUGCGAGACCUUUUCACCGAAUCCCUAGUGAGCGAAGAAAGCACAGAAGCAGGCGUCAUGGAUCAACAAGUGGCAGCGACUACAAUGGGGCCAUUGAUGACCACGAGUCAGAUGAGGACGAGGCGAACACCGCAAUUGAUUUUGGCAAUCUUCUGCCCCGAGCCCCUAGUUCACACAGGAAGCACAGGAGUCGGAGUGCUGAUCCCCGCAAGGGAGGCCGUGACGAUGAAGAAAGGAUGAUGGAUAAGCUCCUCAUGCAUUACAGCAAGAAAGGUCUAGACAGGGAGGAGCGCAAAGAAAGAGUAAAAUCUCGUAUCCCCCGGCCUCGAGCUGACCGACCUGCUGAUGGUGCUGCAGAACUAUCUAACAAAGAAGGGGUGUCUGCAAACCGCCCUGAAAGAGCUCUAUCUCUACCUUCAGAAUCUGCAAGCCCAAAGGCGAAGCCAAAGGCCCCUGUUCGGUCCAUGUCCAUGCAGCCAGAAAUUUCUAGAGGGAAUGUGCACCCACCGGAUUUCGACGAACUGGCUGCACGGAUCAGCGCGCUGAGGAACACCUGAGCUGCCACGAUACUGUCUUCAGCAUGGCCUCUAUUCGCUCAGGAACUUAUAUCAUAGCAUCUGAGAGCUGAUGGUGCCUGGGGUCACUGGAUUGAGAAGAGGACAUUUGAAAUGUGGUUGCCUCCUAUUUUUUGCAACAUUUUCUCAUGGUAGUAUACUUGUUUGUGUUGCUCUGAGUGUAAUCUUGGUAGAGCAUUGGCAGGAAAGUUAAAAAUGGCAAUUCAUAGGAUACCAUACCUUACUACAUUGAUUUGGAUGUGGUUGUUUGUUGUACUCAUAGAACAAUUGUUGUCGCUGUACAGAUGCCAUUGAUGAGGCUAUAGUGAUAAAGUGAUUUUCUACAUCACCGUUGAGUGCUUCCUCCAUUUUACAAUAUUUUUACAACCUCACUGUCAGCAUACACUGGAGAAGAUUAGGCAUUUCUAUCAAGAUACCAUAAUAAUUGAUCUAAUGACUAAUUAUACUUAGCUGCCAACCGUAUAGGAUUGUCAGUUUUGUCUGACGGACCACCCAUCAUCAUCUGGAGCCAUUUUCUUCAGCAAAAUUAGGCAGCAUGGUUGCCGGAUUUCUUAUUUCUCCUAGGAUACGAAGACCAUGUGACGGUUGCCGCACAAAACGGUGCCGACGUCGAUAGGCUCUGGUAGCAGAGCUGCCUAAUAAUUCUGCGCACGUUCCUCUGGAUUCCUGAUCAAUCAUCACUGCUACCUAGUAGUAUUCUAUUUUUUUCUUGGAUCUUCAAAACAAUAUUCUAGUAGUUGUACUAAAUUGUCAACAGAAACAACUACCACUCUUAUUUCCAUUUCGCCCGUCUAGACAUAAAAGUGGGACAAAUUUUCAUGCUAUUCUUUAGUUCCUCUGUCAUUUUGAGUCAAAACAACUGACGAACGCUUGCCAAACUGCUCUAUCAUCUCAUCAGUUUGUCAAAAGAAAACGGCAAAUCUAAGUCAGUAGUGGGUGGCGGCUUGGACUCAGGCCGUGCACAGGACUGCAGGUGCAGCUAGCAGGCUAGCCCAAGGACCUCAUGACACCGACGACGAAAUGCAGGAUGCAAUCGUCGCCGCCGCCGUCGAGUAUGUCGUCGCAGACCAGCCGCUCCAGCGCGGGGUCCCUCGGCAGCGCCCCGGCGUGGUACAGCACCGUCGCCGCCGUCGCCGUCACCGGCCGCGUCGCCACGCAGGCCGCCAGCCUCGCGAACGCCCGGAGGAACAGCGGCAGGAGGCCCUGCACGCGCGCACGCGUUAGCUGACGGUUGCUCUCCAUUCGCGCAGCGUGCUCCUGCGCAAAAAUGCAGUGAAAACCACGUGCUCACCAUGGGAGAUCACGGCCGAUCAAAUGUGCUCGACGAUGCAGCAGCAUGCGCGUGAGACCUGAAGCCUGAAGGGUUGGUUAGUGCGUUGCUGAUGUUUAUAUAUAUACAAAUCGGUAGCAUCGGAACCAUCUGCUGGGAGGUUUGGAGUUGCAAACGGUUGGCGGUGGCAACGACGGGCGCCCAUUGUCGCCUUCGGUGCCGGCCGUUGCUCGCUUGUCUCGGCACUGUGCUCUCUCCAGUCCAGCUCUCGGUUUUGGACUCGGCUGCUUCCUCAUAUUCUUUGCCUCUGCGUCCUGCUUUCCUUGCGUGCCUUUCUCCUCGCCAGGGUCGCAAAGCCGCCCAACGAUGACAGCGACCGGGGUUGUUGGCAUCGCUCGAGCCUGGCAGCAGGAAAGCCCUGGUCAGUUCUUCCAGAUGAAGAAGUUCAAGACCGGUGAAAUCUCAUCUUGUGCUAUAGCUUGUGAGACUAUGAUCCCCUCUCCUGAGUUUUCUUCCACGAAGGGCCUCGGAUGGAUCCUUGAUUCCUUGAUACACUACACAAGGUAUUGCUGCAGUUAGCUGCGAUGAAGGUUCCAGUGUGCCAUUAUCGAAGAGGUUUCCAAUACUAUACAUAUAUUCAAUGCAUAAAUACAAGGUGUAGUAUAGCACGAAUUUAUUUUCUGCUAAUGUUGCAUAUGUAUAUACCUGAGAUAGUAUAUGAAUAUAUGACCACCUAUACUACAUAUGUUCAUAUGUUCCAAAAAUUGUUUUAAAAACCAGGAAGUUUAGUUAUUCACCACCUUAACCCUUGGUGUCUCAUGAAACGUAAGAAAUCAAGUGACGCCUACCCUUAACUUUUUGCAAGGCGGCAGGAAUUAAUUCCCUGCUAACAAUGCAUAUAUACAUUCUAUGACUGACAAGGAUUAAUUUCCUGCAAGAAUGUGGUGAAGACUGCAGUAUGGCAGGAAUUAAUUCCCUGCUAACAAUCCAAACACGCUAGGUGCAGUAUAGCACGAAUUAAUUCCUCCCUAAGAUGCAUGCGUAGCAGAUAUUGCCUGAUUUAACGCGUCAUCCAUGAGAACGCCAAGCGUCCCCCUCUGAAUCUCUCUCGAGCAUUGCCUACAAAUAGGCACACUCGGUGACACCAAUCAACACCAGCUCUCUUCUUCCUCACCAUCAAGUGGUUUGAGGCCAUGCCUCGCAACGCCUCGGCGAUGUCGUCCAUCCUCCUGAUUGUGCUGCUCUUGGGCCUUGGUAAGCAUGGAUGAUAGUCAAGGACGAUCCAGCAAUUCAGCAGCUCAAGCACCUCACCAAAUGAUCAAACAAUAAUCUGACCAUACUAAUGCUAGCAAAUUCUUCAGUCUGACUGCUAUGUUGUUCUUCGUGUAUGCAGGUGGCCACACUAAUGCUAGCAAAUUCUCGACGCUGCACUACGAUGUCCAGCAACCGGGAGCUGACGAAAGCCCUCGUGAGGAGCACCUUCAAGAAAAACUUGCAACCAUCAUGUCAUACAAUCUUGACUGGGCCUGCCUUCCCAAUGAUCCUUCCAACCCAAAGUGCCGCGCGAGCAAGUUUUCCUGGCCUGAGCUGGUGGGGAGGAAGGGCAGGGAAGCAAAAGCUGUGAUUCAGAGGGAGAAUCCUUCUGUCGAUGCUGUGGUUUACGCCCCGCAAGACGCCAUUGUUACGGACAAGUACUGCUGCAAUCGUGUUAGGCUCGUCAUGAACUGUGAUGCUGGCUGCGACUAUGAAAAUGCUACGGUGUUCCAAAUCCCAAUUGUUGGGUGAUGAGCAGGUUAUUUUGUUGUUGGGGGGUUGCAAGUGCAUAUGCAUCCUCUUUUUAACUGCUGCCACAGCGAGCAUUCUCCAUUGUGCAAAAAAAGAAAAAAAAAGGAACCACCUGAAAAGUCUUGGAUUUUAGAAAAUGCCCCAAAGAACAAGUUGUGUACAAGAGAUGCAAUGGAGGCAUUUUACUUGUCAAGGAGCAAAAUGAUGAAGGAAUUCAAGAUGAGAGUUUAUCAUGGCGUAUGUCAAGAAUAUAUUGCAGCAGGUUGGCACGGCUGAUUCCAAGCUUACUCGAUAUAGAAUUUAGGCAUUGGAAGAUCUAAAAACCACGUAAAAGUUGUUCUAAAAAUUAGGAAAACUAAUUCACCCCCUCAACCUUUGGUGUCUUAUGAAACUUGAGAGCACUUUGUUGGCAGUUGCACGCAGUGCAUGACAUGGGCUGGACCGCACGGCUCAGGUGCCUGCGUAACGGCCCAGUCCAGCUACUUAGAGCCUUCCUUACCUGCUUCCUGUUCGCUCUCCACGCGCGUACGCCGCCGACACACGACAAAACGAGGCAUAAUCAUCGUGCGUGGAAUCCGAGCCAGAAACCUAAACGAACACCUGAUCCAAGAUUCCAAGGGUUCUAGUCGCCUACUCCGCACGUCCUUGGCUGUAUAUAUACGAAGCAGACAUGCAAACCCUCUGGCCCCUCCCGUACGUCGCCACUGGAUCACGUACGCCUUUUCGAUCGAGCAAGCUCUUGGUCGUCGACGACGACGAUCGCCAUGGCGGGCGGGAGGCAGGGCGGCAAGCAGAAGCCUCUCAAGGCCCCCAAGGCUCCCAAGAAGAAGCCGCAUGCAGACUGAUCUGGAGAACCAGAAGAAGAAGAAAGAGGACGAGAAGGCCCUCAAGGAGCUGAGGGCCAAGGCGGCGCAGAAGGGCCCGCUCGGAGGCGCCGGGCUCAAGAAGAGCAGCGGCAUAAAAAUAAUUCUGAAGACUAGUGUAUGUCUUAUUUCUGUUUUCAUCAGAAGAUAGAAAGAAAGAGACAUGCAUGGUGCCUCAAUUUUGUGCUGGUCUUGAUCUUGCUGGUGUAGAAUCUCGUAGAUUACCUGUCCUGAUUCUGAAAUUUUCUUCAGUUUCGUAUGCCUCGUGUGGUUUGUAUGAAGUUGGGAACGAUACAGCAAUUCGCUUAGAGACCGUUAUUUUUAGGUGGUGUUUGGAUCCAAAUGCUAAUGGCUAAAAGUGUUAAAGUUUAGCACUAGUCCAUCUAAACAGGAGUGCUAAUAUGAUAAUCUAAACUUUAGCCAAGAUUGAAAAUUUAAGAAAAGAUAUUCAAAUACUAAUAUGUGCUAGAAUCUAGCACUCAACUUUAGCUUAUCCAAACAGGCUUUUAAUCCUCCUCUCUAGUGUUGGUAUCGCAAAGAGGACAGUAAUAAGGUAUUAGCAUCCGGAACAUUGCAAAGGUAACAAAUCCGGCUCGUGUAGACCAGCUAGCUAUGACGCUGCCGGCCGCUACUGUUGCUAGCCAACGACCUCCUUGCUACGAGGCAGCUGGAAUCGCCUACUUCUGCACGAGCAUAUGGCGGACCGAGAGAUUGAAAGCAGCCCGGGCGAAGCGCAGGUAACUCUUUCUUCUCAUAUCUGGCAGAGCAGAUGGGCAAAAGAUUCUAUGGUUAGCCUCUGGAUACAGAGGCAUCGGAGCCCGGGCGCCCUGGGUCCGCCGCAUACGAGCAUGUCUGCCAAGCAUACCAUGUCCGCCACACUCGAGUGUCUCCAUUGUCUAUGGGAGUGAGGAGGCCACACGCAAAAACUUGCGUCGCUCCUGGCAUUUUCACUUGUCCUGUGAAAAAGAAGUGGAGCUCGAAAAGGGGCUCUAAGCAACACGCAUCAAGCAUAAGGAUAAAGCAGUCUUGAAUCGAUAAACAAUCUUUCAAAUGCUUUCUAGUUCCGAACCAAGUAUAUCACGUUCCGCAGUGAACAUCGCAGGUGGCCAAAGCAGAUGCUCACUAUAACAAAAUGACAGAAUUGCUAUUUCUGGAUCUAUGCUGCAAAGCGUGCACGCAAUCUGCUGCGAUAAACUGCCUCGAGAUUCAAAUAUCCUAAACCUCAGAAACGAACAUGCAGCAGCUAGCGACCCACAUGAUCUUAUGCGUCAGUUGGUCUUUGUUGACUCGGACAAAAUUCUUGGGAGAGAUUCAGAAAACUAAGGUGCCAUUGCUGAGUGCCAUCUCAACUACUUGUGCUCUUUAAUUUCUUUAAUGAUACCGUCAGCGAGGGAAUCUGUAUCAUAGUUCUUGCCGUAAAACUUGACAAACUCCAUCUUUGGAUUCAUCAAGUACCUGAAAGUAGAUGAACAACCAGUCAGUGUUUUGAGAGGGCAUAUCUGAAUCUUCUCAGUAUCACUAGCCACAUGGCAGCAGAAGAAUAAAUCAGAAGCUUCUACAGUUGCAAUGAGUUUGGAGGGGGUACUGAUGGAGAAUAUAACAAAUCAGAAUGUGUGCAUUUUCUCAGUAUCAGUAGAUGGUGCAUGGCAGCAGUAUUAACAAAUUAGAAGCCUCCUACAGUCCUUAUGAGUUCAAAAGGAAUAUAUCUGUCAACCACUUAGUUAAUUUGGGAUUCAGGCAUUCCCAGUAUCGAGUCUCUAAAGCAUCCAAACGAGUGUAUAUCAUAAGUAGUUCCUACUGGAUACCCGUUGGAGCCCUGCAAGAUAUAUUCAGAAGGGUUCAUAUGCAAUAGAGAAACUAACAGGUUUCUUCAUUUUGCUAUGGAUAUUGUAGAUAUGCCAUAUCUUGUAACAACGAAAUAACUAGAACCAGAAUCAUCUCAAUUGCAGAACAUUAGCAAAAAUAAAAAAUAGCCAAAGUCAUUGUCCAGGAGAGAGGAAGAUUAAAAUAACAUACAUGACAAUUGAGUGGUCAACGAGAUAGUCAGAACCCUCCUCCUCCGUCUUCAUAUAGUAAACUCGGUAAGCACGUGCAACUUUUCUUAUCUCAUCUGUUGUGCCCGUUAGUCCUACCAGAUCUGGAUGGAACUCUGGGAGACACAAAUAAUUCAUCAAUAAUAGGAAAUUCAUUGAAUAAGAUGAACUAAUAAUAGUUCAAAUAGCAACAAUCUUUAAGUGAACAUAAGCAUUAGGAAUUGAGGGACAUAAGUGCACGGACACACACCUUUAACAUAGUCCCGAACCUGCUCAACAGUAUCUCUUUCAGGAUCAACUGUAAUGAAAACUGGCACAAUAUCCAAUUUUGCCUUUUCCUCUGCAAAUAACAACGGAGUUUAUUAAAAAUAUGCUAAUUUAACUGUCUACUAGCUCUAGUUAGGCACUUCAGCGGAAUUUUUCACCAAGUGCUGUUGUAUGUGCAUUCCACUUGCCCAUUCACCAUAUUACUUUGUACAGUAACGUGCCUUCUAGUUUCUAGGUGACCAUUUAAAGCAAGAUAACAGUGUUCUUAUACAUACCAUGAAGACAUGAAGAUAUAUCAAUAGACAGUAAACAGCCAAUACAUGACCUAGGAAGGUAGUUAUAUCCAAGGAACAAAAGAAACAUACUAAUUUUGUCAAUCGCUGCAGCCAUUUUCUGGAGCUCAUCUGGACAAAUGUCAGGACAGUGUGUGAAUCCAAAAUAAAGCAGAGUCCAUUUUCCCAAGAAGUCCUUUUCAGUGACAGGCUUCCCAUCAUGGUUCAGAAGCUUGAAUGGACCACCAAUGGCUGCAGUGCCUACUGAUUGUCCAGGCUUCACAGCACUUGUUCUAUUCUUCAAUUCUGGGGAAGAUGGAACAGAAAAUAUCAUGAAAAAAAUUAAACAGGAUUCAAGGAGCUGAUGCCUUCCUACUAUGCUGAUAAUACUUCUAAAAGGCACAUGUCCAUUUGUACAAUCAAGUAAAGUUUUGCGACAAUUGCUAUAAUAGCAAAUAGAGAUCUGAUUCUGAACCAGGAAGAUGGUUUCUUUUCAUAUUCAAUGGUGUCAAAACAACAUACAAAAAUAUAUCAGAUAUGAUUAGCACGGAGUCCUCUAGCAAUUGUUCCACUGGCCCUAUAGUAUGGUUUCUGAAUUUUUGCUGAUGUCAUGAAGAAGUAUGACAAGAGCAACAGUAGCCACAUAUAUACCGUUUGUUCAACAAGUUUAGUGUCCCGUUCAACUUUUGUAUAUGUGUCCUUGAAACCCAUGCAUAUGCAUUUACAAAGAAGUUAAAAACAGCAACAAAAAUGCCAGCAGUGGUUACAGAAGAAAAUGCAAACAAAACAUUGGUCUUCAGCUUAUUGUCUCUUAGUGUAGACUGGGACCAAAUUGUUGCUAAAAGCACACCAGUUUGUGGCAGGGAAAGCUUAGGCAGCUGGCAAGGUUACGGCUCUCCAUUUUGUAUAAACUGACUUGGAAGAAUUGACAAGAAAUGUAUGAAAUCGCCAAUUGGUCCUUUCUUGCUCCAACAUGGCUGUCACAAAUCCAGUAAGCUAACUCUUCCCUUAAUGAUGAUUUCACUUAUAAGUACCAUAUGUUUUCCAAAAAGAAAAGGAACUUUUCAGAAUAGGAGAUGUGUGCUCUACAUUUUUAUAGAACUUGCAUGAAACGCUGAAUAAAAAAUAAUACAAUGCUAGGGAUGUAAAUUAGGUGCUAGCAGAAAAAAUAAAAGCUCUAAAAAUUCCUAUUUCGGCACUCACAAUAAAAUGGGAUUAGAACAAACAUGAGACAAUGCAUUUAUUGCGGGAAAAAUGCAUUCCAGAACAUCACAUUCUAGUAAGUAGGUAUACAGCAAGGUGCCAAGGUGCAGCAGCAGCAGCACUCAUGCAGGGAAAUUAGAAGGCAUUAACAUGGGUAAUAUAUAAGACUCAGAAGCCAAAUUCUCACUAAAAAAAGAUUUGGAAACCGAUAAACUAUACUUCUCGUACAUUUAAAUGUCACUUUAUACCAAUCAAUUCACAGCCAGCAUGACACUCGAGACACUUCAGUGCACAUGUAUACCACACGCACCAAAACAUUUUUUUCCCAUAGCAACAUUCCAUAUAGCCAUGGCAUAAUGUCACAAAGUGUAGCCAGAAAUUUUAAGAUGGGGUUCAAGCAUUGGAUUUUAUUAUUAGACAGUUCGAUAUUUAUAUGGACUGAAGAUAUGGUAUAAUGAAGGUAUAUACUAGGUUAAACUGUUUGCUUUAACAUAAUUUUGAAAAUAUCUGGUGAGUCAAUUGAAUCCUGUGAACUAUGAGAAAUCCACUCACGACAUCAUGAACUGCUUUGGCUUAUUGGACCAGCAUAACCUCUUCAAAUUUGGCUAACCGUGUUUCCUCCAAUCAAUACGCCAUCGUACCAACACGGACACUACGAAUAUUUUUCUAUUCAUAGCUAGAUACAGUCCUAGCAUCAGUCAAACAACAACACAAACUCACCAUAGUAAUCUACCUUCAAUGUGACGCUUCUUUUCUUUAUCGUAGUACACAAUUAUCCCUCCUCCAGUCACGAGCAGCAGUAGAAAACUGAGCCAGGACACCGGCUGCAAGGAAGUGACAAGUGCUUCUGAAUUAGCAUUCAGAAAUGGCCUAACAGUCUAGAAACAAUAAAUGCCCUAAGGAAAUGAGAAAUUGGUCUCUUGUUAGACGCUACGUACAUCACUACUAAUUCGUGCCGAAUGAAAGAUUUCAGAGCAAUUGUGUUUAUUUUCCCCUGCAUAAGGAGGAUAGAGUACGAAUUGGGAUUACAAGCCAUAACUCACCCCUCCGCGGACGGAUUUUCCGGCGUCCGCUUGCUCAGAUUUCCCAGACUGCCCAUCGCCGCCUCCAUCCCCGCCCGUCGUCGCCGCCGCCGUCGCCGCGGGAGGCUUCGACCCGCCCUGCGCCGCAGUCGAGGCGUCGGCGGAAAAGAAGCGCGCGCGCCCCAGGAACGCCGCUCCGAACCGAGACUCACCGGGCCCAGUGAUCUGCAGCACGAACAAAACCAAACUAAUCACGACCCGGCGUCGCUACCAGAAGGGUGAGAGAAGAUCCCGCGCUCGGCGGUCGCCAGCGACGAAGAGAAAGGCGCUGAGGUACCUGAGGCAGAGCUCGAGCGGGAGGAGGGGCGAGGCCGGGAGCGAGCGCCCGCGAGAGGAGCGCGCGGAGGUGGGACACGCGCGCCCUCAUCGUCGACUCCGCCCGCGCCGCUUCGCCGGACCGGGAUUGGAUUCCGCUGCGGGAAGGGCAACGGGUUGCUCCGCGCCGUCACCUCGUGGCUCCGGCGGCGCCGUGGGUUUCAGAGGGGGUUUUCCAGCUGCGAUGGUUUGCGAAUGCUUUGCUUCUUGUGCAAGAAGAACGUUUCAGUUUCACGAAUCGCAACCCAGGAGGUUAAGCGCGUCAAGCAUCAUUAACAUUUUACUGACUUGUAACAUGUCUAACGAUUAACAUUACUUCAAAGAGUACGUCCUUUGCGUGUGAGCCUGCUUCAAUUAACAAACCUAUUUCGCAAAACUUUCUUCUUAAGUUGUCAAGUAACAAGCAUUACUAACAAACGAAAGCAAGGGUAUACUGAUUAGCCAUCCAGUCAAAAGUUUAAUUUGGAUUUGGUUGGGGUGCGCCAGGCCCUGCCAGCAGUGCAACGGCUGGGCGACGCUCGAGGGCCCCAGUGGCAAGCCACUGUAGUGGACCCUCCCCCACAAAAAAUAAAUUUAAUAUCGAAAUGGGCACAUGGCCCACAUAUCAGAUAUUAAACUGAUAAGAACAGAUACUACACUUGAUCUUAGCCAAAAGGCCGAGAAAGGUAUGAUUUGGGAUGGAGCCCUGCGCCUAGUUUUAUAGCACGCUCGACCGCCUCACCCGCCUUCAGCUCGCGAUGUGGUACUAUCCGGGAAACCAGAAGCGGGGCGGAGGGGCGCUGCGCUGCGGCUCCCUGCCAUUUGGGUUUCGGUGUUUCAUUACGGCCCAACUUGGCGGUAUCAGCCCACAUGAUCGGACGGCCCAGUAAUGCGACUUCUAGAGUCGACCGGGCCACUUGUGGAGCACGGGCCGGCAUUGAUAUACUCUCUCUCACACACAUACAGGUUUUGUCAGUGUCUCACGCCAGUACGCCGCCUUCAUGGUGGCAGCGAUGCCAUAUGCUAGUAACAAGCAGUGUUUGGGUUAUCAACUCAAGCAGGUCUUACUUCUUUCUAACCUUGCUUUAGGUCACCUCGUCUCUCAAUCUACAGAUUUUGAGAAGGUAGUUGCGACACCGCGACUCCCUAAAACGAGGCCGGGAGCUUUACCGACCUAAAGUUGAGAAGAUAGCACGCAAGAUUUACCGAACUGGGCUAAAAAUAUCGAACCGAGGAUGCUUCUUUAUGCAAAUGGUUCCUGAGAUUGGCAGUUACCCAAGUCCUGUUUCGCACUGCCGUAGGCAUCAGAUUCAUAUUACUCCCCAGAUUUCAGUCAUGGUGACUAAGUCCUGCUAACUACGAGCAUGUUCGGCUUUCAUUAAAGAACAUCAUUUCUUACAUGCCAUCGUGCUCGCUAAGGCUUGGCUUGAGCCGACAAAUAGGAUGUCCACCACAGCAGGGAAGGAAUUUCUCUAACGACGGCAAAAGCGACUACAAGCUUACAGGUAUCAGAUUCCUGUGACAUACAAGCUUGCUGCAAACACAAUGUCACGCUUGAUAGCAUUAGACGCGACCUCCAUCUUCUUGUACAGCGCAGAGUUCCCCAUUAUCGAAGCCGCGUUCCUGAAUUCUCUGCAUGUUUCAUCCAGCCGGACGAUUGUUCUUACAAUGAGCCCCUCGGAUACAUCUGUCAGCUCACAUAUGUCCGCAAAAGGAGUUCCCUGCAUUGAAGCAACAUAAAACAGCAUUACAAUCCAGCAUUCAUCUUGGAGAAGUGUUACCAUUACGAUGUGUAUACCUUUGCCCACUCGUAGACAACCUCAACAAGGCCAAACUUGAGAUUGUCACGUGCAUACUCCUCAGGAUCCACAGGUACCUUGAACUGUGCUUGGAGCGUUCCUAGUCUGAUCGCGGUAUCAUAAAGCCUAAUACAGAGAAAAACACAAUUGCAAAAGGUGCUUCAAACAUGUUUUCCAAGGAAAUACAACUGAGAUUCUUAAGAUGGAUCAUGACAGGAAACAAAAACAUGAUAGCAAAAGGUGAUUGAAACAUGUCUUCCGAGGAAAUACAACUGAGAUUCUUAAGAAGGAUCAUGACAGGAAACAGAAAAGGGGAGCAAAAAACUAAAAAUCUAACCUCUUUUUGGCUUCAGUCAAUUUUGGAGUAAGAGAUGGUUCUGAUGUAUUCCUCUGCUGGAAGACAAAUGCAGACAUAAUGGCCACGGCUUCUUCAGGUUCUAGGUCAUCCAAUUGAUUCUCGAACAGACAUUCUGUUGAUAUUAGCUCCUCACCGGAGUUCAUUUCACAGGCUACUCGUCCCUUAAGUUGCACAACUAGAUCAGAAUCAAUGUAGUUGAUUACCUUUAGUAAAUCAAUCUGCAAGGAUGGAAAAAUUAAAGUGUUAGAAAAUAACUUAAAAGUAUAGAAAUGAAAUCAGAGGUGGUUCACGGAAUGAUAUUAAAUUCUUGAAAAUCUGAUAAUAGCCAAUAUAAGCAUUCCACGUACAUUCACCUCGAUCUUAAUGAUUUGCAUGCAACUUUGUGAUCCUGUAUGGAUUGGGUAUAUAUGAAUCAUUUAUCUAUUAAGCCCAGCAUUUAAAAUCGAUAAUUCAAACUGUUGUUCCAGCACAGUAGGACUGGGACCAAAAACCUCCCAUAUGCACCAACGCAAAGCAAUUGAAGAAAUGACAAUAUCAGGUUUUUCCUAUGCUGCAGCGGCUAUGAUCCCUUGACCCGUUUUUCUUCAUGUACACAACAGGGCAGCAAGAGGAAAGAGUACAUGAAGAAGUCUUACUCUGCCUUGAAACUCCGGCAUCUGUUGAAGCGCCUCAUCUGACAUUUGGAAUUUCAAUUCAUUCAGCUGAUCCUUGUACACCUUUUGCUCCCUCAUCAAUGAUAUAUGCUCCUUCAGUUUUAUACAACCAUGACACUUGUUUUCAGACAUUUUUUGCAGUAGUCUGUGAUAUGCAUGGUAGCUUUCAACAAGAGACAUGCUCUUCAGAUUUAGAUCUAUAGCACCAAAUGACCACAUCAAAUAGUUAUACAGUUUACAAAUCAACUGAAGGAAAUCAGUGUGCUAAUGUUAUAUUCAGAGCUAAAAAUUAAAUUAAAGGGUGAAAUACACCAGAGGUCCUUAAACUUGUUCCAGAUUCUCUUCUUGGUCCAUAAACUCCGAAGUGAGCAUUUGGGUCCUUAAACUUUUUAAUUGGUUCAUUCCAAGUGAGGUCUAGGUACAUAAUUGGACCUGAAGUGAACUUAGAAUGAUCCACUUGAAAAGUUUAAGGAACCAGAUACCCACUUUGAGAAUUUAUGGACAUAGGUGAGAAUCUGAAAAAAGUUUAUGGACCCCUGGAGUAUUUCUCGAUAAAACAUACUGCUGAUAUUACUUGAGAACUUCGCAGGCAUGAAGGCCAACACACCUACACCAUUAUAUAAUUUUUGAACCAAAAUUCCUAUUUGAUAAUGCUGUUGAAUUAUUGUGUCUAACCCACUCAUCCCCCUAAAUCCAGGAAAAUAACAGGCUAGGAAAAAUGUCAGGCACAGUAUAAUGUAAGGUACUAAGAUGAACAUAUGGAACUUCAAGUUCAACAUCACUUGGGUUUGAGUUUUAAAUUCGGAUGGUUCAGCACAACCUAUUUACAGUUGUACAUGGUCACAUAUUUUUACCAUAUUCAUUUGGGUUUUUCAAAAAUCCUAUCUCUUUGGUCACUCAAACUUUGCCUGAUCCAAACAAACGCUUAGGAGUUUGGUGGUAAGUAUAAGCCACGAGAAUGCAGGAAAGCACCCAUUUACACUGUCCAACUUACAAGAUUGACAGAAUCAUAAGCAAUCCACUGUUUUAAAUAGCUGACUCCUUUCCUAGCCAGUUUAAACUUCAAUAAAAUAGCACAAAACAAAUAAUCGAGCCAUGCAGAAAAUUUUUACCUUUUAUUGCAUCUAAAGCAGGAGGAUACUUAGUUCCUUCUGGUUGCUCUUUUAUAAGCAGUUGGACAGUUUUGAAGUAAGCAGCUUUGCUACCGUCCUCAAGGAGUUUAACUUGAUCAAUCUUUAUUUUACUGGUGCAUAUACUCAUGAUCUCUUUUUUCUCUAUUGCUCUUACUUCAAAGCCCAUUCCAGAUGCAUCCCCCUUGUAUGGUAGGGAGAUUUUGAUAACACCUGAACCUUUUCGUGAGCUGCCGGAAGAGUAAUAUUCAUCAUCCAUGCCACGUUUUCCUUUCGGGGUAAUAAAGCGUCCUUGUUGAAAAUCCCCAGGUUCCUUUUCAGUUUUAUUGGACAGCUCAGGGGAUAAUGCAGAUGAAGUGCAAUCACCAGUCAAUACAAGAACAAUGUAUUUGUUUAGUGCUUGAGAUGGACCUUUCAAUAUAACACCAAGCAAGUGAUCAUCAUCCUGUCAAUAUGUUCAAAAGUCAUAGGGUUUUAAUGUGGAAACUGGAAAGGAUGCAACUAUAGCACAUCUAACAGUAUGUGUUCAAAAAAACCAGUCUUGUUCGAACAUAGGGCUAUGGUACAAAUGAUAGAAUGAUAGCCUCCAAAAAAAUUAAUAGAACCUUCCGAAGUACUUGCUUAAAUUUCCUGGUUAAUUUUAUCCUAAGCAUUUAAAGUGGAGGUGCUAAGUAAAAAGCUCACGGAAAUUUAGAUCGGCUUGAGCAAAGAAUAUUCUAAGAUCAAGCUUGAUUUCAAGCUCAAGAUUGAUCCCUAGCAAGCUAAUAUCAUGCUUGUGUAUGCUAAAGUCACAUGAUUUUUAGUGAUUCUUUUGGAUUUUGAACUCGGAUGUUUGAUGCUAAUUUAACAAGAGGGUUUAAACUUCAAUUUGGAACUUUAAAGAAUGCUUUGGUUUCUUCUAAGCUUCUCAUAUUUCUUUAUGUGCUACUUCUGUAUCUUGCUAAAUGCAUAUAGAAAAUCUAAAGACCCAAGUGCCGAGCAAACUUUCUAUUGAGUUUUUAACAGUUCGGUGUUGUGAAAUGAAGCAAUAGAACUAUGUAAAUAAAAGCAUUGCCAAAAGGAACCGACAAACAAAGAGGAAGUGUGCAAAGAGAAAUCCAAAUAUGAUUAAGACAUACAGUUUCAGAUUUAACGACCACCAAUCUCCCAGGCAUUAGGAACUGUUGAGCACUGGACGACUGCAUAAUUGCCUCUGUUAUACAUUCCCUAUGCGCCUCAGCUUCUAAUGACAUCUCAUAGUAUUCUUCAAUUGAAGGCUCUCCUUUUAUGCACCUAAUACAAGAAUAUAUAUAAUAUAAGGCAAAGCGAUAAAAGAAAAACUAAGUUCAGUGCACACAAAUACUGGAUACUACACUUUUAUCGGUACUUCAGAUAAACAAUGAAAACGUAUCAUAAACUGCCAUUGCAAAGAAAUUAUAAAAAUAAACUUGUUGCAAUUUUAUAAAGAAUGGAAAAUGCCUACAUCAGCAGGCUUCUCAUCCUUUGGGAGCUAAGGGCAGCUCUAAGCCUAUCCACGUUCAAUAUCCACAUCUCUGCAUUCGUGGAAUCAAAUCAUCGUCGCUACUCCUAGAGUUGGCUAUGAAAUAAUUGCUGCUAGCCUACUAGAUUGCUUGUGUAUUCAUUAUUGUCAAUUAGACAAACAUUUCCACGGUCCAUAUGAUUUAUUUAUUUAUAUAUAUAUAUUUUCACCUCUUCAUUGUGCCAAAGCAGUGGUAAUUACAGCCUACAAAGGAUCGUGGUUCCAGAAUUUGCCUACCAAAAUCACAAAUAAAACACCAAUACUUCAAGCUUUAGCUUUAUAUGUCAAAUGAAGAUUCACUUCUUUAUGUUUCCAUUUUUAUGUAGAAUUUGGAAAUUUGCUUUUGAAGUUUUGGCAUCUAUUGUAUCAAUCAGGUAAACAUGUUAAUGUCUCAGAAUCUUACUCUAUUGUCUUUGUAGGUUGACGAAGCAUUUGUAGAAGUAGCUUUUCCUUCUCAGGCAAAUUCUUUUGUGCAUGGAAUUCUGCAAAACUUCUCUUGAGCAUGUCCUCAACCUAUCAGAAAAAUCAUCAUUGAAGUAUAUUACCUUCCCUAUGCAUGAGGGCCUAUUUGUUUGAGCUUCAGCUUUUUGAAGAGCUGAUUCUAGAUUGUGGCUUUGAAAAUGCUGAUUUCCAAAAGCAGACUAUUGGAGUGCACAUGCUCAUAAAAACUGGAUACUUCUAGUGACAGAAAAGAGUGCCCCUGUCGCCCUUUAAUAGUCAAAUUAGUAUCAAAAGGAGAAAAAAUUUAACAUCAAAAGAGCCCUGAUAUAUACACUAUUGAGCAGAUAAUACAGAAAGUUUAUCAAAGACAGCCUUGGAAGUAAACUUUGUUAAGGCCUUGAGGGCAGUAGCAUAAUAGUCUGAUGUUAGUGCUUCACCUGAUGGUUUGCUGCAAUGUUUUUUUUUUUUGAAACAUAUGGUUUGCUACAAUGUUAUGUUUUAGGAAAGACUUCAGUGGCAUUUCAAGAGCCCAAUGGGCAACCAUAUGUAGCUAAACUAUACAGAAAACAAGGACGUUACCACAAAUACUCCUAACCGACACAUACUAUUACACAGCUACCCUUGACAUGCUGAAAUUUGGGAUGCCUUUAAUUCAGAAAUGCUUCUAUCACCACACGCACACACUUAUUGAUUUAAAGUAUUUUAAGGAAGCGCAGAGGCUGAUACAAGUACUGCCAUAGGAACAACAUAAAUGUCUUGUCUAGUUCUGUUUUCAGUCCAAACUCCAAAAAUUCAAAUGUGGACCUGUAAGACUCUAAGAAAUGUGCAUGGAUGCCAACAAGUAUAAGUGUUGAUAGGUAUACCUUCAGUUCCUCCACACGUAGAAGAUGUAGUAUCAUAGUGUAUGUUAAUCGAAAUUGAGAUUCCAAUCGAGUUGGUUUUCCAACAAUCAAAUUUUUCAAAUCACUUUCUUCAGGAAUUUCAUCACGACACAUAAUGAUCACUGUACCAAUGUUAUCAAGUCCUCUCCUACCAGCUCGUCCAGCCAUUUGAAUAUACUCCCCUGGAAGCAAUUUUCGGUGUUCUUUUCCAUCAAACUUUCUUAAGGAAUCAAACACAACCUGUUGGGUUUACAAAAACGCACUCAGAGCUAGCUUCACAAUCCUGAGCUUAAAGGCAUGGAAAAAGCAAGUGCAACCUAAGCACAGUUAAAGUUAGCUCAGUCCAAAAGUGCACAACGAAACAAGAAAUCAAAGCAUGCAUCUGUGUGUCUCAAACAUCUAUGUUUACAUGAGUUCUCUUUCCAACAAAGAAACACUGAGCAAUGCAUCAUAUGUAACUGUGAACAGCAAACAACAGAAUAUGUAGAAAUGGAAAUAUGUAAACAAAUGUUGGUAAGAUUAAUGCAUAAAAAGUUGGUUUCAUCAAGGCAUGUUGAAUUAAAGCAUGCCAACCUGCAGUCCAUAGUGCAAUCAUAUAAAUUAGAUUGCUAUUUGCGCUUAAAUAUCCCUGUAGCAGCUUCCAAUUUGGAAGAGAUUGUGUAUCAACAGGAAAAUGACAGGGAUUGUGUUCCCAUGGUCGAAAAAAAACACAAAUAAAAUUAAUAAGUAGACAGUGGAAUGCAAGCGGUACCACCUAACAUAGAGUCGAAUGGUAUUUGGUAAUAAAAAUACUACAGCGAUUUAUUCAAGAUACAAAAGCCUUGAAAAUCUUUAUUAGGCACAAAGAAUCUCACCGUUCUUGCUGGUGCAUUAACACCCAUAGCAAAUGUCUCAGUGGAAAACAGUACCUGAAAAAAGUUCAAGAAAGUUAAAAAUUUACCAUUCAGUUAAUUAAGACGCAAUUGUACCACAACAUGCUAUAAUUGUCAAAGGAGCGUUAAAAAAAAGUAACUUUUCAGGAGCAACUGACAACACUGCGAUGUGAUCACAAACAUAGUUUCUCUAUUACUGUUUCAAGUUAAUGGACACCUGCAGCAACUUUGGACAGGACAGGAUGUACUUAAGCCAGUGAUCAGCAUUUGCAAUUUUUUGUUCUAAAUCUAGUAAACAUCCAACAGUCUCAUAAACUAGAGUUCAUGCAUGGACUCGUUUCCUACGAGCUUCAAGAAGUGAAAUUACUAAGGCAAACGCCAUCAUGAAAAAAAAAAGGAACAAGCUGCUGCAUCGGUUAGUACUUAGUACAACAGCAUCUAGUAUGUAAUUAAAUAUGCUACGUAUACAAGUUACCAGAUGUUCAAAGCAUAACCUUGAUUACGCCACGACAGAAUAGCAUCUCAACCACUUCCUUCACAAUAGGGAGAAGCCCAGCAUGGUGUACUCCAAUUCCUCUUCGUAGAAAACUUUGUAUUCCUACAACCUAUCAAGGAGGUCAAAGUUUAAAGCACUGAUUGAAGCAAAGGCGCACAGGAUACAGCACUAAAAUUUAUGAGGUAUUAGAUCACCUGUGGAAGGUUCCUAUCAGAUCCUUUAAGGCGCGAAAAUGCCUUGUCACAGAAGACACGGAUUUCACUUUUCUCCGAACUACUGGUGAGAUCAGUGCCAAACAUGCUAUCUGCCGAUUUAUCACAACGGUUCUUUGAGAAACAAAAGAUCACCACCUGCAAAAGGACCAUCUAAUGAUCAGAUAAACACAUUUCAAAUGUGAAAUGACAUGGUAUGAUUAUGAUAAAAAGGAAAAGUAGAAUCCAUAACCAAAAUGUUGAGUAAUUGUCAUUUUACAACAUGUUGAGAUAGGCUUCAGCAUACAAAUCUAGGGUAAAACAAAUUCAAUGUAAAUGCUGAACAAGAAAGAGGUCAAAUAGAACUAAUAAUGUCAUGAUUGCAUGAUAGAGAAAACAGAAAAGUUAUACUCUCACAUACAGGCACAAGGGAUUUCUUCAGCAGGUUAUUCACAAGUGGCAUCCAAAAUGAAGAUUCUGAUCUCUUUGGCCCUGAGGAGCUUUGUGAAACUGCUGCUGCUCCUGAAUUGGCAUUGUGGUGCUUUGGGUACUUCUGAUCUCUCCCCCUGCUUGAUGUAUCAGGAUUUUUGCCUUGAAUUCCAGCACGUACUGCAGGUGUUCCUGAUUUUGGACCAGGUUUCACUCCAAGCUUGUUAGAAUUUUUCUUUUUGAAAGCAUCCUUUGCUUCUCUAAACCCUUGAGUAAGAAAGGUAUCCCUCUCACAUAUUUUGUACAUUUCUCCAGAAUAGAACAAGCAAUGCUCAAGCGGAACAGGCCUUUUGUUAGUCCUGGUGAACACAUAAUGACAGUAUUGUGCAAUCAAAAUUAUAGCUGGAGGUAUCCAAGCAUAUUCAAAUUUUGCACUUUAAGGCAAAGCUACACUAUCAGCCACUUAACUGUUUGGCCCUCUGCAAUCAAACCCCUAGUCUAAUCUUAUUUAUCCAAUCCCCUAUAUUAUCCACUUAUAUGUAAUCAAGUCCCUUUAAACCAAUCGAUUUAAUUUGUGCUCCUCAACCGAUUUUGUUUAGUUAAGCAUGGCCCUUUCAAUUGGUGCUACUCAGCUUUAUUCAACUUUGAACUAAUGCAUAGGUGUCUGGACAUUAAGUUAAAUCAAUCAAGAUUUGCAUCUUAAACUCAAAAUGUUAACUAACUAAUAUUGGUCUAAAUCCUCAUUAAAAAAUAAACUCUAAUAUGCUGCCAGGUUUUGGCUUAUAAAUGUAUCAUAUUUGUGCAACGUUAGCAAUCUGUUGUAAUCUAAAUUCAUUAAUCAUCUAUAUUACAAACAGAGGAGAGAGCCUUUUCUACAAUCAUCUUUCAUAGUGUACGGGCAAUCAUUGUCCUUGGAUCGCAUGCGUUUACUUGCGAAAUUAUUUUCAUAUCCUGAAAAAUUCAAGGCCAAACUAAGGUCGUGUUUGUUUCAGCUUCGGAUUGUGGCUUUUACAAUCAUAAGCCGAAACAAAUAAGCAGUCUGUCACCCCUGAUCAUAACCAAUUAAUUUCCCUCUUAUACAAUUGAGUACAAGAAUGCUUCAGAACCUAGAAAUGAGUUGUAUUUAAUGGCUACACCACCCUCAUAACCUGUCAUAAAAAACAAGUAACUGAAAUUUAUGAUUUUUAAAAUAACAAUUCCCCGAUAAGGUAGAUUCCAUGUACCCGUUGACUAGCAUGGAGAAAGGAGCUAAUUGGGUAAUUAGAACCAACCUGGUGGCUAAAGCAACUGAUAAUACAGUUCAAGGGCCUUAAUCUAAUUAAUUAUCUUAAAAUACGUACUAACAGCACUUACGACGUGACACGAAUUUUCUUCUGCUUUGUUCGACCAAUCCAGUCAGCAAAUUCAACUGUAUUUGGAACCUGAGAAGAAACAAUUAGGGUUCAACUCCAAACUAAAUUUGAACCAGAGAAAUAAUAUAGAGUUCUCGAACUUUAUUCAUAACAAGCAAAGAAAUUCCGACUACUGCAGUGCAUUAAAAUGGUAAUUUUUGCAUCAGAUUAUUGUAUUAAUCAUUGUUGAUAUUUAGAGGACCAAUUUUCAGUUAUUUUGUUUCCAUGUAGUCCUAUUUCAAUUUGUGGUUGAAUACUAACAGCCAAAAUUUGGACAAUUAACAUCAGAGAAGAUGUCACUUUAGUGCAUGAGUAUCAGAAAUCAGGGUGAUAACACUAUAAGAUCAAAGUCACAUGCUAUAAACUCGGCCAAUCGCACUUCCUAGCAAAAUUCACCUAAGGUCAGAGUUCUGCAUCAACUAUUUCAAAAGAAUAAAAGAUCAAAAGCGACUACAAAUGGCAUUAGCAUGCCAUACUGUCCUAGUUAUUAUUAGGCAACUGUUUGAACAACCAAUAGUGUGCACUGUGCACAGAAUGUUUGGUUGAUAGUGAGCAUAGUGGCUCAAGUGCAGUUCUCAUUAAAUCCGUACCGUUGCCGAAAGGAGAACAAUGUUAAUGUGCUUCGGGAGCAUUAUAAUAACUUCCUCCCAAACUACACCUCUUUCAGCGUCGUUUACAUAAUGCACUUCAUCAAAGAUUACCUGAUUGUACAAGUAACCACACAUCAGCACACACUACUCCUUAAGAUUAUAAAAAUGAUAUUCAAAAUUAAAGGCACAGAGUAAUACACAAUGAUGCAGAAUUGAAAUGGCUUACCCAUUCAAUGUCACGUAUAAUGUCCGCACCUCUGUAGAGCAUUGAGCGCAAUAUUUCAGUAGUCAUAAUUAAACAAGUUGCCUCUGGCCUGAUGCUGACAUCUCCUGUCAGAAGUCCCACAUCAAACUUUCCAGAGAAAUCUCGGUAUUUCUGGUUGCUGAUAGUUUUAAUAGGAGCAGUAUAGACAGCCCGAGUACAAUGCUGCAUAACAAAAUUAUCUGUCAUCAUAAGACCCAUGCUAACAUUUUCUUUUUAUCCGGUGCUGGUUUAAGCCAACUAUUAUGGUAAGCAACGAGAGAUAGUGCACGGAAGUAUGUAGUCUAAAGCUCCAUCUACUAACAAAACUACAAAAGUAACGGUGAAAUCUUAUCAGAAACUAAGAACUGCACACUUCUCAAAGGUUAAGUUAAAGCUUUCCCUCCUAACAGAAGCUGGGUGCUGAACAUCACAGUUUACAAGCUAUAAAUGUGGAAGACGUUAGGUGGUUUCAAAUGAACAGAAGUGCCCAAAAAAAGAAGAAAGAGCAAAGGCAGUCAUACUUUUGUUGCUAAAGCAAAUGCAUACUCGGCAACAACUGUCUUUCCUGCUGAAGUAUGGGCUGCAACGAAGACUGACUCACCCUUCUCAAGAUAAUAUAUAGCCUGUGCUUGGUAGACAUAAAAAAUGUAUAGAUUAUCAAAUUGGCAAUUAUACCAAGCAUUUAAAAACGUAUUAAUUUCAAAAACAUAUUGGUAGGUGAUAGCAAUUAAAUGCCUCCUUGUAAUACAUAGUUCGCACAGGAAAUAUAGAGGAAAGGAAAUAUCUGUCCACUUGGUGUUUCCUUUCAUUCAAAAUUUCUGUGGUAAUCUUGUAUUCCAGUUCAAGGAAGGACAAGAUAAAGAGAAGACUGGACAGCACAGAAAAGACAGAAUAGCAUCGUCGUUCAUCAAUUUCUUAAUUGCUAUUCAAAUUGAAAAAAAAAACUCAGAAGUAUGAAAGCCAGUGACCUCAGCUGGGAAGGACAGAAAUUUAAUCAGUAGAGUCUUUUGGAAGGACUAAUGAUUCCUAGUAUAAUUUGAGUGAGGUUUUUCAGAGUUCAGGUUAACUUAGAAAUUCACACUAUGGCACAUAAAGAAAAAUGGAGAAACGGCAGAGCAAGAGGUUUAGAUGGCGAACAUUGUUAGCUCCCAUACAAAAAAAGCGGGAGUAGUAUUCUCAACACAUCUAUAGUGACUAGAAAUAGCCACUCUAACUAUCCUAAGUCCUAAUAAAAUCUUGUCAAGUUCAAGUUGUGACUGAGUAUAUACUAUCAAACUAAAAUUGCAGGCCAAGCCUGUCAAAUAUAUACAAAGUAUCACAACCACAAAUAUGUAGUAUGAAUGUGCCUAUCAAAGUUCAUGUAAAAGGAGCGGUGUAUACUCUUUGGAUGCAGUAGUAUACUAGAUGCUGAGAUAAGUACUGAGAAGGCAUUAAGAUAGAAGGCACAGAUGAUUAUGAGUACCUUACCUCCUUCUGGAACUUAUCUAAUUCAAAUGGAAAGUCGAUUGCCAUAUCUGGAACGAGAUUGUAGAAGUUAGUCACAAUAUCUUCGUCCCCACCAACAAGUGCCCAAACCUAUAAGUGAAAUAGAGAUACAUUGCCGUUAAAGAUUCAUCCAUGAUCUAUCUUUAGACUUUAGGGAAUUGAGAGACCACUUUCUGCAACACUAUCCACCCAUGAAGCUUAUGGAAUGAGAAGCACAGCAUACGAAGUGAGAUACAAAACGAAGCAUAAAGUGUGCCUACCUUGCCAUCAUGUGUUGGCUUGUCAUCACCUGAUAUACCUGAUUCUUUUCGUGUAUCUUGAACUUCAGAAGAUAACAUUUGAUCCAAGUCUGUUUGAGUUUCAGGAUCAUCCCUUAUAACAUCUGCUUCAUGAUUCUCGGCGUCUAGCUUUGUUAUAGUCUCAGAAGCACCUUGCCACACAUCAACUUUUUGUUCGCCAACUUCUGCCAUCGGAAAAUGAAAAUCUUAACAAGAAACAAUAAAGAGUUAACAAAAGCACAGAAAUGCAAUAAUGUCAUAGUAGCAAUAAUGGUGAUGACAGCCCAUAGUCUCUUAGCUAUUACAAUUUGCCAAGAGAAUAUGCUCAUGCGACUUGAACAUAUACCUUUGGUUCCCUCAUCUUCAGCCGAUUGUUGAACACCACCCUCCUGCAAUGCCUUGUUGGCAGCAUCUUCCUCCCACGCUAUCUUGAAAAGAUCAUCAAACUGCACUGAGUACUUCUCCUGCAGGAAAAUGGGAUAAUCAGACUAUAAUAACUCUAGAAUGGCAAAGUAUGCAGAAAUGUGGAAUGUUGCUCUAACUACCAUUGCGUCAUUCGAUGACGAUACAGGUUGCUCCUCUACAAGUUCUCCAUUCCGGAAACACUUCCAUUGGCUUUUAUACUCCUACAAGAGAGGUAUAGACAACCGCAGUCAGUUUGGCGCAUCCACAACAAUCCUUACGGUUACAUGGCAAAAGAGAGAGAAAUAUAGUAAAGGACAAACCUUCAAUUGGCCCAAUUCCAAUCCCUUGCGGAACCCCGGAGGAGCAACCUGUGCCGGGCCACCAGUCAUAAGCUCACGCAUCCAAUCACCGUUACGCGCACCCUCCGGGAAUGCCUUCUCCAAUGCAGCCGCCUCAACAUCGUCAUCCUGUAGACCACCCGGACGAAAGGGUCUGUUGUUGAUGCUCCCCCUGACGAAGUCCUUCGCCGGACCAGGCAUCCGUGGCGCCAAACCCACGGUCCCCGAACCGAACACCUCGCCCAUCUCCAUCUGCACGGACUCAGGAUCCCACACUUGCGACUCCAACGCAGGCUGCGACGUUCCCCGGCCGCGCCGGAAAGGCGGCUCCCAGGCGGGCGCGAGCACUGUGCGCGGUGCGGAGGGCUCCAGCGGCGGCCUGGUCAGUGCAAACCAGUCCACGUCCCACACCCUCCCGGCAUCGGCCGCGGUGGGGAGGUGGAGCUCGGGGUUGAGGUAGUUCGCCUCGAGGUACUCCUUCAAGCUGCUCGGGCUCCCAGGCGGGUAGGCCGGCGGCUGUGGGUCGUCACCACAACAAUGGCGGGUUUAGGGUUUACAGAUUGCAGAGAACAACACGGGUGAUUUAGGGCGGAAUUGGUGGGUCGCGUACGUACCAGGACGAAUUCGGGAAUGGGGCUGGAAGGGUGCGGGGUAGGGUCGAGGCGGAGGUGGCCACCGUGGCCGGAGAAGCUGAUGCGGAACGGUAACUCGCUCGCCGGCGAGGGGGCAGGGCCGUCCAUGGAGGCGCCUCGCGGCGAGGCGGCCGUUUCCGUUUCGACGAACUGCUUCAGAGUUCAGAAGCUUGGAACUUGAGAGCCUGCUUGCAAGUUCACAGCGUUUCGGUCAUGUCCUGGAGAAAUCAUUACCAAAAGAUUUUGACAGCAUGUCAACAGGGUAAGGCUUGUUCCAGGUCAAAAAAAAAAGAUCACAGAUUUUUGCCCCUUCGUUAAGACCCGUUUCAAACCAAAAAUCCCCUUUGAAAUGCUAAGAUUAUUAUGCAUAAACCAAAUAAUUUCCGGUGGAAACCAAUAAAAUCCCCCCCCCAACCCAGUACGGAUCAAGGUUUUUUUUUACUUAUGCUCUUCAUAAUGGUCAAGGCAAGUAUGGAAUUCAGUAACUUUAAUAUCUCCUCUUUCUUUUUAUAUAAAAUCAUAAAGUUCAUAACAAAUCCUUGUACGUAAAUGUAUCUGCACGGAGAAUUAGUACUUUUAGUAUUUGACCUCUCAAAAACUGUACGUAUGUUUCACAUAAGAACCAUAAGUAUGAUUUCAUUUUCACGAGGAUCAAAGAAAGAACAUGUUAUUAACCUCAUCUUGCACCUAAUGGCAUCGUGAAAUUUGCCUAGUGAUAGUUUUUUUCUAUAAAUUAAAUAAAUCAACAUUUUAUUUCAUUUUCAAUUAGAGUAGAAAUCUUAUCUGGAGCAUGAAUUAUUUGCUCCAUCACAUAAGAGUUUGAGCCAUGUGAUAAGUUUUCAAGCUUACAUGGUCCAGGCUAUUGCGGUUUUGUACGGUAACAUGGCUUCCGAGUUUUAAUUCUAGAAUAUUUUGAACUCGACAUCUUGCAUGAUCGCUAAAGAGUAAUGUUCAAACCUCCUUGCAUACCAUGGCUUUUAAGAAAAAAUUGUGAUGAGUUGUUUGGUAGAUUACUCAAUUUAUCUUCAUCUGUAAAGUAUGAUAGCAUCAAUGACACCAUUGUUAUGAAACCCUUCCUAGAGCUCAAUCGUGUUUGUAACUUGUUGUAGUUUAAUUUGAAAAAAAUCCAAUUUACUACCUCCAAAUAUAUGGUAGAUCCAAAUAACCACCUAAACAAUAAAAUGGUUUAUUUAACCCCUAGUUUGCUAAACCAGAUCAAGACACACAUUUAGUACAUAUUUGAAACCAUUGUUGAUUAGGCGGAAUUAGAAAUCUAGUUUGCUAACUAGGAUCGACAUGUCAGCAGCCCAACGUGGCACGUAUAUUUAUGUUCAGAUCACCCCCUGCCUGACAAUACAUAGUAUUACUCAUGUUCUUCCUCAUUUCUAUCCGGUUCGACAGUGCCCAGCUCCACCGCCGGCGGCCGCGAGGCGCCGGCACAGCGGCACCCUCCCGGCACUGUCCUGUUGCCGCUUGGUGCAGAACGCCUGGCUUCACAGCAGCCUUUGCCCCUGGGCGGCAUCUGGCUCUUGCCUCGCCACCGCUUGCUGCUCGGCGCACGGCUGGAAGAGCACGAACUAGGAGCCGUUGUUUUUGGGGUGGUGUCACUGCCGGCUCUAAGGAUCAAGCGACGCACAUCCUCCACCUCAUGCUGGGUAGGUAUUCGAUGAAUUGUUUCUUUAGUAAAUAUUUCACUGACGCAACAAUUUUUAUAGCCUGAGGUUGCCUUGGCUUGUAAUUUUGUAGUAAAUUGAAUGUACAAAUUUCAGUUUGUUGUCUUCUGCUACUUUAUGGUCCAUUUGGAAACUGAUUGGACCCAAUCUCUCUCUAGAACUUGACAGCAUCGAGCAACUUUUGGACCCCAUGGUCAACUCUACCAGGCUCUUUGCUUAGUAUCUCUGUAUCUGAAGGAAGAACCGUACAAUGCCGCACUGAAGUGUUCCAAGUGACAAUGUACCACUGAAUUAAACCAUCAUAUCCAGGUAACUAAUCAAAAUUAAAGUACAGUGAUUUACUAGACUACCAGCUAGCAAUUAUUACAUCGAAAUAUAAGGAAUCCUGCCAUAUGCUACCAACAUAGCAUGUUACUGCCUGGAAGUUUUUUUCUUUUGCUUUGCAGCAGCUAGUUUCUUCUUCUUGCUCGCAGUACUGUUGAAGCUGCUCUGGGAAGGCAUAUUAGAUGCCUCAUCUUGAGUGUUGCCUGGAGCUGCUGCAUUGUUUCUGGACUUUUUUUGGCCCACUGCACUCCAAACCUGGAACAAUAAUUUCAGUUAACAACACUUAAAUAAUAAUUAAUUGUAUAGCAAAAGAAUGAGAAAUGUUACUUGCCUCUUUGCCUUUCUCCAUGAUGUUUCUCUUCUUUGAUUUAGACUUUGCUCCACAUCUUCGAAUGUUGUGACCUGGUUGAUGACACUUGCUACAGUUACCUCUCGAGCCCACCCUAGAGACCUUUGUGGCCUUUUUUGCUUCACUAGGUUCCCUUCUUCUCUCCUUUCUCGGCCUACCUGGCAUCUUCACAUAGGCUGGAGGCUUAGGCUUGCCGUGACCUCUUGGCCACUGUUGCAUUCCCUCCAUUGGCAUCAUGCAGUGAUCAUAUGUCUUGUUGUAGUGCUCAACUGAAUAGCAGUCAGCUAUGUAAUCUUCAGGUGGUUUAGAACUGAGAUAAAGUGCAGUGAUAGCAUGAGCACAAGGGAUACCUGCCAGCUGCCAGUAUUUGCAAGAACAAGUUCUUCUCUCUACAUCAAUUUUGAACCUCUUGUCCCACACUUUCACCUCAAAGCCAUCCUUCCCAUUCCAAAUUGCAAAGCAUUUCUGUGCAAGAUUAAUAUACUUGUUCACAUGUCCACAUGACUAAUUCACCACCUACAGCCUUGUAUAUCUCGGCAUAAACUUCAGCUACUUCACCCACUAUGAUACAAUCAGACAUGUACCUGCAACUCUGAUCAUCAGCUAAGCUCCUCACACCGUUACUCAUAUCAGCUCCGGGGGGCAGCCAAUGAAAAUCAACAUCCUCAACUGUCAAAUUGACAGGGUCACUAAGAAAACCCCUCAACUCUGGCAGUGAUAGCUUAUCCCUCUCUAUGUGUGACAAUGCAAUUCUACCACGCACAUAGUUCAAUGAGUAACCAUCAAAAUCAAAUUCGCCUCCAAAGUGAAAUCUUACAGGCACUACCUCCAGAGGGUCCAUAUCCCCUGUCCAGAAUUGUAAAAAGCAAGGUGUAUAACCAUCACAUUUUUUCUAGAAAAAAAAAAGAAAGUGAAAUCAGACCUGAGUGCUCCGUGCUGCUAGCUUGAGUACUAAUUAUAUUGAUCCACAAGAUAUCUAAUGACCACGUUCUUGGUCCCUACCUAAGCAUGAUGGCCAUGGUCAUGUUCAUGCAAUUAUCCCAACAACCAUUAAUAUCCCUCCUCACGUCAUGACACAUCAAUGUGCACAAACAAAAGAUCCUGCUCCAGUUUCUCUCUUAACUUCACGGUGCCAUCCACAGUUUCUACCUGUGCUACGAAGACACGUCGCCGGCUGCUACCUUGCAAAUACACAACCCUAGGUAUCCAAAGUCCUAGCCGCAAGUGCAAAUUAAUAUGUCAUAUUUGCAUCACACGAGGGAGAUUGGAAAAUGGAAACAUACCUGCCCGUUUUCGUUUGUGCUGAUGAACUUGUUCACUCCUAUAUCAUUCACCUAGUUGAUCUGGCUGUGUCACGCAGAAACCGAAGGCGAGGGCCGGCGGCCGGCGGGCGAAAUAAAAUUGACGAGCGAGAGAAGGGGAAGACACGGGACGGCCUAUUUUGGAUCUAAAGAUACUUGCCAUGUAUGGCUGCCAAGGUGUCAGUCUUAGUCAUAAAAAACCGGCCAUGUCAGCAAAUCUGGUUUUAGAUAUGUGUAAAAGGUGUGUUUUGAUCUGGUUUAGCAAACUAGGGGGUUAAAUAAACUAUUUUAUUGUUUAGGGGUUAUUUGGACCUACCAUAUACUUGGAGGCGGUAAAUUAGACUUUUUCCUUUUAAUUUCGAAGGUGCCUUUUUAUCCCUAUUUUGUGUUGUAAUAUAUUUCUAAAUUUUAGUAGAUCUAAGACCGUGAAAGCAUUUCUGAAGACAAAUGCACAUGAGUAACUUGUAUUUUCCAAACAGAAAUGUAUUUUGAAGUCAUUGACGUACAAGCUUUAAAAAAUCUAACCAAAUGGAUUAUUUUAUAAAAGGAAAAAAAUGUUUCCUAUAUUGCAAGGAACUAGUUUCCAUUUCUUUCCUAAAAGUUUACAUGGCACAUGUUUAUAGAUUGCAAAUUUUAGUUCCCUUCUUAAGGCCUAACACAGCAAGAUAUAUUGAAAAUAAAGAUGCAUAGCCUGGACAUAGGCACGUAGCAAUAAAAACUUAACCGAUAGCACUACAAAUAUCUUCUGCAUGUCCGAAUUACCAACGAAGGCAUGCCCAACUCCGAUCAGAAGUUUGAAAACAAGGCAACGAGUUUUCAAAAUUCAAAAGAGUUUAAUUCACAAGACGAAAGACAAGGCCUAUGGUUAAUUUAGAGAUCCUAUAUUACCGGGUGCUCUCCUCUCCUCAAUCCCAUCGCUCUCCUUGUUCGCUCCGGGCUCCCACUCCGACUCGAUCCCUUCACAAAAACACCUCCAUAUGCAUGCACCUCCUCACCGAUGCUGCCGCAAGUCGUUCCGAAUUCGUCUUUCUUUCCCGGAGCUCAUCACAUCUCGAGCGCGCGUUGAAUUCCUGAUGCGAGGAUAGGAAUCGAUCGACCUGCAGCUUCCACACACGCGCCGGUGCAGCGGUCUCUAGUCGGCGUCGGCGUCGGCGUCAGCUGGGAACGCCGCCGGCCAUGGCGAUGUCGGCUUUGUCAACGUCCGCCCUGAGCUCUCUGGAAGCGAUGCUCCAGUCGCUGAUGCGAGGAUCAGGAGGAGGAGGCGGCGACGACGACACGCCCGUAGACGACACCCUCGCCUCCCCGCCGCCGCCGCCUCUACCCGCACGGCCGACCCCACGAGGCCGUCGUCCCUCGCGUCGCAGAGUCCGGCCCGCCGCGGCGGCGCGUACAUUGAUGUCACCGCCGCCGUCGUCGUCGCGGUCACCGUCGCCGUCACCGCCCAAGGUUCCACCCCCCAUUAACGUCAUCAGCAUUGUCCAUUGAUUUGUCUCAAAUGAUCCGUGAUCGCGAGAAUUAACCAGCCGCCACGCAUCUGAUGGCUUGCGUUGGCUCAUUAUGGCAGGAACGGGAAGACGCUAGGACGGAUGAUGUCUCGCUGCUGGUGGAGGGGCUGGAGAGGAAGGCGGUGGAGUUGGAGGCGCAGCUGCGGCGCCGCAGCGAGGAGGAGAACGCCGCGCUGAAGCGGCGGAUGGAGAGCUACCACAUCCGGUGGCUGCAGUACGAGAUCAGGAUCAAGUCCCUGGAGGAAGCCUUCCACGAACAAAUGGCCGCUCUGCAGGUUCGUCGGAGUCCUGAAUGAGCACUGCAAAAGUUUUGCACGCACCGUCGACAUCCCAGUCUGAAACUCUGAACGCGAUGAUCCAUCGUCUUCUUCCUCGCGUGUCUGUGUUGAUGCAUGCAGCUGGCUCAGGACGCGGCACGGAGGGCCGAGGAAACGGCGGCGUACGACCACCGCGAAUCCUCGGAACACCACGUCGACGCGCCCGAGGACCCGCCGGUGAGGCUGUGGCACGGCCGGGACCGCAUGGUGGUGGGCGCCAGGCGGAGCGCGGUGAGCCGCCUCGGCGCGGAGUUCCGGCGCCAGAGCCACACGCUGGAGCGCGGCGCGGAGGCGCUCGUCGCCGAGGAGCCGGCGGCGGCCGCCCCGAGCGGCGGCUGCCCCUCCUCCUCCGCCGCCGACGACCUGAAGAAGCUCAAGGCGCAGUUCCGCGCAUGGACCAAGGACUACAAGGCCCGGCUGCGCAGGACCAAGGCCGAGCUCGGCAGCAGGGACGCGCGGCGUCAGGGCAGCUGCUGGAUCUGAACCUGUCACGUAUGGAGUUCGUCUAUGAAUGAUGGUGUGAAAUUUUAAUUCAGAGAUUCGACGAAUUUCAUGAAAUCGAUUCAAAUCUUGGAGUAGAAAUCUUUGGCAACGUUGAAUGAGAUGUAGCCGUACAAAGAAUUCAAAUCAUGCGCAUGCUGUAGCCGUUCAGUUGUUCAACCACUGGAGUAGCAGCUGUGAGUAGCGCAGGAAGACGAGAUAAAAAAAUAAGUUUGGCUUGAUUUCAGGUGAGGAUUUUACCGGUCUACGAUUAGGGAUUACGUUACCGUCACCUUGCUUGAAAGGUGCUGCACGAUUUGACGGCAGGGCAGGGGAUUAUGCGGAUGGCUCCUCGGCUCCUGCCCUGGGCCUGCUACAGCGUGACCGCGAAACAGUAAUCAACGAACGAUGUGGCCAUUUUCUCUGAGAAGGGUUAGCGCCAGCUACUGGGUGUCACCUCACCAGGAAAAUGUCCACGACAGCGAGAGGAGAGGGAGACCGGGAGGAAGGUUCUCUGUUCUCUCGACAUUCAGCAACGUGUUUUUAUAGAAGUUUUUGGGAGUUUAGCACGCCUGACAUCCCAAACGAGAUCAAAAACUGCAACGAACGACCCUUCACUUAUCAACGGCGGAGCAGCCACCGGCAUGGCAAUAUGAUGGAAACGACUGAACUGAAAAAAUCGCUAGCAUUUUUGCAUAUGAAUGUAAAACAACAAUGAGAUGGCUUUCCCACGGGUUUGGCAGGGGAGAGAGAACCAGGGAGGGUCAUGUGAAAGUGGGUUGGAGCACGAACCGACGGCUAUAUUCUUUUUGCAAACCUUUAUAUCUUUAUCAGCAAAGAACAGUUGAAUUGCAACCAUUAGAUCAAUCAUCGAAUUCUAGGGUUUUCAUUAUCUCCGAACCAGCUACAAUGACCCAUUUCUCCUCCUCCUUUUUGUCUUGAAGUUGAAAUUGGCAUAGGUAUCACAUCAUUGACUACAACACAUCAUUCUUGGCUUUCUAUGCCGUCAUCUUCUUGUACUAUCUCUUUAUAUUACAAUAUGCUCACGACCCUUCCAUCUGAAAUUACUGGUUAUUAUUUAUUCAUAUCCAACAUUUUGUCCACUAGAUUUGUGAUGGAGAGAUAGAUGCAAAAGCAUUGAUUGUUAUAUGACAUCUUGUGGUGGUGGAUCAAAGAAUGAAUUCUGAUGCCAAUCAAAUGGAAAGUCAUUCAAUUGUCCCCCAAUAUAAAUGUCUGACUAGUUAGCAGAACGGAAUGAGAUCACUGGUUUCAAUAGGAUCAUAUUGUAUGAAAACCUACGUUUUUCAUCUUAAUUUUGUUUUGCUUUGCUUUGCUUUUAGUUAGUGUUUGUUGAUUCUCUUUCGAGUCCUGUCUAAUAAGCUAGGGCUCCUUCAACCCGAACUUGCAUCGAUUUUGACUAUUUAAGGCAACUCAUCAUAUCAUAAAAUACUUGACGCAUUUGAUAAAAAAAUCUUGCCAAACUUUUAAAGCCACGACCAUCAAUAAUUGUCAUAAUCUUAUAUUUAUUCGAUAUUGUGACUAUACUUGUAUAAGAAAAGAAAAUACUAGCCAAAGCUAAGCAUCAAAUCAAAAAAGCUAUAGACAUCAAGUAUUAGUGACCGGUUCAACCUUAUAUUGGCACAUAUACUGCUCUGUUAACCUUUUUCCAUUAUUAAAAGGUGACAAUUCUCGUGUUCGCUAAAACGCGGUAAUAUUUGUUACUUGUUCUUAUUUCUAUGUACUUUCCUAAAACAACUGACUAAACCGUACCAACAAUUUUUUUAGAAAUAUGACCAAUCAAUUUAUUCUAAUCCACUCGAAACAAGAAGAUGAUAACAAGUGACCGAACAUGCAACCACACACGUGACUCUUGUAUUCUUUCUCGUUCCUCUCAAGUGCCAUGGAUACUCGCUACGCCUCUAUCUCCCUUACCACUAUCACUCACCGUGAUACCCCGCACCAGCACGUUCAAUAUAACCUAAUCGCUAGAUCGAUAUGGCUUCUAUGCGAAGAAGAGUGUAAUCUUAAACCUGACUUCUUUUUUGGCAGAAAAAAUAGGAAGAUCCUCUCCAAAACGAAGCAGUGGAAUUAAAAAAAGGAAAGAAAACAAUGCCUGCUUCCACAGAAUUAGCAGGCAUUUUAUCCGAGGGCUCAAGAUUAGCACAGCAUUGAAAACGGCGCGAAAGGUAAGCAAAAAGGGAGAGAGAAGAAGGUCGCAGCCGGCGACCCGGCGAAAAGCCCAAACGGUAAAGCAACGUCGCACCGCACCGCAUCGCAACGCAAAGGAGGGGAGCGAGCGGAGGAGCGUGAGCCGGGUGACCCGCGCCGCGCCCCCCACCCCAACAAGUAGCCAGCCAGCCAGCCAGAGCACACCACCAGCCGAGGCCAGAGAGAGAGAGAGGGAGGAAAGAGGGAAGCGGGCACAAGAGGCCACCGCAGCGGCGAGCAAGACGCCUCCACACGUCUCUCCUCCUUCCCCUUCUUCCCCUCCCGUUCCUGUAGCGGCGCCCAGCCCAGCCCCAAACCCCGUGGAAUCCUCGCCCGAUGCGGCGCGGGUAGGGGCCGGGGGCGGAGCGGAAUGGCGGGGGGCGGCGAGAAGCGGCGCCGGGUGGGAGGUGGGGGCCACGAGGAGGAGGAGGAGGAGGUGAAGGAGAUGGACCGCAUCUCGGAGCUGCCGGACGCGCUGCGGCUGCAGAUUCUGAGCCUGCUGCCGCUCAAAUCGGCCAUCCGCACCGGCGCGCUCUCCUCGCGGUGGCGGGGCCUCUGGGAGCAGCGCUGGCCGGAGCCGUCCUCGCUGCGCGUCCGCCUCCCGCCCGGCGCGGCGGGGGCGGCGGCGCGGGUGGAGCAGUUCGGGGCCAUCGACCGCCGCGGGAGGCGCCGGAUGGACUGCUUCUCGCUCGCCUUCCACGGGGGGCAGCUCACGCAGCCGGACCUCAGGCGCUGCCUCGACUACGCGGCCGCGUGCGAGGUCGAGGACCUGCACCUCCGCCUCGACGGCGCCGCGGGGAGGGGGUCGCGCGGGGGAGGGGGCGGGGCCACCCGCGGCCGGGGCAUGCUCACCGUGCACUUCCCCGUGGGUAGCCGCCUGCUCGCGCGCCUGUCCGUGCGGGGGCUCAACCUCACGGCGGCGGCCAACGCGAUGGUCGCCACGCUCGAGGUGAUCCACCUCCACUCCGUCUUCCUCACCGACGCCGCGCUGCGCCGGGUCGUCGCCGCGUGCCCCCGCCUCCGGGAGCUCGAUCUCCGCUACUGCCGCCGCCUCCGACGUAUCGACUUCAGCGCCGUGGGGGUGCCCAACCUCAGGAGCUUCACCAUCGUCGACUGCUCCCGCACCACCGAGAUGCGAGUCCCAGUGGCGCCACGCCUCCGGUCGUUCCGCUUCAGCGGCGCCUUCCUCUCGAGCAACAUCCUUUCCGGUGCUUCAGGGUCUCUUGAGCAUCUCUACCUCUGCUCCGGCGGGCCAGAGACCGGCUUGCCGCCCACCAACUUGCCCACCUCAGUUCCUCGCCUAUCGAACCUCAGUGUCCUCACCCUCUGCAGCAUUGCGCUCCAGGUCUGCUCAGGGAUCUAUGCCAUUUCCUUUCAGCCCAUUUCAUUGCUUACACGCUUAUACUUGUUCGUAUUGCCUUGUAGUACAUCUCUGCUUCCACAGCCAAGGACGUAGUGGAGAGCAAGCUGCACAGCUUGAGAGAGCUCCAUUUCCUCAUGUUUGGCAUGGCCAACUCCAACCUUGCUGACAUCUAUAGCUUCCUCAAGACUUGUUCAUGUCCUCAGUUGGAGCGGCUCUUUGUGCAGGUAUCUGCUUAUUUUUUCAUGCAAAAGUUUGCAUUUGGUUGCUAGUUUGUCUAUGGCCAUGUGAUCUGUUUCUCAACAUGUUCCACUGAACAUGCAGCUCCCGACGAACAUUCAUGAUUCAUUCACGGAGAAUUUCUUGGCGGUAGCGGAGGAAGAGCCACCAAAAGGUGGAUUAGAAAACCUUUGUUUAGCCAAGAUGACAAAUUUCAAGGGGCACCGUAAUGAGAUGCAACUAGUAGAAUUUCUUCUUAGAAAGUCUAGUUGUCUGAAGAAACUAAUUCUGACUGCUCCUACGGAGGAUCACCCUCAAGGACUCCGCAAGAUUCAGUCAGAUGUUCUGCCCAAUUUUCCUAAAACAGAAAUAUUACAUCUGGAAAGAGCUUCAGCAAAUACCCAGAUAAUUUUCAGCGAGCCUGAUGGUCCUCAGAUCCAACCAUUGCAUUCGGAGGUCUUUGUCAGGUUUUAGAUUGAAAUGAGCAAAAUAUUGUUGUAGUCCAGUGUCUGCUCAUUAAUUUUUAGAUUUCUAGCUGUUAGAUAACAGACAUGGGGAAAAGAAAUGUGCAAGGCAUACAGAGUUUGAUAUAUGUUUUCUACAAUUCAUGUUACUGAAAUAUUCUGGCAUAGUGGUUGAAAUGCGAGGUAAUCUGAUCUGCCACAUUUUCCUAUUCUACCAUCCCCAGCCUCUCCUUGCCAGCUUGUGUGCAUGCCUGAAGAAUUGAAUGCUUAUCAGGCAUCUCUUUGGUGCUAGCUUAUUCUAAGCUGCUGUUACACAACCAACCAUCUAUUGGAACAGAACCACCUUCAUUUUAUUUGGGUGGAUUAGUUUUGUUGUACAUUAAAAUCGGUAAGUUAACUGUGUAUUCCAGAUAACUUAAAGAGUUAGCUGGAGCUUGUGCAAUUCUCUUGGUUAAUCCUGAAAUAACAUUAUAUUAUUCUGUCUAGGUUUCUUCUAGAUACAGAAGGAAUCUGAUAGAGCAAAGUUCAUAUAACUUGUCACCUGUUUUUAGUGGUUCCUGUAAAAUGAUGCAUCAGGGUAGCUUGGAAAAUUGUCCUUUUGUAGAUAGGAUUAUGUUACCUUAGUAUCUAUGGACUCUAUCUGGAUUCUCCAUUUGUGUGAAGAUAUGGUUUAAGCUUAGAUAUGACUGGCAGCAUGGAACAUAUUUUUUAUCGUUAGAUGGAUAUGAUUGUAUGAACUUCUGUACACUGAAACUUCCUUGCAGAUUGAAUCCAUGAUAUCUACGCACCCUGUAUGGGGGCUGUUAUUUCUGGUCCUUGCAUCCUGGUAUUGUCUUAUUUGUCUUAUAUCCGUGAACUAUAUAGGUCUUCCCUGUUUGACUAUCUAGCAUCUUGUUUAUAGCUGUUCCCAUGAAGUCCUAUAAGAAAGUGAAUGUAUAUUUGGAACCAUAUUUGAUUCUUUUUUCGUGAUUAGGGGUGAACGUGUUUCAGGACAACAGCUUGACAUUGGGUAGCUUGGAAGUAGCGCUGCAAUGUUGUUGAUGUGUUACCUUCAUGCCAAAAUAACAGGCUUGCCUUACAAUGACAACUAUUAUGAAUUUAUACUUUAUGUGGAGAUUACAUCCUGAUGGUACUAGAUGUAUGUGGAAUUAUUGGAUGAUUAUGUUUUUUUCUUUUAUUGCAUCUUUAUAAAUGUAUGAAUGUAAUGUUUAUUGUUCUGAUAUUUUUAGUGUGAUUAUCCAUAAUUAUCUUCCAAUUUGGUCUACUAUGGCUACUAUACUACAACCAAUCAAAUUUAUUAUUGGCCUUGUAUGGAAGCAGAAUUGCGGAUGGGGGAAAUGAGCUUACUCACUACUAUCAAUUACGAUUUUUUGAGGCUACUGGUUGCAAUACUUCGAUUAACAGGAAAUAAGUUAUCAUGCUAAUUUUUUUAUGACAUAAUUGACAGUGUGCUGUUGGCAGUUUAGUUUAGCCUUAAAGAUUUUAUACUUGGGCUGUUGAGCCAAAUUUAUAUUUGCUAUAUUUGGUCAUCUGGGGGGUCUUAAGUGUUCUUGUUUGAUGUUUGGGCCACUGAGUAGUGGUGGAGAUAAAUGAGGUGAAGUGGUGCUGUGUGCUUAGCUAGCUUUGCAGUGACGAGCCACUAAGGAAUGUUGGGUGUAGCAAUUUCAUGCUGAUGGUUGGUAGUAUUUUCUGCGUGUACCUUGGGGUGUUUGGGGGGGGGGGGGGGGUGAAUCUUUGUGGAAAUUCUAUGGUGCUACUUUUAUGAAGUGAAAGCCAUAUCACCUUAGUGCUUUGCACUUGUGCCUUAUCCUUUCAAACCAUGCAGAGCUGUAGAGCCACACAGCAUAGUGAAAUGAUAUGGAUAGUGUUGGUAAAGGCGUCCAUUAUCUUUGAACCUUCUUAUGCACUUGAAUGUUUGAAGCAGUGAUAUUUGUGCGUAGCCUUCAUAUCUCUCCUGAAUUUAGCACUUCUUUUUGAAAGUUUGGGCUGCUUAGGAAUGUCAAACUACAAGGAAUCGCACUUGAUGUGAAGUUACGGAGCUGGACUUUGGACUUGAUGAUUUAUGAAGCUGAGUGUUACAAGAUGUAUGACAAGCAAUACAGAAUUUCUAUGUUUCUGUUGCAAACAACCUGAUGAUCACUUGAGUACUUGACUAUUAAUAUGCAAUAUAUCGCUGCCUUCGACUCAAUGUAUCUGUCUGUACUGCUCCAGAUGUGGCCACUUUUUGACUUGUUUACAUAUAAUACAAGUGCACACUUCAAGUCUACCUUUGGAGCAAACUAUGUGUUCAUUCAACCCCUGAAAUCCACCCCCCCCCCCCCCCCCCAAUCUUUUAAAUACUGUGACCUGGAAGGCUGGAACCCCCACUGAUCAAUUGUGAUUUCUUCGUUAAUGCCAGAUUUUUUCAUUAAUAUUUUUUAGUCUGUAAUCUGCAAUCAUUAUAUAACAAAUUUGUUGUAAAAAGUACUUUACCUAUCUAUAUCCUCUAAUUAUAUUGCCAACUUGCAAAAUACAGGAAUAAGAGGAUGCUUACAAGAUCUUGAAGAGUGUGGCAUUUGGAAAAGAUUGCUUAUGCUGGUGAGGAAAAGGUGUAUCCUACUUUGUGUAAAUUAGUGGUGGGUCUAGGAUUGACCUUGCAGGGGAGGUGCAUGAUUUUAUUAUUGAAGGCUGGUAUAGUUAUAUCCCCCAUACUUUGUUAAGAUAUGUCUUAUUCAAUCUCUAGGAUAUGUUGGGUAUCUUAGGCAUAUAGGUGACUCUUGUUUGCGACACUACCCAUAGUUCUUUCGAGUAACGUAUGCUAGCUUUUCCUGUGGCUUGAUAAAUAGUCUUCUAUUGAAGGGACUUGUACAUUAACUAACGCAACGUCCAAUUCUAUUUUGACCUCAGAGAUAACUUUCUUUUCUUGUCCCAUUUUUUUAGUAUAAUUAUUAUCUCAAUAAUAUAUUCCUUUGUGUUAGUUUUAGGCUUUGAGCCUUUUGUGGUUCUACCAGGGCAUAAAUAUAAUAUAGUUCUAUCUGUUAUUUGGGCCUUAGCUUUAUGCGAUUCUUUGUAAGAUAUGAAUAUCUCGAAAUUUUCAGAAGAUCCCAACCCAAUUUUCAUGAAGCAUCUUUUCAUGAAUAAAGGUCAUUAGGCCCAGUUUGGUAAUUAAAUACACUUAUUAAAUCAAAACUUUGAAUCUUUAACACUGACAUAUCGAUUUAGCCAUUAUGUAUUAGUUUUAUGAAGAGUUGAAAACUUGAGAUGCAUUCAGAUGCUACAUUUCUAAUAUUCGGGCAUCUGAACUAUCUAGUAUUCUAGUGUGCUGUCAGUCUGCAAAUUACGUCUUGUCCUUUGGUCAUUUCUGCAAGUACCUGAACGUGUUUAUGGUCCUGCACUCAUAUUUUAAAUGUUGAUGUUCAGAUGAACGUUUAUAUGGUCCUGCACUCGCAUUUAAAUGUUUGGUAAAUGGAUGUUUCAUUAAUAUUGAAGGGAAAGUUCUAACUUUCUAGGGAGUCAAGCCGAGGGAGAAAGCAAUAUUCUUAUUAUGUAAUAACCAGAAAGAACCAAUCAUACAUCAGCUGAUGAAAUGUCUGCAUACGGCAUGGCUGUUUGGGCUGCUCUUCUUUUCCCUUGCAACAAAUUGGAUAGGGUUGCUGGCAUGGCAAGAUAAAGUGGGGCUUGCCAGGUGGCUUCUACUUCCAAUCUUUCUCAGCACAUCUUGCAUUACUCUUUAUCCUUAAUAAAACCAAGAUCAAUUAAAUCACAAAAUUAUAUGUAUGUAUGCUUUCUUAACGUCUCUUAAACUUUUGGUGUCCUUUUUCGUACCAGCUUUUCCUCUGUCCUUCCACUCCACUGUAUUGCAACAGUAUCUGUGCAGCUACUCAGAUAUGGUCUGCAAGAAACCUGCUAGUUGGGUGGGUGGGUGAGUGGGGUUGUCUGUGAUUUAGAGUUAGGACUGCAUUUAUUUGUAUGCCUCAUGGUCGUGGUCCUUGGCCUAUGUGCUACGGUCCAUACGGGGUACGGGCCCAAUUUAUUAUCACUGCUGAUUUACUUCAUCUGUUUAAGAGUGAACUCAAUUAGUUUACAACUUUUGUGAUACAAAAUUGAAGUUAUUAUAUUUGUAUUCAAAAGUACUUUAAUGUUCAUAUCAGAAAAUGAUAUAUUAAUAGAGUAAUGGUUGGUUAAAGUCAUGUCCUAACUAAACAAAAUAUGUGUUAGACAGGGAGAAGCAAAUAGUCCUACCCCAUCCACAAAGUUGGAGAGAUUAACAUUGCAUGUCUAUGCUGCCUACAGAACCCUUCAAACAAGGUUUGGGUACAAAAGUCUCGCCAAAAAGAAAGGUAGCCUACAGAAUUAUCGGCAGCUGUAAGUUAAAAAAUGGGCGACUACUGUCUACCUAAUACUAACUGAAAGGCUGGAAUUCCAUCGAUGCUAUUUUACUUCUCUUGAUACACUCAUUUCUGGGGCUAUCUACUCACCCUUGAUUUGUUCCCUUCAACCAUACUUUUGUGCUCCUAGGUCCUUGCUCUUUAUAGCUACUAGGUUCUACAAAAAAAAGUGGGCGCUGGGUAGACAUUUCAUGCUCAUCCAUGUGUUGCAAUUUGCAAUGUUUUUUUUUUGAGACAGCAAUUUGCAAUGUUAUGUAGUGGCACUCGUAGGAGAUAUGAAAAAGAACUUUUGAGCAUAUUAUAUGAUCUUUCAAGAAACUUUUGUCAUCCUUCGCUAUCUCGUAUUGAAUUCUAUCGACCAGCAUUUUUUAGAGGAUAUUGAGUUUGAGGACCAGAAACGCUUCCUUGCAGGUGAACCCGGUCGCUUGGCCAUUUUACAUGGGUGGGGCGCUGGGCUGGCCGGCUGGGCUCUGGUGGUAGCUGAGAUUAAAUAGCAUCAAGCAGGUACACCAGGACACUGCAACUUUGUUUGCAUAUUCAGAGGGAUUAUUUGUCUGGCAACUGCAUUCAAGUCUUGAUGUAGUACAAAAUUCUAAUUCUUUUUUUUUGCCUUUGAUUGAGAGAGGUUAUUAAUUCGAUAGCUGCAUUCAACUCUUGCUGUGCAAUGUUCUUAUUUUUUGUAUCUUUGAAUUUGUAGCUUUAGCUCCAAAACUUUAUCUCCAGAGUUUCCUGGAGGCAUAUCAAAUAAUUAAUGAUGCUGUCUGGAGGGUCAAAUUUGGUUCUAAUUAUUACUAUUAUUAUCCCUUAGGAUUAGUACUGGCCGUACAUUCUGAACUAACGAAGGUGCACUGGUACAUCACGUGGGCGGUGGUACUAAUAGACCGGCAGUACUGCACUACUACUGGCAGAUGGUCCAAGUCCAUACCUGCUCAGUCAGCCUCACCAACCGGAUUGCCUGUUUCGAUCACGUGCACCGCGUGUUAGAAUGUCCCCCUUACAAAUACCUCUUGUAAUUAACAAAAAGAACUGCACCUGUUCAGAUGCCCUUCAAAUCGCUUCAAAUUCAACACCAUUUCGGUGUUUCCAGAUCAUCCAACAGCACAGGAAUAUGAAGACUUGAGUAGUGGAUCUCCGGUAUCGUUGGUGGACGAACGUCCACUCCAACAUGGCGAUAGAAAGCCGCACGGAAUGUUGAACAAUUACGAGUUCGAGUUGCGUAGCCUUGCGAUUUAAAAUUGAAAUUUUCUCUACUUGAUAAAUUCAAGUGAGCAUUCGUUUGGAUCCUUGGAAUUAAAUUCUAUUCUAAUAAUUAUAAUUUAGAUAUAGUUAAUUAAGCUAAUAUAGUUAUACGUGGAAUAUAUUUGUAUAUUAUUAUUGGCUAUAUGGGAGAGAUACUUAUGUACUAUACUUCUGCUAUACUUCUGCUAUAAGAAAGCGAGUCGAAGAGUGUGCUAUAGGUUGUACAUUAGAAACAUAAUAUGAGAUCUACGGAAUCAAUUUUCAUACUCCACCCCCAUAAAUAUAAGAUAAACUUGUAUAUAUAUAUAUAUAUAUUGGUAAAUUGUGAAACGUCAUAUUCCAAGACAAAUAGUCUACUCAUAGAUUCUAAUUUCUCAAAAUGAAGAGAUCCAAACAGGAGGCACUAGAGAAUUUAACUUUCUUGUUUAUCUUAAUGACGAAAUAACAUAAAUUUUCUCUACUUGAAAAAAAGAACGGAAUGGUGGUUUAUCUUAAUGGUUCUGAAUUUUCGACUACCGGAAUAAGUUAACGUUUAUGAACUUUAUUAGAUUGCCAGUCAAAUAAAUUUCUGAGGUGGAAUAUAUGUAGCAAUUAAAGAAAGGAGAGAACGAAAAAUAAGAAAAUGGUAUGGCGUGCUCGAAACCGGGUUCGAAGAACAAGCGAGUUGCGCGUUGGGAGAAUCUAUCGUUUCUUCCCAACGCAUUUUCCUCGAUCUCCCGACUGCUGUGCCCGCCUCCGCCCUGGCGCAGGUGGCGCUCCAAGAGCCGGCGGCCCUCCAGACGUCGUUGCUGCCCGAGGUUUGCCCAACCCGGAAGGGCCCAGCGGCGGCGUGGUCAUCCCCUCCAGUCCGUCGAUACCGGCAGACCCUACCUGCGGCAGCGGCGGACAAAUCCACGAGUGGCGGCGCCUGGAGGCUGAACUAGCUGCGCGCGCUGUGCCGGACUGCCUGUGCGGUCGGCGCUGGCGGCUUGGGGUGCUGCAGUGCUGCUGCCUGAUAGCGUGCGUCCUAGCGGUGCGGCCUUGCGGCGCCGCGUCGGAGCGGGAGUGCGGCACGCCGGUGUGUCGCCGUGCGCAGGCGGAUUCCCGCCGCACACGCACUUAGAAGCAGCCAAGCAGGUCAGUCCUUGAUUGUUGAUUCAAUAUUCAGCAACGAACUCUACCAGUGGGACAUCAGCAGCGAGCCGAUUCAGCAAUCAGUUUCUUCCCUUUUCGUCUCCCCUCUACCGUAGUCAAAUAAUUGGAUUUCAUCCCCUUCCUAGUGUUCAAGUAAAUAAACGGAAUGAAGUAGAGUUAGCGAGUUAAUAGAAACAAUUAGUGCUACUGAUAACUGAUCUAAGGUUCCUCCUCUUCUUAGCUAGACAGGUAAUUUGCGAUCGCUGAUCCUUGUACAUGCAUGUUCGUAACUAUUUUUUCCCCUCUGCCAUAGACACUUAGCACUGGAGAAGGUUAUGUCUAAGAUAUUUAUUCUCUUCUCUCUCCUGUAGACACAACCCAUGGACACUUAGCAUUGAACCUUAUGACGCAGAAUAGUAGUAGUUUAGUUAUCAAGAUGAAUGCAUUAAUACUUAAUUGGUCCUUGUACAUGUAACCUGCCACUCAACUUCACUAGAUAGCGGAUGCCAUGCCAAGCUUUAUAUAUUGAUAUUCAAGUGAUUGAAUUUAGCCUUCUUGUUUAUGUGGCUGUUCAUAAUUUGGUUGCAUUGGUUAUUUGUAAAUUUAUUGUCGUAUAGUUUGAUUAUGUAUAUUUAUCUGCAGGACUUAAACAAUUGAAUAAAACAAGCCAUGCUCAAAAGCAUACAACACUGUUAUGAUCUCGGGCCAACAUAUCAACUUCUUCCUCCCCAAUUUGCUCCACGAAGGCUCUAGACACAUUUAUUUUUACCUAGGAGCAACAUGUACUGCUCCUCAACAGUUUUAUUAUUUUGGUUAGCUCUACCAUGAUCCCAUCCAGCAAGACCCUUACCCUUCUAAUAGCAACAUUCUCAUGUUGUCAAGUUGCCACAGCGUAAUCCAAUAGCUCAACAAGAAACAGAUAGAAGACCCCAACCGAUGCAGAACCAUAAUGAUGCAAAAUUUUAUUGUGUACUGUCCAUGCUCGCUAAAAUACAAGUCUUAUUAGAUCACAUUUCUCAUCAGACACAUUCUGUAACAACAAUAAUAGCCAGUCUGGACUAGAAUAAUAGCCAUAGGUCACCUCUUGCUCUUUUUUUAUAUAUAACUCUUGCUCGUAUCCUUUGUCUCCUCUCUGAUACCAUUGCAAUUCCAGGGUAGAAGGAGGAGGCACCUGCACAAUGACGAGGCAACAAGGGAUACCAGGAAGGGCAACCGGGCAACCUCUUGGGCCCUAGCAGUUUAUCAAUGGUAUUUGGAUAUUAGAGUAGGAAAGAAGUGGCAUUGGAGCAGUCUUCGAGGGCACAUCACCCGUUCUUGAGCAGGGUCUCGAGCGCCCCAGAGUCCAGAACCUUCUAGAAGCAUCAGGAUAGCUAGAGCAUCGCUCCAACCCUGGUGUCAACCAUGUCGGAGAAGCUGGCCCCCGAGAAGCGCCACGCCUUCCUGCACAGUGGUGAGCUGCCUCCCCCCCAUCUCACCUUCCAUGGUCUGCCUCCUCCAGGGCUGCCCCCACCCUUCUGACCUAGGAUUCGAUCCCCACCCCCCUUCCAUGAGCAGGGCAGAAGGUGUUCGAGUGGGACCAGACACUGGAGGAGGUGAACAUGUACAUUGAGCUCCCCAAGGGUGUGCCCACCAAGCUCUUCCGCUGCACCAUCCAGGCGGGCCAUGUGGAGGUUGGCAUCCGUGGCAACCCACCAUACCUCAACGUCAGUGCUUCUCCUCAAUCUCCCUUUGAGAUUUGGUUCCACUCAAUUACCUGCUGAUAUAUGUUUUUCCUUUUCCUCCUUGGACUCUGUGGCGUGUGGUUGGGGAUUGAUGCCCCUUUUUGGUGAUUUUGCAGCACGAUGUGGCGCACCCCGUGAAGACAGACUCCUCGUUCUGGACAAUAGGUGAGUCCCAAUUCCAUCACCUCUGCAAUUCUUGCUCUUCAAAAUUUAUCGUUUUCACUGAGUGUGGAUGUGUGAAAUGUUGUGGCCUCUGGAUCUAGACAUUGAUUUGUGUAUCAUUUCUGACAUCAUUUGAGGACAGUUAUUAAAACUUUUGUUCUGUUUAAUUCAUCUGCAAUGCAAGCUAAUUGCAUUUGGGGAUGACCUUUUGCUACAUUUAGCAAUCAAGAUGUUUCUGUGCUGUGGUGAAUUUUAGAACACCCAGUCGCUUGUGACUUGUUAGUGAUAGUAAUAUAGCAUGAGAUUGUUUUUUAUAUCGAUGCCGUAAGGAUAUUGUAACAAGAACCUGCAGCCACUCACAAAUAGUACUAUGGAGAUGUUUGUAUUGGCAUUUAAGUCAGCAGCACCUUUUCCCACUCAAAUAGUUAUUAACACGGAGGAUGGUGAUAACAAUACAGAGGAUGGUGAGAUGCAUAUCACACUGCAAAAAAGAGAGAAGGGGAAGACAUGGUCAUCUCCAAUACAAGGGCAAGGUCUCUUGGAUCCAUAUGCUGCAGAUCAAGAGCAAAAACGGCUUAUGCUGCAAAGGUUUCAAGAAGAGGUACACCCAACUUUUUGUACUAGCUGUGUUGAUGUGCAUCCCUUUUUUCAUAUAUUUGGUCAUGCUUUGCUGUUGGAUCCUAUUAUUUUCAGUUAAUUUAAGUGUUUUUAACUCACAUAUGAUCACCUGACUACUGACAUAUGAUCUGACAGCUUGAUGGGAUAGACAAAUAGUCGGAACAUAUUUUGUCUUUAGUAGUGUGCCCGUGGAAAGUUGAUACUUCAUCCCUUUCCCUAGACAAUGUACUUGUCAAAAUUACCCUGAAUGAACCAUUUUUAGGAUAAUAUGUCCAGGCUGUUGGCAGUUAUUAGCAUUUAGCAGUUUUGUGACUCUGAUUUUGUCAAACAUUGGAUAAAUGAGGCUUUUUGCAAGAUCCUUUUGAGAACUGAAACAAUGUGUAUUUCAAAAGAAAUUGGUUGAUGUGAUAAUCCAACAUGACGUGUUCUAGCCUUAUCAUAUGCGUUUUCAGCUUGAAUGUGCAUUUACAUUUUCUAAUUCCAUUAUUUACCCAUAUGUAGAACCCAGGGCUCUGACUGAAACGCCCAGCCUGAACGGCAUAAUUCUUGCUAUGUUCCUGCUGCUAUCCUCAGCAUCUUGUUAGAUGCAGCAGCAACUGGUUGGUGUUUACCCUUGAAAUAAUGAAUUAGUGAUGAUGUGUGACCCACCAUUCCAUGACUCUGUUUGUGACUUCAGUUGAUUGUAAAUAUCCCUGAACCGGGCAACCUGUGCUUGUUUACCCCCGAGCUGAUUAUAGCUAUAGGGUCAUCAUUCGGUGCCCGACUGCUCGUUGAUGAAUCAGUAUUUGGGAGAAUUGAUGACGUGGCAGUCUAAAUUGGCUUCCGGGAUGCUCUAGUGUCUUAAAUUUUUAAUUGCCAGCCGUUUGAUACACUCAUUCAUUCUUGCUUCUCUUGAUACACUCAAUUUCUGGGGUUACUCACUCCAGCUCUGUUCCCUUCUACCUUAUUUUUGUGCUCCUAGGUCCUUGCUCUUUAUAGCUCGCUGGCCCCGGCCAUAGGGUUUACAGCUCAUUAUUUUUUGAAUAAAACUACGACAACCCUGAGGUUGCCUGAACUUCAUUGCUUUUGGAGACAAAUAAUUACAAAGAUGACAAGGAACUUUCUUUUUUUGAACAAGACAAGGAACUUUAGAAGUAGCCAGAAGGACAGCGGGAAGAUGUGCAAAGGAAGCUAGAGAAAAACAGCUAGUCCUAUAUUACAUCGGGAAGAAAUUACUCCACUCUACUAAUUUUGCAUUAUCAGAAGGAGAAGAACAUCUGUUAGACCACAACGUUAGGUCGUCCCUACGUCUCCGAGAGAUCACCAAGUUUGUUUCAUCCUCAUGUCUAAAAACUUUUGCAUUCCCGCAUUUCCAAAUCUUCCAGAGUAUGCAUUUCCAAAUGUUUAAAGCUCAUUACCAUUCCCAUGCUGACAGUUAUGAACAUCGCUUUGUCCACGACUGGUCAUUCAGCCCCCGUGAGAUUCUGAGCUGGCCACUCUUACCUGUGUUUCCUGCCAGCCCUCCUUGUGGAGCAUGAACUCAUCAUCAUCCCUUCUCCCGGCUGGAUUGAAGCAAAUGAGCAGAACAUAUCUGCAGGAUGCAAUAGCCACAGUACAGCGCCCCAAUUCCGCGCUUGGAUUGUAGCAGCCACAGAAAGAUUUUACCAAGAAGAGCCGGCGGCUUGGCGACGACGAUGACCAACACUGCGGCGAACAUCAGUUUCUGCAACAGAUGGAGCCGACAGCUUCCGUUCCUGUCCCCCGCAGCAUCAGCCGCCAGCGAGCCCAGCCCCUCUCGCUCGCUUAUGCAACAGAUGGUAUGCAGCAACGAGAGAUGCUCGCCGCAGAUCCGGCCGGCCACCUGCAGCGACAUCGACGACUAGCGCGCUGCGAGGUCGGCUCGGCUGGGCGUGGCGCGUGGCGGCGGCGGAGGAGCGGGCCAAGGAGAAACGGACGCGGCAGGGAGAUACGACGGGCGUUGGGGACGAGCGGAGGUCCGGGGGAGGAGCGCAAGCCCGUUACCGACGUCCAGGCGAGGCCGCCGUCGCCGGAGCCGGGCGGGAAAGGCAGCUACUGGGAGGCAGGACUGCAGGAGGGGCUAUUUUGCAAAUAAGUUGGAUCGUGUUUGCACAUAACCCCUCAGGGGGGUAAAUGAAACUUAAUAAGGGGUUUUAUGUAAUUAAUUGGAUCGGGAUCAAUAAUCGCGAUCCGGUUUAGGGUGUUUUAUGCAAAGUAUCACGUCCCCGUCCCUAUCGACAUGGCCGGCUCCGAGCUCCCCGAACCCGCCGCCUCUGCUUCUCUCCCCGCUGGCAGGAGCAUCGUUUCCCCGUCCCCAAGCUACCCGUUCGCACUCUGAUGAGGAGAAGCAAUGAGACGAGACCGUCGACUUGUCUCGAUCCACCGCCCCGGCCAUGGAAUGGAGACCGUCGUCUUCGUCGACGGAUCGGACUCCCGCUAAGCCGCUCGCCGACCCUGCGGGAUUGCCGCUCCGGCUCCGGCCGAGCGGUUCCUGGUCGUCGCUUCUUCCAAUGUAUCAGUGACACCAUUCUGAAUUUCUGAAUUCUGAUUGAACUCGUCCCGUCCAUGCAUGUCUCCAUCAUCGGCCAUCGCUCAGCUUGUCUCCCGCCGCCUGAACCGCACCACGCCACCACGAGCGCACGCAGUCCACUGCUCUAUAUAUUCGCGCGAUCGCCGCCACGUACUCGCUCGUUCGCCCGCUCGCUCACUGCGCCGCCCGUCCACCCGCCCCUCCUUCGCCCUCUCGAUCGUCGUAGCGCGAUCCAUCGAGCUCAUCGCCGGCCAGCUCCAUUGCCCGCGCCAUGGCGGCCGCAGCUGCGCGUUCCACUCCGCCGCGGCGUGUCCCGGCGCCGCAGGUGGCCCUCGUCAUCCUCCUCCUCUUCGUCGUGCUCGUGUGCGCGCCGUGCGGCGCCGGCGCCAGGCCAGUGCGCGAGGGGGUGCGUAGCCAUACAGAUAAUGCGCGGGCGCGGACGUCGCCGGCGCUCGACGUCGGUCGCUGGGCGAGCGGGAGCGUGGCUACGGGGGCGGGGGCGCACCGGGUGGCCACGGUCGGCGGCGGCGCUCCCACGCCGCCCUCCGGCCCGUCGCAGAACCACAAUUGACCGGUGGUGCUCACCGAGCUCGCCGCCGCCCUGGAGAUCAAGAUUUCCGGCUGUCCGCUCCAGAGCAUCAUCAACAGAUACCUGGUUUAUCCUUCCUUGAAAAUGCCGGUGUUUAACUAGUUUCAACGUGUAAAUCAGCUGCCUUUGUCCACGUCAUUAGACAGUAGAUGCGUGCUAUUUAUUACUCAGUCUGCAGUUAUAUAUAGGCCAGUGGCCAGAGCAGGAUUUGAUUCGACUAAGUUUUGUUCAACCUAUCGUGCCAGUGUUUCUUUCAUUCCUCUUUGCAGUUUAAGCAAAAAAAAACUCAGUUUUUCGUCAUAUUUUGGUAGUUGUUCUUGAUGGAGUAUAGUUGUUCAGUUAAGAACUUAAGAUGUGGCGUGCUACUAUAGACAGCAGCUGACUGCGUCUCAGCUCAGCUCAGUCUCUCUCUCAUGCAUCGUUCAUGCAGUCAGCCGGUCAUGGACUGUGCUAUGGAGAUCAACCCUACGCCAGCAAACCAUGUUGCCGUGUUGGUGCUACGGCCCCAAUGGCCAGGCAGUGUCCGUGACGGAUCUCACCUGCUCCCACUCACCAACACCGUGCAUGCAUUUGCAGUGGAUGCGUCAUCUGAGACCAAUUCCCAAACUGAAAACUUCAGCUGCCGUGGAAUUUCAAAGGCCGAUCAUCCUCAGUACAGAAUCCACUACGGCUACGGUGCGUACAAGUCCUAUACAAGCCGUAGCUUCUUUGUGCAGCAGAGGAUCAUACCCUGGCGGAUGGAUUCGCUUGAAAAAUGACCUGUACAACAGCAGCUCCAAGCUUGAUAUCCAUCUGAAGGGUAGACUUGCAAAUUGAACUUUGCAUUUGCCUCCAGUUUGCAUCAGUUCCUGGGUGCGGUGCGGCGCAUGAUGCAGCAUGCUAAAAUUGGAAACCGCGGUGUCCAAGAUUAGAAGCUUCAAAGCCGUGGUUGACCUUGAAACCAUGGCGACGGGCGUUCCUGGGGGGACACGGACUCGCGCCCGGGAGAGGACACGACGACCGGCACGCGUCCUACGAUUUAGGACGGGACCGCCGCACCACUCGCCGGGCCCUUCACCGGUUUAAGUGCUCGCCGCUCCCGCCCUGACGCAUUCUUCCCCCCGCCACGCAAGGACGAACAGGAGGGGCCCACACCUCCUGACGCCCCCUUCCCGCCGAGAGAGUCGUCGAUCGAUCGACCGGCGGACCGGUUUGGUUCCGCCGCCGCCGGGGCCGGGCACAAUGGCGGGAGCCGUGAUCGUGCACCACACCACGAGGUACAAGACGUACCCCGGCGAGAUCACCGGCAUCGUCGUCUUCGCCUGCCUCAUCGCCUCCGUCGCCGGCUGCAUCUUCGGCUAUGACAUCGGCCUCACCUGUGAGUGAGCACCAUGGCAUAGAUAGGCUAGAAUGCCAAAUCAGGGGAUUGCUCUGCUCUGACGGGGGGUUUCUUUGCUUUCUGCUGUUGUUGUCGCCGCCGCCAUGGUGAUCGUGCAGCCGGGUUGACGUCGACGGAGCCAUUCUUGGUCAAGUUCUUCCCGUCCAUCUACGAGGAGACGAAGAAGCAGGUGGUCGUGAACCAGUACUGCAAGUUCGACAGCCAGCUCCUCACGCUGUUCUGCUCCUCCCUCUUCCUCUCCGCGAUGACCGCUGCCUUCUUCGCCGGCCCCUUGACCCGGGCCUUCGGCCGGAAGUGGACCCUGUUCACCGCCGGGUCCGCGUACGUGUGCGGCGCGGUCCUCGGCGGCGUGUCCGUCAACUUCCCGAUGCUGCUCACCGGCCGGAUCCUCGUCGGCGCUGGCGUCGGGCUCUCCAUCCAAGCGUCCCCCCUCUACAUCUCGGAGAUGGCGCCCGCGCAGCAGCGCGGGAUGCUCAACAUCAUGUUCCAGCUGAUGAUCACGGUGGGGAUCCUGACGGCGAACAUGACCAACUACUUCGCGUCCAAGAUCCCCGGCGGGUGGGGGUGGCGCAUCGCCGUGGCGUUCGGCGCCGUCCCCGCCGGCGUCAUCGCGCUGGGCUCGCUGGCCAUCCCGGACACCCCGACGUCGCUCAUCCAGCGCGGCGACACCGCGACGGCGCGCAAGACGCUGGCCCAGAUCCGGGGCGUGGGCGACGUCCGCGAGGAGUUCGACGACCUGUCGACGGCGAGCGAGGAGGCCAAGGCCGUGGAGAACCCGUGGCGGGAGCUCUUCUUCGGCGGCAAGUACAAGCCCCAGCUGACGUUCUCGCUGCUCAUCCCCUUCUUCCAGCAGCUCACCGGCAUCAACGUCAUCAUGUUCUACGCGCCCGUGCUGUUCAAGACCGUCGGGUUCAAGCAGAACGCCUCCCUCGUGUCCUCCAUCAUCACCGGCCUCGUCAACGUCUUCUCCACCUUCGUCGCCGUCUUGACCGCUGACAAGGUCGGCCGCCGCGCCCUCUUCCUCCAGGGCGGCACGCAGAUGAUCAUCUCCCAGGUCGGCCGGCCGCUGCUCAUCUUCUUCUUCUUCCCUCCCGAGCUUGCCCAUGAAUGUGUCUGAAUGCGUUAUUCUGUAUCUGAUGCCGUCGCCAUGAUCCAAAUUCUUGCACGCAGAUCCUGGUGGGCACCUUCAUCGGGCUGCAGUUCGGCAUGAGCGGGACGGGCGCCAUCUCGGAGCAGUAUGCCAUGUGCAUCGUGCUGUUCGUGUGCGUGUACGUGGCCGGGUUCGCCUGGUCGUGGGGCCCCAUGGGGUGGCUGAUCCCCAGCGAGAUCUACCCGCUGGCGGUGCGGUCAGCGGCGAUGAGCGUCACGGUGGCCGUCAACAUGUUCUUCACGGCCUUCAUCGGGCAGAUCUUCCUGACGCUGCUCUGCCACCUCCGGUUCGGGCUCUUCUACUUCUUCGGCGGCUGGGUGCUGCUCAUGACGCUCUUCAUCGCCAUGCUGCUGCCGGAGACCAAGAACGUGCCCGUCGAGGAGAUGGCGCACAUCUGGAAGAAGCACUGGUUCUGGAGGAAGUUCGUCGUCGACACCUCCCCCGACGCGCGCAGCGCCGAGAUGAGGAAGAGGAUAGCGCUAGAGAUGAGCUAGCUGAUGAUGAGGCCGAGCAAAGCCUCGUCAUCAGCCAAGUACAUUUGAUGGAUCGAUAGAUAGAGUGCAGAACACACAUGAAUGUUGUUGUAGAUUUGAUCAUACAUACUCCUAGCACAUCUUGUACUAACUAAACUGUUUUACCUUCUCUCUUUUUUUCUUCGGUUUCAUGUGCCGAGUUGUCAGCAGCAUUUUUUUUCUUUUUAAUUGAAGAAGAAUACAGAACGAUUUAUCAUCCAGUAAUCUCACGUGGAGUGUGCUACUGUGAUCACAAUGAUCGUUCUUCUUUAAGCAUCACUUUUAGUAGUUCCCACUUAUCAUCCAGUACAAUUGAAGUCCUUUUCUGUUCACUUUCCCUUUUCUCUACCUUUUUCUAAGUAUUUAAAUUCCUUUCUUUUUCUGUUCACUUUCCCUUUUCAAGAUUCUUUUAGGCAAAACUAGCUAAGCCAGCCUACAAGGAAUUAGGUGGAUCCAAGAUCCAUGCUACGAAGAAGCAAAGCACCCAAACUCUCUUGUCAGUUUCAAGAUCUUGACUUUCAACCAGCAAUCCGCAUACAAAACGCACAAAGGGAAAUGAGUACAAAUGAGGUCGUAGCAUCAGGUUUCGGCAAAAUUUGUAGCAGAAGCGCUAACCUUGCCGAUCCUGACUUUCAACUAGCAAUUGACUUUCAAGAUCCUGACUUUCAACUAGCAAUUCACGAACAAAACCCGAAGGGGAAAUUAGUGAUCUGGAUGAGUACUCACAAAACGCGCAGGUAACUUAAAUUUCACACACACAAGUACGUGUUCUUAGAUUACAGGGAUACUCUGCUGCUCCAAACACCACUCUGGGACUUGCUAUUUACAGAAAGCUCUUAGCUAUGGCUUCCAGCAGCUCAGACCCAAACUGACCGACGCGACGACGACGAGCAGUCGAGCAAACAGCAGAGUGGUGCAAGACAACAGCAGCAAGCAACAACCAGUGGUGGUGGUAGUACUAUGGUACAGCACAGUACAGAUCCGGCCGCCGGAAGCACGCCGGAACGCCGCGGGAGCUCGCCGACCGAGCAGAGAGAGCGUAGCAUCACUUGGGCCCCCAGAGCAGCAGGUGCAUCACCUUGGCCGUCUUGCCGUGGUCCUCGCGCCCGCCGCGCCGCCCCGGCUGCGGCUGCUGCUGCCGCCCCGCCGCCACGCCGGCGUCGCGCGCCGUCAGCGCGCGCCGGAGGGCCGCGAGCUCCGGCCACCUGCUCUCCCGGCCGCCGCCGCCGCUCAUGGCUCCUGCCGCAGCUGCUGCGCCACCGUAGCACCUCUCGGCUCUCGGCUUCUGCUACAAACAAAUCAUGCCGUUAGCAGCUAACUCUACUCACCAGCACCCACCAGGCCGGCCACUUAUAUAUAGCGGCGAGGAGCCGGCGGCGAGCCUGCCAGCGAAGACGUGACGUGUCCAGACUCCAGCGGAGGGCCCGGCGCGGCAGCUGGGGAUAAGCGGUAACAAAUAUCGCGCCGCGUUCUUAUCAAAAGAAAAAAAAUAUCGCG